CAUCUGUGUCUUCCCCAUCACCCUCACUUUUACCAAUCACCGAUGUUGCUUCUGAUUCUUCAUCCCCUGGACAUUUUUUGGUAAGGGGAGGUCCACAUAGUCCUCUGUUUCCAUGGUAUCUUGAAGGUGGAAAGGACUGGAGCUGAGUGCUAGAUGGGAUUCUCCCUGAAAAGUGAUUAUAUGACAAGUCUAGGUAAUUCAGUAAGCUCAUCUGAGACAUGCCUGAUGGUAUCUUCCCUGAUAAAUUGUUUCUGGAUAAAUCCAAAGUCAAAAGCUUUUUCAUCUCACCAAUAUGCUGUGGAAUCUCUCCAGAUAGAGUAUUCAUUGAAAAAUUCAGGGCAAUCAAGUCUGAAAGAUUGGUAAUUUCAUUUGGGAUUUGUCCUGUUAGAUUGUUGCUGGACAGGUCAAUGCUCUUCAACAAUUUCAGAGUUCUACUAAAUUCACGUUCAUCUCCUUGCCACUCAAUCAUUGCAUGGUCAACAUAUGUCCCCCAUUCAUAUAAACUAUUGUUUACAAAUGUUGGAAACUGUACAUCUUGUGAGAAUCCUCCUUGGUGAACCAUGCUCGUAAGAUUACUCAAACAUGAGGGGAUGCUUCCAUGGAGAUUGUUCAUUGACAAGUCCAAAACUUGAAGAUUAGGUAACUGACAUAACUGUAAAGGGAUGGAUCCAAAGAAGUUAUUUGAUCUUAGGAUAAGAACAUACAGCCACAAUAAGUUUUCCCCAAUCCAGACAGGCACAUUACUAGAAAACUUGUUGGCCCCCAAAUUCAAUGAGAUUAAACCCAUGCAAUUUUUUAAGGACAAAGGCAAUUCUCCAGAGAAGUUGUUCUUGAAUAAAUACAAGACCUUGAGUUGUAUCAAAGAUCCAAUAGAGGGAGGAAGACUUCCAAAGAGAUUGUUGUGUCCGAGAUUAAGAACUUGUAGUUGAUUGAAAUGCCACAGACAGUCCGGGAGUUGUCCGGUUAAUGAGUUAUGAGAGAGGUCAAGAAAUGAUAAUAACCCACCAACAGCUUGGCAUAUGAAGGAGAUUCCUCCGGAGAAUUUGUUUCUGGAAAGAUUUAAUAUUGACAAAGUGGAAGGAACAUUCAGUAUCGGACCAUGAAAGCUGUUGGAACUCAAAUCUAUCGCUGAAUAUUGGUCAAAUUUUGAUGAUAAAUCUGGUACUUUCCCGCUAAUGUUGUUGGAAGAGAGAUUCAGAUAUUCUAAUUGAGAAGGCCAGCUGUCCCAAAACUCUAGAGGAAUUGUGUCCGAAAUUCCAGUAUUGGAAAGAUCAAGAAAGGUAAGAUUUUUAAGUGUCUGAAUAAUCCAUUUGGGGAAGCGAGGCCCUAGCAGCUUGCAAGAGCUCAGAUCAAGAUAUUUAACAUAAGAGAUGUUUGACAAGUGAUAUGUGGAAGGAACUGUAAGAUUAUUAAAAGAAAGGUCAAGGGUUCGGAGGCUGGGUAGUUCCCACAGUUUCUCACUUAUACUUCCAUUUAAGUGAUUAUGAGAUAGGUCCAAGUAUCGUAGGGAUGAAAACUUUUGGAUCUCAAUGGAAAAUGACCCUGUAAAUUGGCUUCCUUGAGCAGACAACUCUUGUAAUGAAAGGGAUGUGCAUCCAGACAAGUUGUGGAGAAAAUCAGGAAAUUUGACAGCAGCAGAGUUGUUAGAGAUGGAUAAAGUUUCCAGACUACAGAGGUUACCAAGGUAUUUGGGUAUCCCAUCUAACAUGUUGCCAGAGAGCAAAAGAACACGAAGCUUAUUGCUGGUUAAUGGGAACAACCAACGAUACAUGGAUGAGGUUAGAUUGUUGUCUUGUAGAGAAAGGGUAUGAAUGGAUAAAGAAGAAGAAGAAGAGUUGAGAAAUGAAGAAGAAUAUGGAUACAUGACCUGUGACAGCUCACAUCCCUCUAAAGAUAAAUAUGAGAGUUUCCGGAGACUCAGAAUGACAUCUACCCAGUGAUUUUGUUUGGCUAGGGAAAUCCCACCCAUUCUCAGGGACUGCAAAUGAGAGAGAUGAGACAACCACUCUACCUUUUCAACUCUACACCUUCCAACAGAAUUAAGAUGAAGGUGCUGCAAGUUGGUGAGGUUUCCAAACUCUGGAGGGAUGGGUCCAUAAAAAGAGUUAACGGAAAGGUCAAGGUAACUUAACUCUGUCAAGGAACCAAUUGACCUGGGAAUGGUCCCAUUAAAAUGAUUCACGCUAAGGUUAAGGUACCUUAAUCGAGUCAAAGAACCAAUGAAGGUGGGAAUGAUUCCAUUGAAAGCAUUCAAGCCAAGGUUAAGGUACCUUAAUCGAGUCAAAGAACCAAUGAAGGUGGGAAUGGUUCCAUAAAAAGCGUUACCGUAAAGGCCAAGAUGAUUCAAGUAGGUUAAGUUAAGCAGUGAAUGGCUUAUCUCACCUUGAAGCCAAUAUUCAUUGAGAUCAAGCCCUGUGACAUGACCUGUUUGGUUGCUGCACACGACUCCUCUCCAUUUACAGCAAUCAUCAUCUUCUGCUGUCCAUGUAGAGAGAUAAUCAUAAGGGUCUUGAAAGGGAGCUUUGAAAAGAAGGAGAGCAUCUCUCUCCUUAUCCAAACACUUCUUUUUCAUAUCAUUUCCUCCUGCAGCUACCAAUUGGCUGCCAGUUGUAGUCACAAGGAGUAGCAAGAGAAGUGAGGAAAUUAUAAAAACACAAGAAUUCAUAAUGUAAAUCAAAAUCUUAUGUGCUGAUUUUUGGUUUGUAUUGAUGCCUGCCUAUAUGAACUGCCCCCAUAAGGGUUUAUAUAGUCUCCACUGUCAAGAUGAAUGACUAUAAGUGGGUGGCCAUUAAUUGUGUGGAAUUUCUUUCCCCAUAUUAAACUUCAAAGACUUGCAAGUCUUGGCAAUUUGUCUUUAUUAUAGUAGAUAUCUUUCCCCAUCUUCUGAUAUGAUAUUGUUUGGUAUAUGAUAUAAAUCCCCAAAUGCAAAACUAAUGGAAUCUUUCAGUCAAAUACAAAUCUACCAAUGAUAUCAAUAAUGAUAUUAUUUGGUCUUUUCCAUUGUUAAAAAUGAUAUUUAAGAUAACACUGCAUUAAUAAUGAUUCGAUUUAAAACAGAUUAGGAUGAUAAUUAAUACAAUUUUUCAACGUUCUUUUGUCCAAAUAAAAUGACUAUAAUUAAUAUCAGCUAUACUCGAUCGGGGACCAAAUAUAGUCAGUUUAACUGAAACAUGGACCAAAGCAUUUCAAGAACCUCAAAUAAGGACCAAAACUAAAAAUUUCAGCUAUACUCAGGGACCAAAAACGUUUUAUUUUACUCAAAAAUAAACAUAACAUACAUAAACAGAAGUUUUCAUUUGCAACAAAUCCUACCUUCUGUUUACCUAAAUUAAGCUCCUGUGAAUCAAAAAUCACAUAUUAAAGGCUCCAAUUCUGCAACUGUCUUUUCUGACCAGCAAUUUGUAGCUUCUGAAGCUCCACUCCAUUCACCUCUAUCAUUUUGCACUACUCAUUUAAAAUUUUUUAAGAAAAUCAUGUUAUUAAUAUUAAUCUCAAAGACAACGUAUUGAUGUAUUAAGUAUUAUAGUAUCCUACUUUCAUAGUUUGCUACCUCUUGAUGUAAUACAAGGGGUAUGUUGGCCAUUUAAAGACAUCCAGGAGAAUACUUUUUCCAAAAAAAAAAAAAAAAAGAAGCCGUUAAACUGGAUACAAAUUACUAAAAAUAAUUAUCGAAAUGAUCAACUUAGAUUCUGCUUCAUAGAGGUAUGUAGAUAACUAGUUCUUAACUGAUAUGAGUAUUAUUAUAUGAAAAUAUAUUUUUGCUCGUGUAUUGAAUGUAAAAAACCGUGAAAGUAUAAUGAUGUUUUAGUUACAAAACCUUAAUUGAGAUGCUCAUUACAAUAUGAUAGAUAAUUUUCUUUGUACAUGAAUUAAUUUUUUUUUUAAAAAAAAUACAUGAAAGUAUAUCCAAUAAAACUUUCAUUUUACUCUCUAUGAUAACUGUUAGAAGAACACAUUAAGUAAUUAGUAAUUAGCCUAUCCAUCAAUUAAACUACAUAGCUUCUCCAGUUCAUACUUUCAAUUUUUUUUUUUAUAAAAAAUACAAAUUGCAAAAUAUCACAAGAUGAGAAAAGAUAUCUACAAUAAAGACAAAUUCCCAAGACUUAUAAGUCUUUGAACGUAUAAUUUGGGGCCAUUAAUUCCAAUUCUGCAUCUAUGAUUUUUCUUAUAGUCUUGUUCUAAUUUUAUGGAGAAUAAGUAUUGAUGGAAAUUGUGUAUGCCUCAUAUAAGUGGCCACCAAUUUGAGGCCACCCUCAUGGGCCCAGGAGCAUGUUUGGGCCUUCUAACACAGACCAAGAAUUACUUGUUGUGGAGCCCACUUUUAACAAUUCUCAUCACAUCACUUUUUUAAAAGUGAUGUAUCUUUGAAAAUAUCACAAGUUUGGAAAAGAUCUUGAUAAUAAAUUCAAAUUGCCAAGACUUGCAAGUCUUUGAACGUCUAAUUUGGGGCAGUGUAUUAUAACUCUUCAUCUUUAAUUUGUCUUCUAGUUUUAGGUUCUAAUUUCAUGGAAAUUAAGCAUUGUGUGUUCCACCCAUUUAGAAUCAUUCAUCUUCAUGGAGACUAUAUAAACCCUCAUGGGCCUGUUCAUAAAGACAUCAACACAAUACUAAAAUGUCUUAAUAGAGAAUAAAUGAAAGUACAAUACUGCAAUAACAAAAAGAUUAAUGAAUGUACGUUGCUAUUUCUUACAUUUAACCCUUUUGCAUUUGACCAAAUGUAUUAUCAUCAAAGUCACAAUACAAAUUAUCACAAAGUGUAGUAGAUUAUGGUGUUAAUGAGAAGCCGAAUACAUUUGCUCUCAUCCAAAACAAUCGAUCAACUUAACCCCUGGUGAUUUUAGCAUUUACCUCUUCUAAAAGCUAAGUUUGAAAGAUAUCAUCAACAACACUAAUUCAACUGCAAUCAAAUAAUAUUAUGUUGCACCUACUUGUGCAGCUAGAUCCGUUUGUUUAUUGCUGGGUUUGAUAUGGAGAAUGUUAGUGAAUGCUAGUGUACACAAACAUUAGCUUAGCAAUGUAGGCACAAUCAACCAACAGAACAGAUGCUCAUAAGGUAGCUGGAAGAAAAGAUCAGAUAAAGACCAGAACACGCUCCAUUUUUACAUUUAUAUUAUUGAUAACUGAGAAAUAAAACCCAUCGAUCAGUAAAAAUCAAUGGCCUUUUCCAUGGCAAAACCCUGAAUUUGCAGGUUAUGCAAAUAAUAUAAACUCACAAGUCUGUCUCCUAAUCUAACAAUAGAUUAGAUGCACCUGAAGAAUACCCAAAAUGAAGCAACAAUACAGAAGUAGGACAUCACCUAGGCAAUGAUGUGUGCGUGGUUGCUCUGCUACGAUGCUCGGAUUUGGAACCCUCGUUGACUGAUUUUGAUUGUAGAGGAAAAAUGGUGUAUUGGAUGGCACAUAGAUCUCACGAUCCUAUCUGGAUCUUGCGAGCAUAAUCACGAAUCUUGUUUCAAAAUCAGAAAUUAAUUUCUGAUGUAUCGAUCACGAGCGCGAUAAACAAAGCUUGUCCAGUCAUACAAGAGCAGCCUGUUUGUGACCUUAGAAUUGGGAAUUUGGUCUAAAAUGGUAAAAGAAAGGUUUUUUUUUUUUUCCAGGUUAAGUAUAAUAACUUUUAUCAUAUUCUCUAAGUCCCAUAUAGGGACAGGAUUUGGCCCGAAAACCCGAAUCGAACCGAAUUAGAUCCGAAUAAGCAAUUCGAUUCAGUUUUCGGGUAUCUAUAUAAGGCUUAUUCGGUUUUCAGGUUAUUUGGUCCGGGUUACCCGAAUAAGGGCUUAUUCGGUCCAAAUUAAAGGAUUGAACCGAAUAUGAAAAGUCACAUUUUUUUCCACUUACACGAUUGCUUAUUCGGUCUUGUGUUCUAUCGAUCGUUACCCAAAAUACCCACGUAAUAUUUAAUAUUUAACUUAUAUACUUAUAGAUAGAUUUUUGGGUGUUUUACAUGUUUAAUGUUUAGUGUUUAAUAUGUUGUUUAAGAAUGUGGUCGUUAGAUUUUACAUUUUAUAUAUCAAUAAUAGUUAAUCUGUGUUAUUUGUCUUUAUCAUAAGCUACAAAAGUCAUACAAAAUACAAUAUUUAUAAUCACAUUGUAAAUGUUAUUUGGAUUAUUUGGGUUAUUCAGCUCCUUAAUUAUCUUCUACAUGUUAUUUGGGUUAUUUAGGCCGGAACCGAACCGAAUUGAAUAAUACCCGAACCGAACCGAACCCGUAUUGCUUAUUUGGUUCGGUUUUCGGUUCAUAUAAUUACCCUUAUUCGGUUUUCGGUUUAUUCGGGUUCGGAUCGGUUCGGUUCCGACCUGAAUAACAUCCCUAGUCCUAUAUAAACAAAAUUAAUAAAUUUAUAAAGGCCUUAGGGUAUUAAAAGAGGAAAAAGAAUGUCCCGAACUUUUACCAUACUUAUGAAAAAAAUUAAAAAUUAUGUCUUCUUUUAAUAGAAAAAACAAGAAAUUAGGUAAUUUAUUCAUUUUUGGGAUAUUACAAAGUUCACUCUAAUUCAAUGGAUUGAUUUGUUGAACCAAAUGUUAGGUGAGUAUACUAGAUGCUUAGGUGGCCGGUAGGGUUAUAUUGAAACCCAAUACACCUUAUUUGAUAAUCUGGUUAACCCUAAGUCGUAUAAGGAGGAGGGAAAUGGAACCAUUUUCUUUUGUGGGAAGGGUUCUACUUUGAACACACCAAUCUAUAUUACCAUCCUGUACCAUUAGGUUUACUUUUUAGUUUAUUAUUACCUUAUUAUUAUUGACUUUACUUUUUAAAUUAUCAUUACUAUAUAAUUAUUAUUUCAUUACUUUUUAAUAUUAUUUCAAUAUAACCUAAUCAAUAAAUCAUUAUUAUUUAAUGAUUAUAAUUUUAGCUUUUGUUAUUUAUUUAUUUGUUUAUUUUGAUACUUCGUGAUCAUUUAGCCAACGAUUUAAGUUCAUAUGUACUGCUAUUUUACUGGACUCCAAAGCAAUUACAUGUCCAUUAUUUUACUACUAUAAUCUAAAAAAAUCUUUUACGUCGUAGUAUAUUGUCAUUAUGAAAUUAAAAUAACGUUAAUUUUUAGACUAAUUUGAAAAUGGCUAACUAAAAAAAAAAUUCUAAACUGACUAUCAUAUUUAUUGUUAUAAAAUAAUAGUUUGUGAAUGACCAUUGGAUUCUUUAUUUCUCUCAUAACUCCCCAUCAUUAUUUAGCAUUAGUAACAACCAUUUCAAUGUGUUUUAUGAAUGUAAUAAUACACCAUCAUAAUGUGCAUUCAUAUUAUAGCUCAUCUUUCAUCUUAUUUGGAUAGUAUAAAUAGUGAGCUAUAUGUAUUAGGCAUCUGAUGAUUUUCAUCACAAAUAUUGGAAUAAAAGUUCUCUCUACUCUCAUGUCUUUCUUUACUCUAUAAAUUAUCUUAUUAUUUGAUCAUAUUUUAUAACACGUUAUCAGCACGACUCUACCAUAGAGCUCUAACUCCUUAUUGUUCUUGUUAUUUUCAGGUAUAUAUUUUUAAUAGUUUUACAUAUAUAAUGCUUACAACUUAUUUUAAGGAAUUUCUUAACUAACAAUUCUUUAACAUACAAGUCUUUAUUUUGACUUUUAUUUUCAUUAUGGAAAAUCAUGCUAGAGAAAACUUUCUCUAGUUUUCAUAUUACUAACAUGCUCCUGCAGUAGCAAUAUCAAGAGAAAAGUUUAAAAUAAAUAUGAAUUAAUCUCAUGUCUUCUUGUGGCUAAACAAAACAAUGAGUUGUUGAUGAAAAAUCACCAAUCAAUCCCGAUCGGUUCUAGUGCAUUUCCUGAAGUGAAUGCCACAUCAUAUAAUCAUAAUAGUCAUGGGUCUAACCGUGGCCGUGGAGGUUAUUAUAAUUAUCAUAAAAAUAACAAGAUUACAAGUAACCACCAGAAGUUGGAAAAUAGCAAAAAUCCACAUCCUAAUGAUAAAGUGGUCAAGGCAAAAAAAAAAGUUUAAAAUGUUUGUCAUUGAUGUUGAAUGACCGAUCAUUGGUCUUGUACAUAUCGCUUGCCAAAGCAUUUUGUUGAUAUUUAUCAAGCUUAUCUAAAAUCUAAAGAAAAAUAAAAUAUCAAAACAAAUUUUAUUCAAAGUGAUAUUCAUGAAGAUCAAACAGAAAUGACAUAUUUGGAUGUUGCCGAUUUUCUUGUCUACCCAGAAGAGACAAGUGGUGAUAUGGAUGGUGAUUGGAGAAUAAUGUGUAGUUUUGUUUCAUGUCAUAUAUUAUGCUUUUAUGUCAUAUUCAUAUUGUGAGAAAUGAUACCAUCACAAUCUUAUUAAUGAAAUAAAAUAUGAAUUUAUUUCUCUAAGAUGAAUGUUUCUUAUGUUUUAUUUAUUUAUUGAAAAGAAAUAUGGAUAUUCGCAAAAGAAAUAAUGAAGAUAUAUUUCUUGCAGACAAUGCAAUAACACAUAGCAUUUUUAAUAAUGAAAAAUAUUUUUCUUACAUAUCAAUUAGAGAGCAAAUGUUAAUAUAAUAACAUGUAAUGGAAAAAUGAUUGAAAGCUCCGGAAGAGCGAAUAUAAUAUUACAAGGGACACUAUUACAAAUUANNNNNNNNNNNNNNUAUUUUCGUCUAAAUCACCAAGAUUGAAGGCUCCGGAAGAGCGAAUAUAGUAUUACCACAAGUGACAAUAAUUACAACUGGUGAUAUAUUAUUUCAUUAAAAUCAUCAAGAAAUUUAUUAAGUUUUAAGGAUAUUCAGUCUAACGGAUAUCAUAUUGAAACAAAUAAUGAUGGUAAUCAAGAUUAUCUCAACAUUACAAAAAUGAUAUCGGGUAAGAAAAGUUUUUGGAAAAAUUACCUGUAUUUUCCUCUCGAUUGUACUAUAAAAAUAUUACAAUUAUUCAUACUAUUGAAAAUAAAAAAGGUAUGAUAAUACCUUCAAAGUUUGGCAUGACCGGUUGGGUCAUCUCAGAUCAAUUAUGGUAUGUAGAAUAAAUAAAACUUCGAGUGGUCAUUCCUUGAAAAACCAGAAGAUUUUUCAAGAUAAUGAAUUGUCUUGUGUUGUGUGCUCUCAAGGAAAAUUAAUUUCCCCAUCCAUCAUUAAACAAAGUUGGGUAUGAAAGUCGUAGUUUUAUAAAAAAAUCAAAGGGAUAUAUGUGGACCAAAUCAACUACCAUGUGGACCAUUUAGAUAUUUUAUGGUUUUAAUUGAUGAGUCAACUAGAUGGUCACAUGUGUGCUUGUUGUCUAGUUGUAAUUUGGUUUUUGAAAGAUUACUUGCAUAAAUAAUCAGCCAAAAGGCACAUUUUCCAGAUUACCCAAUUAUGAAAAUUAGACUUGAUAAUGUUGGAGAAUUUACAUCAGAAGCUAUUAACGAUUAUUGCAUGUCGAUUGGAUUGAACACCCUGUUACACAUGUUCAUAUGCAAAAUGGUCUAACUGAUUCAUUAAUCAAACGUCUUCAAUUAAUUGCAAGACCAUUACAAAUGCGUUAUAAACUUCCUAUAUCGAUAUGGGGGCAUACAAUUUUACAUGCAACAUCAUUUAAAUUCAUAAUGCCAACUAGUUAUCAUUAGUUCUCCCCUAUUCAACUGGUUUGCAGUUAGGAACCAAAUAUUGCACAUCUAAGGAUGUUUGGAUGUAUAAUUUAUGUACCCAUUUCUCCACCUCACCGAACAAGAAUGGGUCCUCAAAGAAGAAUGAGAAUUUAUGUUGGAUAUGAAUCUCCAUCUUUAUUAAAUUAUUUAGAACCAUUAACUGGAUAAUUAUUUAUAGCUAUAUUUGACGAUUAUUAUUUUGAUGAACAUAUUUUCCAACAUUAGGGGAAGAAAUAAAGAAGUUGGAAAAUAAAAUCUCAUGUACUAGCUAUAAUGAUCCAGUUAGAAUUGAUAUCCCAGAAGAAAAAAUACAACUACAAAUGAAUCUAAGUCAUGCCUGAGGCGUGAAAGAACAACUUGUUCUAAAGAUAAAAAUCCUUGAAAAUAAAUGGGAAAAAAUAUAAUGAAUGGUCAAAAAGAGAAAACAAUAUCUUUUGAAAAAAUUAAUGAAGCUCUAGAAGAGCCAAUGACAUAACAAAAGAAUAUAAGGUACCUGAAAAAAAUGAAAAUGAUGAGAUCUCAAUAAAUUAUGUCAUGACAGAAAUAAGAUGGAACCAACAUAAGACAGAAGUCGGCGAUAAUUUUUCAUAUCAUGUUCCGCAUGUGAUUAUAAAGAAAAUGAGGAUCUUGAACCAAAAUCUAUUGAGAAAUGUAUGAAUAGAAAAUAUUGACCAAAAUGGAAAGAUGAAAUAAAUAAAGAGUUCAAUUCUCUUACUCAACGAAAAGUUAUUGGACCUGUAGUCCAUACACCAAACAGAGUAUGAACAGUGCGACACGAAUGGGUAUUUGUGCGCAAAAGAAACGAGAAAAAUGAAGUUGUGAGAUAUAAAACAAUACUUGUUACACAAGGUUUUACCCAAAGGCCUGAAAUUGAUUAUGAAGAAACUCUCGGGUAGUUGAUGCAAUUACAUUCAGUUAUUUUAUAAGUUUAACAAUAUAUGCAAAACUGGAGAUGUGUCUAAUGGAUGUAUUUACCGCCUAUUAUAUGGUUNUUGAAAAUUAUAUUUAUAUGAAAAUCCCAGAAGGGUUUAAGGUGCCAGAAGCACAAACUUCUAAUUCUCGUGAAGUAUAUUUGGUAAAGUUAAAUAAAUCUUUGUAUAGAUUGAAACAAUCUGGCCGUAUGUGCUUCAAUUGUUUUAGUACAUUUCUAUUGAAAUAGUGCUAUAAAAAUGAUCCAUUAAGCCCAUGUGUAUUCAUAAAACGAUGCAGAUAAGAGUUUAUUAUAAUUGAUGUUAUUGUAGAUGAUUUGUACAUAAUUGAAACUCCUAGAGAAUUGGAAAAGGUCACUUCUUGUUUGAAAGAAAUUUUUUUGAAAUGAAUGAUCUUGGGAAGAUGAAAUUCUAUUUGGGUCUUCAAAUUAAGCACACAAAAUGGAGUUUUUGUACAUUAAUAUCUAGAAACGGUGCUAAAAAGGUUUUAUAUGAAUAACUCACAUCCAUGAGUAACCUGAAGGUGGUAAGGCAAUUAGAUGCCAAAUAAGGACCAACUUCAGCAUCAUAAAUAACAUGAAAAUCUUCUUGUUCCAGAAGAACUAUAUCCUAGUGCUAUUGGUGCACUAAUAUAUCUUACUAUUAAUACAAGACCUGAUAAAUCUUUUGUCGUAAACUUAUCAGCAAGAUAUAGUUCUUGUCCAGCAAGAAGAUACUGGAAUAGAGUCAAACACAUUCUUUGAUAUCUUCGAGGUACAAUAGAUAUGAAUUUAUACUAAUCAAAUUCAUAAAAUGCAAAGUUAAUUAGUUAUGCAGAUGCGGGAUAUUUAUCUGAUCCACACAAAGCUCGAUCCCAAACAUGUUAUUUAUUCACUUGUGGAGGUAACGUAAUUUCUUGUCAUUUUGUUAAACAAAAUUUAGUUGCUUCUUAUUCUAACCAUGCAGAGAUUAUAACAAUUUAUAAGGCAAGUCAUGAAUGUAUUUGGUUAAGAAAUUUAACUCAACACAUUUGCAAGAAUUGUGGUCUAACUUCUAAAAGGGAUGUUCCAACCAUACUAUAUGAAGAUAAUACAACUUGUAUAGCUCCAUUCAAGGAAAGAUUUAUCAAAGGCGACAAAACCAAACAUAUAUCACCAAUUCUUUUUUCACUCAUGAUCUUCAAAAAGAACGUGGCAUCAACAUCCAGAAAAUUCAAUCAAGUAACAACUUGGCAGAUUUGUUCACUAAAGCGCUCCCUACAUCCAAAUUUGAAAACAUGGUACGAAAUAUUGGAAUGCGACGCUUUAAGGAAAUCAAGUGAUGUGAUGAUCAGGGGGAGUUGGAACAUAUUGUACUCUUUUCCUUAGCUAUGUUUUUCUCACUGGGUUUUCUUAGCAAGGUUUUUAACGAGGCAAUUGUUCGAAAUAUCUAUUAUUAAUUAUGUACUUUUUUUCCUUAAUAAAUGGUUUUUCCCAUGAGGUUUUACCUAUUAAGGUUUUAACGAGACAUGAUACAAUCGUCAUUAGUUUGUGAAUGACCAUUGGAUUCUCCAUUUCUCCCAUAACUCCCCAUCAUUAUUUAGCAUUAGUAACAACCAUUUCAAUGUGUUUUAUGAAUGUAAUAAUACACCAUCAUAAUGUGCAUUCAUAUUAUAGCUCAUCUUUCAUCUUAUUUGGAUAGUAUAAAUAGUGAGCCAUAUGUAUUAGACAUUUGAUGAUUUUCAUCACAAAUAUUGGAAUAAAAGUUCUCUCUACUCUCAUGUCUUUCUUUACUCUAUAAAUUAUCUUAUUAUUUGAUUAUAUUUUAUAACAUUUAUGAUUAUAUACAUAGUUGAUAAAAACAUUAAAUACGACAAUACGCCAACAUACCUUUGGUUAAGUUAUAAGAAUGAAAUGGAAUUUAAAUUGUACAAUUUAAUAAUCAAUAAAUCAUUAUUAUUUAAUAAUUACAUUUUUUUACUAACUUAAUAAAUAUUAAUGAUUUUAUAUUUAUUUUUUAUUAAGAUAAAAAAACAACAAUAAUAUAGUUUUUAUAAUAUAAUAACAUAAAUACUAUUAUAAAAAAUAAAAGUAUAAAUAAAUUUUUAUCAACCUAAUAUCAUCGAUAUUAUAAGAAAUAAAAUCCGAACAAAUCUUUAUCAUUUUUUUAAUUUUAAAUAUUACAUAACAAAAAUCCAAGACAAAAAAUAAACAACAACUAAUCAUCUAUAGUCAUAACAGAUGUUUUCUAUAGGUCUGAGGCGCUUAUAAAAUUCUAGAUGCAACUUAUAUAUAGUUUCCCAUUCGGCUGCGGAUGAGUCUUUGUGGCGGAUCCAUAUUGCUGAAAUAGGAGGCAUCGGGUACUCUCCUUCUAACUGUGCCAUCACAUAGUGAUUGGUGUAUACGUGUGCAAGUGUAAGGACACGAUGAUUUUGAAACUCACUAUGAUUUUGAAACUUACUAGGACCUCUCCAUAGAGGGGAAAAGGUUAUAGAACCUAUUAUGGUGAAAAAUUGAAAUAUCACACCAAACCUGUUGGCUAUCAGGAUACUUGUCUCGUCUCAGGCAUAAGCAUAUAGUGUUCUGGUGGUGCUAUCCUAUCUAUCAUGAAGAAAGACAAUGAAUCAAGUACUCUAUCGCAUCCAAUGAAAACUCUAGAAUAGUCUUCAUAUGAAGUCAAUAACUCAUCAUACAGUUCUCGUACGGAUGAUCAUCAACAUUAAGAUUUCCAUAAUCCACAAAUACACAAGGCUUAAAAUCAAGCGUUCUCCAAAAAAUAUCAAUUGAAUCCAACGGAAUAGGUGAACGUAUAGUAAAAAAAUCAAAAUGUUAUAAAGUGAUUAUACAUAUAAACAUUGUCAAUUUAAUACAAUACAUUUGACAUACCUGUAUCGACAUUCAUCGCAAGUUUGUGAGCACAUGGUAAACUAAAACAUGUCCGUAGUUAACAGCCACAAUUCUCAGGAGUUGGUACAAAUCUUUUUAACCGAUGAAGCUCUUCUAAGAUUUUAUCCAAAGCAUGCUCUGAAACAUGAUGUCGUAGUGAAUUGAAUAUCUCAUCUUUAAACUUUGGCUUACGAAUGAUUAUGCUCCUUGUGAAACUCUCUUUAAUAGUUGUGUCUUGUGACUGUACAACUCUUUCAAUAACAUAUAUGAAUUUUACGGCAAGGUUUAUUAAUAGAUAUCAUAAAAUUAAAAGGUUUAAAUUAUGAAUUUGAUGUAUCUAAGGGUUAAUUUGUAAAUAAACAAGAAAAAAAAAAGCAAUACAAAAUAUUUUGCAUUAAUAUAUUAUAAAUUAAAUAAAAGUCAUUGGAAAAUACUUUAUUAUAAGCUUAUAGUAAAUAAAAUUAAUUUAACAGUAAGGUUUAAUAAUAAAUGUCGUAAAAUUUAAAUGUUUAAAUUAAGAGUUUGAUGCACCUAAGGUUAGUUUGUAAAUAAAUAGCCAAAAAAGAUAUAAAAAAUAAAGGAAUAGGAAAAGAUAUAAAACAUUAGUGGCAUCUUAGCAGCCAAAAAGGGGGGCGCGUGGCUUUUUUCUUGAAAAAGAAGUGCAUUGGUUUUUGUAGAGUGCAUAUUGAUAUUAGAUGGGCGCCAUUAAAUUUUGUAAUAUUAGAUUGGUGUAUAAUAGGGUUCAAUAGUUUGGUGUGUAAAAUAAAAAACCCUUGUGGGAAUUUGAAGCGAAUGAAGUGCAACUUGAUCGGUUUGUCAUUGUGAAAGGUGUAGGUGCACUUGUGGAUAUCAAUGUCCAAAAUGGGUUUCGUGGAUUCUAAUGAUGUAGACUCUUUGGUUGCCCUAAUUUAAGAGCAAAGGAAGUAAAUUUUGCACAUGUUAAUAAUGAUUUUACUUUUAAAGGAUGUAAUGGUCUAACCUACUUGAUGAAGAGAAGAAUUUCAAAUAUUUUUCUUGGAUAUACCAUGCAUUACCCAAUUGGACCCAACAAAUAGUACAAUGAUAAAAUGUUUGAUUUGUACACGCUUGCAAUGCUAACGAUACUAAAAUUGAAGAAAAUGUAGAAAAUGAAGUUGACUCGUUAAAGGAAUGUGGAUAAAUCGAGUAUCCAAUUUCAAGAUCAGCUCCCAAAAGUUUUUCAAAUCACAAGGAAAUAAGUUCCCACAUUAGGAAGUUAAAUAUCAUUUUCCAGCCAUUUAAAAGUCAAUGCCACAUAAAAUAUAUAUUACAUAUUUCAUAAAUCAGGAAUGUAAUGUACGGAUACAAUUAUUCUUAACCUGAUUCAAUCUCCUAAUCCAAUUUACCAUGUUAACAGCCCUAGACCCACUCUGUGAUGUACCAACGUCAUCUUUCCUAAAUUGGUUCCUCUUAUUGUAACCCACAUUCUUUUUUCCUAACCUAAUAAACUCACUAUAGUAUUUUACCACACAUAUACACUUCUUCUUUCUCAUCAAAUCCCAAUGAGCUCGCCGUAGUACUUAAUGACAUAUGUACACAUCCUCUUGUUCAUUACAUACUAAGUUUUAGUAUUUUACCCACAUGUGUAUGGUGCUGUUUGUUUUUUUGAAAAAACAUCUUCAGACCUGUUAUUGUUGUGCGACGCAACACACGCGGAACACGUUUCAUCUCGCAGCUGUUUGUUUUUCAGAAGUCUUCGGAUUAAAAAAUAUUUGUGCGUGUUCUUCUUGGUGCAACACUUGUUUUGUCUCUUUCUACCUCUUCCAACCUCUUUUUUUUUCUUGCUACAAUAUUGAUUAUAUAUUGCUGAAAUCUUAUUUCAUUUUUUUUCGUUUUUCUUUUCUUGUUGAACUUUUUUCUUUUUUCUAUAUUGAAUAAUAUUAAUUUGGUGAUGAAAUAUCAUUAUUUUAUGCUAAAAUAUUUUUAUUUUUUGUUAAAAUAUCAUUAUUUUUUGUUGAAAUAUCAUAAAUUCUUGCUGAAAUGUCAUACAUUAUUAAAUUUUCGGUACUAAAAAAACUAUUUUCGUAUUAUAAAAUCAGUUAAUUUUAAAUUUUUAAUAUCUGCAGCAGUAUGCAGAUGCUAAAAAAACAAACGCGCUUCUUAUUACAGUCUGCAGCCGUUUGAUCCACCUCUUCUACUACAGAGGGCUACAAAGGUGGUCCGCAGACUUUAUGGAUUUUUUAUUUCAAAAAACAAACAACACUUAAGUUUGCACACAUAAGUGAGACAUUAAUGGAAUGUCAUCACAAACCCUUAGUAAAAUUUCAAGAUCCCAAUCCAAGUGAACUCUCAAGUCAAACCUAGUAUGAGUGUACACACUCAGACUAGAAAACAUUUUUGUCAGAAAACUAUAAUGCACACAUAAUUCAAACUCUUGAAAAUUUCUUUUUAUGGAUGUAACAUCCAUAAAUUUAAACUUUUUCAAUCAUAAAUAAAAACUCAAAUAGCAUUGUUUACAAAAUAUUUUCAAAUCGAUAUCCAUCAGAGUGUCCCAUAAAUCAUAACAUAAGGAUGAGGAGCGGUAGGUCACGCCUUUGCCUUGCCAUGAUCUCCUGAAGUACCUGAAACAAUAAGCUGAAAACUGUAAGCCCGAGGGCUUAGUGAGCUACCCCCAAAAUACCAAUACCACACUGACAAUACCAUAUCAGUAACAAUCAAUCAAUCAACAUGCAUACCGGGCCAUCGGCCUGACUGGACCGCUCUACAGGGCCUACAGUCUAUCUGGAUCUAUCCCGAGCCUUCGGCAUGACUGGUCCGCCACGUGGGCCUACAGUCUCCCCGGACUGCUCAUAAGGUGUGUUGGCCUACAACACAAAGCAGGAUUGCCUCAACCCAACCAACGAGCAAAUAACUAUGUGCGCAUAGCUAUCAUAUAUUGGCAUAUACAAAAAUCAAGCAUAUCUAUCAUUGGUCAUCAAUCAUAGAAUUCUCUCGUAACUAGAGUACCGACCUAGCAGGUCACUAACAUACCAAUCCCUACGGAUCAUAAGAGCAUAGAAUACUGUCUACCCUGAUUCCGAUCUAUCAAACCAUGACCACAUAUAGCAUACCAUAACAAUAACAACUAAAGGGUCGGCCUUGGUGCCAUAUACCCUAUCGAUAUAGUGAGGAUAACUCACCUCGCAGAUGUCGACUCAGAAGGUAAACUCCAACUCUCGGAUCACUUGACACAGGAUCCACCACAUAUUAUCAUAGCACAAUAUACUCGUAAGUCCUUAACCUUAUAAGGUACUUCAUAACCCCUAAUCAACCCCUGAUCAAAGUCAAAGUCCUCAAUCAAGGUCAACAGUCCAUGUUGACCUCGACUCGCCGAGUACCCUCGGCUACUCGUCGAGUUCCUUGAAGCACAUUCCAACUUGCCGAGUCAUCGGGGUGACUCGUCGAGUUCCUUCAAUUCCCGAUCAAACAUUAAGGCCACCCGUCGAGUUUCCCUCAUUGCAACUCGACGGAUACACACGCAUACACAUCCAGGAGAAAACUCAUCCGACUCGCCAAGUUGUUCUUCAACUCCUCGAGUCUAUGGCAAUCAUCAUCGGACUCACCGAGUUGUUCAUCCAACUCGUCGAGUUCACGGCCAUCUUCAUGUGACUCGCCUAGUCAACCUUGCAACUCGCCGAGUCCAUUCAGUCCUUUUUCCAUACAGACUUAUUUUGAGCCAUGCAGCGGCUCCAACUCACAGAUCCAAGCUUCUAGGGCAUGCUUAUCACGUAAAGUUGCAAACUUCACGUGUAUGCAUGGCUUUAAAGGCUCCAAAUGCCAAAUCUAAGCUCUUAAUGGGGUUUCAUGCCCAAAAGGGACCUCAACCACGACCAAAACUAUGACUUUAUGCUUCUAGAAUCCAAAGAGGGUCCAGAUCUGAAGUUACAACUUCAGAUCUCGCCCAUAGCUUAUCAUACCAACUUGAUAUUCCAGGAAAACCCUAAAACUCAACCAAUAGAGGAGAUCUAUAAGGAAAAAGACGGUUUAGGUACCUUUAGAAGAUGAUAUCUAAGAUGAGUGUUGAUUUCCCACUCUAAAUUCUCCAAUCUCCUCCUCCUCCAAGUCUCCCCCUUCCAAAGAUCCUCUUUUCAAGCUCCAACACACACAAGGCACACACACACACACGAAUAAGGGCUCUCACGGACUCUUUAAAACUGUAAAGAGGUCCAAGGGAGGCUAAGAUCCCUUUAAAUAGGGGUACAAACCCCGGGAUUUAGGGUUUCAUCUGCUAGCUCCUACUCACCGAGUCCCAAUAUGGACUCAUCGAGUAGGUCACUUAACACACGAUCCCACCCCACUGCUACUUGACGAGUAGGGCAACCUACUCGUCGAGUAGAGCUUAACCUAAUACAUUUUAUUUAAAACAAUACCUAAGAAUCGGAGUGCUACAACUCUCCCCCACUUGAACUAGACUUCUCCCUUGAAGUCCGCUGGAAUAAACAAUGCCAGGUAAUGCUCGCGCAUCUCCGCCUCCGGCUCCUAUGUCCACUCGGAUCCCCUCCGAUGUUCCCACUGUACCUUUACCAAAGGUAUUUCCUUGUUCCGCAAUAUCUUCUUCUUCUUUUCUAGAAUAGCCACAGGCCUCUCCACAUAGUUCAGGCGCUCAUCGACCUGAAUGUCAUCCAACGAUACCACUGCCUCCUGGUCCAUAAUGCAUUUUCGCAAUUGCAAAACAUGAAACGUGUUGUGGAUCCGGCUGAGCUCCUCCGGAAGCUCUAGCCUAUAAGCCACCCUGCUAACCCUGGCAAUAAUUCUGAAUGACCCAAUGUAACGGGGACCCAAUUUUCCCCUCUUCCUGAAGCGGAUCACACCCUUCCAGGGUGAGACCUUCAUGAGGACCAUGUCACCCACCUGAAAUUCCAACUCAGAUCGGCGUCGGUCGGCAUAACUUUUCUGCCGACUCUGAGCGGUCUGCAGUCGCUGUCUAAUAUGUUGUAUCAUCUCGGUAGUUUGCAGAACUACCUCUAUCCGACCCAUUACCCUGUGCCCAGCCUCACCCCAGCAGACAGGGGUCCUACACUUCCGCCCAUACAACAGCUCAAAAGGCGGGGCGCCAAUACUGCAAUGAUAGUUGUUGUUGUAGGAGAACUCUGUAAGCGGUAGGUGGGAAUCCCAACUCCCACCGAAAUCAAUGACACACGCCCUCAACAUAUCCUCGAGGGUCUAAAUGGUCCGCUCACUCUGCCCAUAAGUCUGCGGAUGGAACACUGUACUAAAAUGCAGCCUUGUACCCAGUUCCUCGUGGAACUUCUGCCAAAAGCAGGAAGUAAAUCUAACAUCUAGAUCGGAAAUAAUGGAAACUGGGACCCCAUGGCGAGAGACAAUCUUGCGGACGUACAUAGCGGCCAACUUCUCCAUCGACGAACUCUCCCGUAUGGCUAGGAAAUAGGCACUCUUGGUCAAUCAAUCCACGAUGACCCAUAUAGCAUCGAACCCCUUUGCUGUCUUCGGAAACUUUGUGAUGAAAUCCAUUGCGAUCCGUUCCCAUUUCCACAUGGGAAUCUCCAGAGGCUGCAGCUUACCGUGCGGCCUCUGAUGUUCGUCCUUGACCAUCCUACGUGUCAAACACCUCUCAACAAACCAAGCGAUAUCUCGCUUCAUACCAGGCCACCAAUAACUCGAAUUCAAAUCACGGUACAUCUUGGUGGUUCCCGGGUGAAUAGAAAACCAAGACUUAUGAGCCUCCUCCAUCACUGUCUGCCGGACCCCUCCGGACAUCGGAACCCAAACCCGACCGUAAAGGAUCAAUAAUCCGCGGCUAUCUUGAAAAAAUCGGGCGCUUUCGCCCUUAAUCCUUUCCAACUUCCGGUUCUCCGGCCACAUACCCUCAAUCUGAGCAUCCCUGACCAAACCCACUAGCGGGGAAUCCACCACUAUCCUCAUACACUUGGCUAGGGUAGAGGACCCAGCUGACUUGCGGCUCAAAGCAUCCGCAACCACGUUCGCUUUACCAGGAUGGUAAAGGAUCUCACAAUCAUAGUCCUUGACCACAUCCAGCCACCUGCGCUGCCUCAUGUUCAGGUUCGGCUGAUCCAUGAUGUGUCUCAAACUCUUGUGAUCCGUGUAUAUAGUACAACAGACCCCAUACAUAUAGUGCCUCCAAAUCUUGAUGGCGAAGACCACUGCUCCCAACUCAAGAUCGUAUGUGGGGUACUUGUCUCGUGCGGCUUCAACUGCCUCGAUGCAUAAGCUAUCACUCGUCCCUCUGCAUGAGGACUGCCCCCAAACCUGUGAUGGACGCAUCAAAAAAUACCACAAAAUCCUCAACUCCCUCGGGGAGUGUCAACACCAGCGCCUCGCACAAACAUCGCCGCAGGGUCUCAAAUGCCCUCUGCUACUCAGGGCCCCACCGGAAAUCCACCCCUUCCUCGUCAGACGAAUGAAUCUCCGAUAAUACCCUGCUAAACCCUAGAAACUCAUGAUGUAUGAGGGAGAUUUCGGAGUCUCCCACUGCAUAACUGCCUCCACCUUGGCCGGAUCAACCAAAAUCCCCUCCUGGUUAAUGAGAUGUCCGAGGAACUUGACCUCUCGUAACCAAAACUCGCAUUUCGAGAACUUGGCAUACAACCGUUCUCGCCUCAGAACCUCCAGCAGCUCCCUAAGAUGCUCCUCAUGCUGCUCUCGAGUCUUGGAAUACACCAAGAUAUCAUCUAUAAACACAAUGACUGAGCGAUCGAGCAUCGGUAUGCUGGCUUGGUUCAUCAGAUCCAUGAACACCGCUGGCGCGUUGGUGAGCCCAAACGGCAUCACCAUGAACUCGUAAUGACAAUAACGAGUCUGAAACGCAUUCUUCUCCACGUCUUCCUCUCUUACCCUUACCUGGUGAUAUCCUGAUCUCAAGUCAAUCUUGGAAAACCAAGAUGCACCCUGCAGCUGAUCGAAAAGAUCAUCUAUCCUCGGGAGCGGAUAACGGUUCUUCACCGUUAACUUGUUCAGCUCCUUAUAGUCAAUGCACAUCCUGUGCGAACUGUUCUUCUUCCUGAUGAAAAGGAUCGAUGCUCCCCAGGGUGAACUACUCGGACAAAUAAACAACUUACCCAUCAACUCCUGCAACUAAGAUGAUAGCUCCUGCAUCUCAGGCGGUGCCAAACGGUACAACGCCUUGGUGAUAGGGGUCGCACCUGGCACUAGGUCAAUCCUGAACUCAACCUGCCUCUCCGGAGGCACUCCGAGUAACUCCUCUGGAAACACAUAAGCAAACUCCCUCACUACCGGGACCUCAGAAACUGAGAGCUGCUCUCUAACCCGCGUAUCUACCACAUACGCCAAAUAACUGGCACAUCCGUGCUGGAUAUACUGUCGAGCCCUGAUGGCCGAACAAAACCCUGAUCCCAACCUGGUACCCUCACCAUAUACUACAAGUUCUCCCCCACUUGGGGUUCGAACCACCACCCGCUGUCCCUCACAGUCGAUCAUGGCGCCAAAAUGGCUAAGCCAAUCCAUCCCUACAAUCACACAUACAUACCUCAUGGAGAUAGGAAUCAAAUCUAUCAGGAAGAACACCCCAAAUAUCUCCAACUCACAUCCCCGGUAGACCGAAGAAGCAGAAACCCCGUGCUUGUUGGCGAUCGAAACUCGUAACGGGCACUCAAGAUCAUCCAUCGGCACACAAAACCCUCUAUUGAAAGUCUGAGAUACAAAAGACCGACUCGCCCCCGAGUCAAAUAAUACCAAGGCGGGCAAGGAAUUCACUAGAAACGUACCUAAUCACAGGUACAAUGAAUAAGCAUAACACAAAUACAAUAACUGAGACAGAGAUUAGAAACGUACCAGCAACCACGUCCGGUGCUGACUUGGCCUCCUCGGCCGUGAGUUGGAAGGCGCGACCCUGAGCCUUUGGAGGCUCCACCUUGACUAGCCUCCCAUCUUCAAUCCUCACAGUAGCUGGCGCGGAACCCUACGUCGGCUUGGCGGCGAGCUGCGGACAAUUGGUCUUUACAUGACCAACCUGAUGACACUGGUAACAAAUCUUCAUAUCUGUUGGAGGGGCGGACUGACGGCAGUCCCUGGCAUAGUGCCCCUCCUUGCCACAUUUGUGGCACCCACCUCUUGCUCGAGAAACCCCCGAAUGAACCCUGCCACACUUUCCACAAGUGCGGCUCUAAUGACCCCCAGACCGUGUAUCAGCGGUCUUAGACCGCUUAGGCGCCGGCUGAGACUGUGCCGGUGCCUGACGCUACUCCUUCAGCUGCAGCUCUAUCUCCAACUCACACCGCCUCAUGGCUUCCUGAAGGUCCAGGAGGGUAUCACAUCGCCGUGUAGACACAAACUGUUGAAUAUCAGUCUUGAGCAUACUCAGAUAACGAGUCAUCUGAGAUUGCUCCGAAGCAAACUCUGGGCAAAACAUAGCCCUCUCCGUAAACAUACUGGUAAUCUCCAUCACAGACUCCCCAUCCUGUCUCAACAUCAAAAACUCCUGAGCAAGUCGCUCCCGCUCGACGCGUGGAACGUAGCGGGUGCGGAACACAUCCCUGAACUACUCCCAAGUAAUAGUAGCCCACUGAUCAUCAGUAUACGACCCAGUCGUCAAUCUCCACCAGUCUUUUGCCCCAAGCCUCAGUAGGUUCAGGGCACACCUGACCUUCUGGUAAACAGGGCAUGAGCAUGUGAAGAAACAACCCUCCACGUCAUACAACCUCCGCAUAGCCCUGAUCGCAUCCUGCGUACCAUCAAAUGUCGGGGGCUUCGUAUUAUCGAAGUCCCGGUACUGGAAAGCCCUGUCGGCUCCUCCACCAACCCCUGCUGCAGUUACAGCCGAAGUGGAUGCAACGACAGCUAUCUCUGCUAGAGCUGCAUAAUGCUCAUCAAAGUACUCAACCAUCGCGGUCUUAAUCGACCCAAACAUCUCUGGCAGCUGCGCUCGAAACGCAACAUCAAUCUCAUUGUGCAUGAUCUCUCGGAUCCUGGCAUCUAACUCCUUGGUCCCUAUCAGUACCACGAGCUCAGGUGCUACCAGCACCUCCAACCCUCCGUCUCCUGACCCCGAUCCUGAUCCUGACCCUGAUCCGGAUCUAGAAGCAACACGUCUUGUCACCACCAUACUGAAAUAUAUAUAUAUAUAUAUANCAGCCUUAGACACUAUUCCAACACACACACACACACACACACAUAUAUAUAUAUAUAUACACACACACACAAGGCAUCAGAUAAAUAACAUAAUGUCGGGAGACCAAAACCCACAAACCCUAGGGGUUGUGAUUUCCUUGCUACGUGUAUGGGUCCUGUGCUUUCAGUAGUAUGGGCCCAUACUACCUUCCACACCUACCCAUAUUUGUCUCAGGUAUCACCACAACGCCCAUAACAAUAUCAUCAACAUAAAAAUGCGCUCAACCCUCACUUCUAGGGGAAUACCAACUGUCUCGCACCUAGUCUCACCACUUAUCAUGACUCACACAUCCAUGAAACUUCCAUCAUCCCCUACAGCGCUAGUGCAUGCUAGCUGAACGUAAGGCUGGACACAAUAGACUUUCGAAUAUCCAAUCCUACCCGAAGGCCGAAUCAACAUUCUCAGGCUAUAAGGUCUUUAUUACGCACAACCGUGAUACAUACACUAAACAUCUACAAUUAUGAUUUCAAUUCCACAUACAAGAAACCCUAGGCUAAUAGGCAUCAUGUAAUCAGGCAAAUCUAUCAUGCGCUUCCUAAAGAUCCCUAGCCUAGCACUAGCAUGCUGUUCUAACAUACUAGAAUAUCAAAUAACUGUAUGGUAUUUUGGGGUUUACUUACAGGCUCCGACUGAUCGUACCCUUUGCAUCCUCCAUCCUUUAUUUUGAAAACCAUUUUUUCAAAAAAAAAACUUACUUUCCGAAAAUCCCCUUGAUUUGCGACUGGAUUCACAAGAUUGCUCCUCCAAUUCACUCAAACCAAUGCUCGGAUACCAACUUGUAACAUCCAUAAAUUAACGCCAAAUUUAAACUUUUUCAAUCAUAAAAAAAACUCAAAUAGCAUUGUUUACAAAAUGUUUUCAAAUCGAUAUCCAUCAGAGUGUCCCAUAAAUCAUAACAUAAGGAUGAGGAGCGGUACGGUCACCCCUUCGCAUUUCCAUGAUCUCCUGAAGUACCUGAAACAAUAAGCUGAAAACUGUAAGCCCGAGGGCUUAGUGAGCUACCCCCAAAAUACCAAUACCACACUAACAAUACCAUAUCAGUAACAAUCAAUCAAUCAACAUGCAUACUGGGCCAUCGGCCUGACUGGACCGCCCAAAAUGGCCUACAGUCUAUCUGGAUCUAUCCCGAGCCUUCGACAUGACUGGUCCGCCACGUGGGCCUAUAGUCUCCCCGGACCGCUCAUAAGGUGUGUUGACCUACAACACAAAACAGGACUGCCUCAACCCAACCAACGAGCAAAUAACUAUGUGCGCAUAAUUAUCAUAUAUUGGCAUAUACAAACAUCCAACAUAUCUAUCACUUGUCAUCAAUCAUAGAAUUCUCUCGUAACUAGAGUACCGACCUAGCAGGUCACUAACAUACCAAUCCCUACGGAUCAUAAGAGCAUAGCAUACUGUCUACCCUGAUUCCGAUCUAUCAGAACAUGACCACAUAUAGCAUACCAUAACAUUAACAACUAAAGGGCCGACCUUGGUGCCGUAGACCCUAUCGAUAUAGUGAGGAUAACUCACCUCGCAGAUGUCGACUCGGAAGGUAAACUCCAACUCUCGGAUCACUCGACACAGGCUCCACUACCUAUUAUCAUAGCACAAUAUACUCGUAAGUCCUUAACCUUAUAAGGUACUUCAUAACCCCUAAUCAACCCCUGAUCAAAGUCAAAGUCCUCAGUCAAGGUCAACAGUCCAUGUUGACCUCGACUCGCCGAGUACCCUUGGCUACUCGCCGAGUUCCUUGAAGCGUAUUCCAACUCGUCGAGUCAUCGGGGUGACUCGUCGAGUUCCUUCAAUUCCCGAUCAAACAUUAAGGCCACCCGUCGAGUUCCCUCCUUGCAACUCGACGGAUAUACACGCAUACACAUCCAGGAAAAAACUCAUCGGACUCGCCAAGUUGUUUUUCAACUCUUCGAGUCUAUGGCAAUCAUCAUCGGACUCGCCGAGUUGUUCAUCCAACUCGUCGAGUUCACGACCAUCUUCAUGUGAAUCGCCGAGUCCAUUCAUCCCUUUUUCCAUACAGACUUAUUUUGAGCCAUGUAACGGCUCCAACUCACAGAUCCAAGCUUCUAAGGCAUGCUUAUCACAUAAAGUUGCAAAAUUUACGUGCAUUCAUGGCUUUAAAGGCUCCAAAUGCCAAAUCUAAGCUCUUAAUGGGGUUUCAUGCCUAAGAGGGACCUCAACCACAACCAAAAUUGUGACUUUAUGCUUCUAGAAUCCAAAGAGGGUCCAGAUCUGAAGUUACAACUUCAGAUCUAGCCCAUAGCUUAUCAUACCAACUUGAUAUUCCAAGAAAACCCUAAAACUCAACCAAUAGAGGAGAUCUAUAAGGAAAAAGACGGUUUAGUUACCUCUGGAAGAUGAUAUCUGAGAUGAAUGUUGAUUUCCCCACUCUAAAUGGUCCAAUAUCCUCCUCCUCCAAGUCUCCCCCUUCCAAAGAUCCUAUUUUCAAUCUUCAACAAACACAAGGCACACACACACACACACGAAUAAGGGCUCUCAAGGACUCUUUAGAACUAUAAAGAGGUCCAAGGGAGGCUAAGGUCCCUUUAGAUAGGGGUACAAACCCCAGGAUUUAGGGUUUCAUCUGCCAGCUCCUACUCGCCGAGUCCCAAUAUGGACCCGUCGAGUAGGUCACUUAACACGCGAUCCCACCCCGCUGCUACUCGACGAGUAGAGCAACCUACUCGUCGAGUUGAACUUAACCCAAUACAUUUUAUUUAAAACAAUACCUGAGAGUUGGGGCGCUACAAUGGAUGCAAAAACAUGUACAUAUAAUAUAACUUAUAAAGUAUUAUUCUACAAACAUGUUCCACAGAUAAGUAUAAAACCAUGUAGGGAUGUGUCUCCAGGUAGAAACUCACCUCAAUAACUUUAUAUCUAACUCAUUUCAAACUUGUAACGCCUUUUAUUCACCACUUACUACUGACUAUAAUCAAAUGGUUAUAAUCAGACAAAAUUACUCCAAUGAAGGUGUUAGGUUUUCUUUGUUGGAAACUAUGUCCAAGGUCAUUAACUAUUAAUAAUAUUUUUAAUAAUAACAUGGUCCUUUUAGGUUGCCCUCAAGACCCAAAUUGAGUAGAAUAAAUAAAAAAGAAAUUGGUUUAUUAAUUAUUAUGGUUAAUAAUUAAUUAGAAACUAAUUUGAAAUAUAUUUUGGGAAUUAAUAAACAAUUUAAUUAAUUAAAGGGUUUAAUAUUCAUUAAUCGAUAGUUGAUUAAUCAGGAAUAAUCCAAAACCCUUAUGAGAUUAGGGCUGGAUGAAAAUCACUCCAUCCCACAUGGGAAAAUGAGUGAAUUUUGUUCUAGGUUCCUUGUCCCACAUGGGAAGGCGUACUAAACCUAGGAAGGGAUCCAAGGCUAUGAAUAGGGCCUUAGGGAUUUCAUUCUUCCUUGUACCUUGGCUUGAUGUUUCGCCAACUCUUCUUCCUUUCCCUAUUAGGGACAAUUUCUAACCUUCUUAGGGUUUGGAAAAUUAAUCAUUCUCCUAGUUAUUUUUAUUCCACUCUUUUGUGUCAUUAGGUGUGAUACCAUUAGAGGGAUUCUGGUGUGGGUCCUCUCAUCCAAGCAACUUCAUGAAGGAUCAAGAUCUCAAUUAUGGAGAUCAUGGGCUACAUAAGAGGUAUGUUUUCUUCUUAUUUUUUUAUUUAUGUUUUGUAGGGUAGAUGUAACUAGCAUGAAUCCAUAUAUCCAUAGGUUGCAUGUACAUUUAAGUAUAUCGUAGUUUCGAUUUUUCCGCUACCUAAUUUAGAGUGUAUUUGAUGCAUAGAAAACCCAACAGUGGUAUUAGAGCCAUUGGUUCAUGAUUACAUUCACCCUAGAUACAUAUUUUAUGUAAACACUUGUUUGAAAUUGAAUGAAAAAGAUAAAUAAAAAUUUCAUAAGUGUAGAACCUAAUUGUUGCUACGACGUGAGAUCAUAGGAGAUGAAUUUAGUUUGGGAUGUUAGAUCAUGUGUGUGCUCGACUUUGGAUGUGAUUGGAUUGUCAAUCAGCGGUAGGACCAUGGUCAAUGGUUGAGACCACGUGGAAAGUGUUGUAGGACUGCGGGAUAGCCUUAGCAUUCACAAGCAGCCAGACAGUGUGGAAAGUGUUGUAAGACUGCGGGAUAGCCGUAUCAUUCACCAGCAGCCAGACAGCGUGGAAAGUAUUGUAAGACUGUGGGAUAGACGUAGCAUUCACUAGCAGCCAGACAACAUGGAAAGUGUUGUACGAUUGCAGGAUAGUCAUAGCAUUCACCAGUAGCCAGACAACAUGGAAGGUGUGGUAAGACUGCGGGAUAGUUGUAGCAUUCACUAGCGGCCAAAUAGCAUGGGAAAUAUGGUAAGACUGCAGGGUGGCCUGUAGCAUUCAUUAGUCAAUAGAUAGUGUAGAAGUGUUGUAAGACUGUUGGGUGGCCCAUAGCAUUCACUAGUUGGCAGAUAUAGUAGAAAUGUUGUAAGACUACGGGGUAGCCCAUAGCAUUCGUUAGUUAGCCGUUAGUAUAAGGGUAUAGUAAGACUGCGGGGUGGCCCGUAGCAUCCACCGGUCCCUAUUCGGCAGUGAGAAUGUGACAUAUAUGUGGUUCAAUCAUGGAUUCCUUCAUAUAGUUUAGACCAGACCGGGACAACCUGCACGAAUGUGAGUAGGCCACAGUAUGAUCAGAUUCUAGGAAUGGUAGGUCCUUGGAGACCAGGCAUGAUGUAAGGCUAUAGUGGUUCUGGUAGCAUUCACUUUUCAUAUUAGAUUCGGGGAUGAUGGGUAGUCGAACUGUUAUGAUUAGGAGGAUCAAAAGGAAUAAUGGAUCCAUGAGUGGCAAUAUGGUUAGGGUAGAUUUCGAUAGACGAAGUUCUUUUUGGAAGUCGUAGGAAGUGACUGUGAGGUUGCUCUUUGGCUCAGCAACCGGGUAGGAAUCUGAUAUUCCGGAUAGCGGAUGUGAUUUGGGAUUUGCGUAGAGUAGAUUGUGGACAUGAAGAUGCUAAGACACUUGUAGUUGGAUUAAAUAAUCUUAGAGUAAUUAAUUUGACCCUGUUGCGCAGCUCUCGUCUGAGUCUAACCGUUGCAGGGAUGAAUCUUCUACUCGAAGGAUUAUCUGAGCCUUCUGUCAAAUAUAAGUAUUUUGCAGCUGGUUAUGGUCAGUGGCUUAGUUUUCGUAGGUUGCAUCAAGAUAAUCAGGGUUGCAAGUAUUAUGGUUGGUCAGUUAUUCGUUGAGGUUUUGGCAUGGUAAUUUUUCAGCUUAGGCGGUCUGUCGGGGAGAUAGACCAUUAUAGAUUUCGGAUCUCGGGAAGGUAGAUGUGGUUUUUUGUAUGAAAGUAAGGAUUUAUCCUUCAUCGGGUUUGGAGAGUCUUGCUUCGUUGGGUUCAGUUGCCUCGGGAAGACCAUUGAAUGCUCUGUAUGAUGGAUGCAUCUUUUAGGCUGUCGGGUGACAGUAUUCGUUGGAUUCAGAAUGGGUUGUCGGUUGUGAGUGGGAACAUCGAUGGGAUCAUAGCAGAAAAUGGGAGCAUGCGAAAGUGGCAUGUGAGUAGUAUCCGGAGUGGGUUGCUGCAGCAGACUUCGAGGACGAAGUCUAGUUUAAGCAAGGGAGAUUUAUAACAUCUUGAGAAUCAUAAGGUUCAUAUUGCAUGCAUGGGCUUGAUCUAAUUAAGUAUGGAGGUUUUUCAAGCCUAGAACGUUUAAUUGCUAGCUUGGUGUUGGAGGUAAGGCUUGCAUGCGGGGCGUUCAUAUCUUGAACGCUCAGCGUUCAGUGCAUGAAGUGGACACAGAGGCCAAGACGAACGCGGGGAGUUCUAGGGAGAAACGCAGGGCGUUCGCCGUCUGUACUCAAAAACCCUAAGUGUGCACUAUUGAAACAAGUUAAGACCCAAGGUUCUUCAUUCUUUCUGCCUCCACUGUACCUUGAGCCUCAUUCCGAAACCCUAACCUUAGUUGUGAGUGUGUGAGCUUGGAAGAUCAUCUUUGAGUGUAUUUUGGUGUUCUUGAAGGAGAGUGAUCACCUUAGAGUCUCAUUGAUCAAGGAAGAGCUUUUGGAUUAAGAUUCUCUAGCUCAUUUGCAAGUAUCAGAAGGUAUAGAGUUUCUAUCUUGAUAUCUUAUAGCUUAAGACCUAGAUUAGGGAUUGUUUUGUGCUUCUUAUGAACAUGUGGAUGCUCUUUGGGAGUUUGAGCCACUCCAAAAGCCUAGGAUUGCAGAUCCUCACAUUUCUGAGUUGUUUGAGUCAUAAAAAUGGUAACUUGAUGGUUGAUGACCAAGCAUUCAAAGGUUUUGGGUCUUGAUUUAUGGAUUGGAAUCUUUAAUGGAUGUUUGGGUCCUUUUUGGGCCAUGCAAAGGUGCCAAGUUGAUGACUUUAUGGCUUAAGACACUGAUAGGAAGCUACUUUGAAGAUUUGAACUUUGGACUUAAGGUAUUAACACAUAAAUGUAAUUUUUGGUCCCUGGUCGGGAACGCAGCAUGCUCAUCUCGGGAACGUUGUACGUUCCGACGUCGAGUCACGAUCGGCGGUCAGGCAACGAACGCCCAAUGUUCGGUCCAACAGUAGGCUUCUUAGGCUUGUUCUCAUUGGGCUUCAGACUUGGAUUGGAGUUUUUGCAUGUUGGGAUUUUUGUUAAGAAGGUUCUUAGAGCUUUGGACUUUUUUUUGGACAUGUCUAGUUGGGCCAAUAUUUCGUAUUGGGCCUUGGUGGUCCCAAUGGUUUUGGACUUUACUUGGCCCAAUGGGCUUGGACCUAUGGGCCAUCGGAGAAUUAUUAUUGGACCAGGAAUUGUUGGCUUUAGGUAAGGCCCAUAUGGGGUUAGGCCCAAUUUGGAAAAUUGGGGCAUUAGUGGGAUCUUAUGGAUCAUAUAGUUUUGGGCCUUUUUGUAACAUCCAAGAAUACGACCCAAAAAUUUUUGUUUUAAAUAAUAGUAAAAUCAUAUUCCAAUCGUCACAUCAUAAAAUCAUGUGUCAAUUAUCUCAACCCAUAAUAAAAUGUCAUGAACAUUUGUGACAAACCAAACUAUGAAUCAAAACAAACAUCCAGGAAAAAGACUGAAGCUGUGGUGUGUGCGAUGCCAUCAUCCCGAGAUCUUCCCUUUACUUGCGGAAGUACCUGAAACCAAAACUGAAACUGUAAAAAUGAAGCUUAGUGAGCUACCCCAAACUACCACAUACCAUACAAUAACAUAUAAAGCAUCUACUGGGCCUUGCCCACUGCAUCGGACCGAAGUCCGGAAACUUACCAGGGCCUUGCCCUCUGCAUCGGACCGAAGUCCGGAAACUAACCAGGGCCUUGCCCUCUGCAUCGGACCGAAGUCCGGAAACUGCAUCGGACCGGAGUCCGGAACUAACCAGGGCCUUGCUCUCUGCAUCGGAUCGAAUUCCGAAACUAACUGCAUCAGACCGAAGUCUGGAACUGAAUGGGACCUUGUCCCUUGCAUCGGAUCGAAGUCCGCAACUGACCGAACGUAACAUAGCAUAAACAUAUCAACUAGCAUGAAAACAUAUACUGCAUACUACAUCGGAACAGAGUCCGGAACACAUAACACAAAACGUGCUUGAAUCACAAAGACGUCAAGCACUCUAACUACUGCAUCGGACCGAAGUCCGAAACUACUGCUAACUAAACGGGCCGACAUUGUGGCCGUAGACCCGUUCCUACUGGAAGGAAACUCACCUCGUGAUGCUGACCGAUGCACUCCUGAAUGAGAAAUCCCUGACUGCUGCUCCGGCUGCUUCCCAGCUAUAAUGGGAAAUAAAUACUAAAUCAGAAUAGGGAUUCCUCUCUGGGUAAAAUGACCAUUUUACCCCUACUAUGGUGUGAGACACAACAUGGCCCAAAACCUCAAUUCCUUCUAAGUUCAUCUAUGGCCCCACUAUAGGCCCACUAAUGGCCCAAUUUGCUAUUUUAGGCCUAGGACCCUUUUAUUGGGCCUUACCCAAGCCCAAUACUAAAUCCUUGGUCCUUAGCAACUGAAUUCUGAUGGGCCAUAAAGGCCCAAGGAUCCUAAGCCUAAAACCCAACCCACAUCGAGGCCCAACACUCAAAGCCCAAACUGGUAGCAUACGCAGGGCGUACACCAAGGUACGCUGAGCGUACUGGCUGCUGGCUUUUACACGGCGCGUACUUCCUUGUACGCCCAGCGUACAACUCUGUUAAGCCAACAUCCCAUUAAGUCCUUAAUAAUUCGAUCCAGAAGCUACAAAUCCAGAUCCUAAGCUUGUUCCAUGACUUAAGCUAUAAAGUUGCUUACUUGAUGGCUUACAAGUCUCAUAAAGGCUCAAACUUACACAAAUAACAUUCUACUUCCAUAAAACCAACAAGAUCUCAGGCAUGGUUCCAUAUAAGCCACAAAGAUCGAAACUUUACUACUAUAGGGACACUUGAGCCUCAAGGAUAGCAAUCCCAAGCUCCAAAAACGAAGUUGCUAGAUAAAGGUCCUUCCUUUGGACCUAAAAGGUCCAAACUUCCAAAAACUCCUAGAUCUAAACUUACAAGAGGAAAGUUGGAAGCUUUAUACCUCUUUUGAAUGCCAAAAGAAAGGAUGAUCCCAGAUCUAUGAGCUCAAGGUGCUCAAGUUCUUCUUCUUCCACUUCUCUUCUUCUUCUUCUUCACAAAAAUAAGCUCAAAGAUCAAACACACACAAACAAGGAGCAAAGGGGGACGAACUAGGGUUUCUAUGGAGUGAAUGAUAAGUGAGGGGUCCAAAUGGAAGGCUAUAACGGGGUUUAAAUACGCCUCAACCCCUAAAAUUAGGGUUUGCCACCUGGUCGCGUACACUGGGCGUACCUUAAGGUACGUUGCGUGUAUGCUCAGCCUCCCCGUGUUUCAUUUAAUCAGUACGCCCAGCGUACAAGGGGGUUACGCCCCGCGUACAGCUUAUGGGCUGCUUACUCUUCGGCCCAAAAUAAAGGUACACUCACAAUAUUAAUUCAGUUAUGGCCCAAACUAAACUAAAGAAUUAAAUAACUUUUAUACCUCGGAAACGAUCGUUACAAAUCUCCCCUACUUGAAUCAGACUUCUUCCUCGAAGUCUGCUGCCACUGAAUCUGAAAAUAACUCCGGGUAAUGCUCCUGCAUCUCCUCCUCUCAUUCCCACUUCUACUCUGAACCCUUCCGGUGCUGCCACUGCACCUGCACUAGCUGAUUUACCUUGUUCCUCAAGGUCUUUGUCUUCCGGUCCAGAAUCGCGACCGGCCUCUCAAUAUAAUUAAGCUUCUAUCAACCUGAAUGUCCUCUAAGGGAACAACUGCUGACUCAUCCACCAAACACUUCCUCAACUGGGAAACAUGGAAAGUGUUGUGGAUCUGGCUAAGCUCUGCCAGAAGAUCCAACCGGUAAGCAACCCGACCCACCCGGGCCAGAACUCUAAAAGGACCAAUGAAUCUGGGGCCCAUCUUUCCCCUCUUCCGAAAUCUGAUGACACCCUUCCAAGGUGAUACCUUAAGGAGGACCAUGUCGCCUUCCUGAAACUCCAAGUCUUAUCGCCUCCUAUCGGCGUAACUCUUCUGCCGACUCUGCGCAGUCUGCAGCCUACUGCGUACCUGCUGGAUCAACUCUGUCGUCUUGAGCACCACUUCGGUGCUCCCAAUGACAUGCUGACCGACCUCGCCCCAACAAAUCGGGGUCCUACACUUCAUCCCAUAUAGCAUGUCGAAGGGAGGUCGGUCAAUACUCGCAUGGUAACUGUUGUUAUACGAAAAUUCAGCUAACGGAAGAUACGUAUCCCAACUGCCACCGAAAUCUAGGACACAUGCCCGAAGCAUAUCCUCCAGGGUCUGAAUCGUCCUCUCACUCUGUCCGUCCGUCUGGGGGUGGAAAGCGAUGCUGAAAUAGAGACGAGUGCCCAUCUCGUCAUGAAACCGCUUCCAAAAUCUGGAAGUAAAACGGACAUCUCGGUCUGACAUCACAGAUUCAGGCACUCCAUGCCGUGCAACAACCUCUCGCACAUAAAUAUCAGCUAGUUUCUCCGCCGAUAUACUCUCCUGGAUCAGUAUAAAAUGAGCACUCUUCGUCAACCGAUCCACAAUAACCCAAAUCGAAUCCUCCCCACGUGCGGUCCUAGGGAGCUUAGUGAUGAAAUCCAUGGUGAUAUCCUCCCAUUUCCACACUGGAAUGUCUAACGGCUGCAACUUGUCGUGGGGCCUCUGGUGCUCUGCCUUGACCUUCCUGCAGGUCAGGCACCUCUCCACAUACCAGGCGACAUCCCGCUUCAUGCAGGGCCACCAAUAAUCAGGUCGAAGAUCCCUAUACAUCUUCGUCUCCCCUGGAUGGAUGGAAAAUCGAGACUUAUGAGCCUCGUCCAUCAACAACUGCCGUAAUCCGCCCCACUACGGUACACAUACUCUCCCAUGAAGAGUCAACAAUCCUCGACUAUCGUAGUCAAAAGAAGCUACUCGGCCCACAAUCCUAUCAUACUUAUGUCUCUCCUCCUUGAGGCCCUCGGUCUGCGCCUCUUUGAUUUGCUCCAACAAUGUAGUAAUCACUGUCAUCCUCAAACAAAUAUCUCUGAUCGGGGCUGCUGCUGCCUUGCGGCUCAGGGCGUCGGCCACUACAUUGGCCCUCCCUGGGUGAUAUAAGAUCUCACAGUCGUAAUCCUUCAACACAUCUAACCAUCGCCUCUGCCUCAUGUUUAGAUUCGACUGAUCCAUGAGGUACCUCAAGCUCUUGUGAUCCGUGUAAAUGGUACAACGGACCCCGUAGAGGUAAUGUCUCCAAAUCUUGAGGUCGAACACCAUUGCCCCCAAAUCUAAAUCAUGUGUAGGAUAAUUAGCCUCGUGAGGCUUCAACUGUCUCGAGGCGUAAGCUAUCACAUGACCUCGCUGCAUCAACACUGUUCCCAUACAUGUGAUCGAAGCAUCACAAUAAACCACAAAAUCCUCUACUCCAUCUGGCAGGGUAAGAAUCGGUGCCUCGCACAAUCUCUGCCUGAGGGUCUCAAAUGCUGCUUGCUGCUCAGGCCCCCAACGAAACACCACCGACUUCUUAGUCAGUCGGGUGAGCGGUACUGCUAUCUUGGAGAAAUGCUGAAUGAACCUCCUGUAGUACCCUGCCAGACCUAGGAAGCUCCGAAUCUUAGAUGGAGACCUCGGGACCUCCCACUUCAUCACGGCCUCUAUCUUGGCCGGAUAUACCAAAAUACCCUUCUGGUUGACGAGGUGUCCAAGGAACUGCACCUCGCACAACUAGAACUCGCACUUGGAGAACUUCGCGAAAAGUCUCUUUUUCCUUAAAAUCUCUAGCACCUCCCUCAGGUGCUCCUCGUGCUACUCCUAAGUUUUGGAAUAAGCCAAGAUGUCAUCAAUGAAUACUAUCACUGAUCGAUCCAACAACGUCCUACAUACGCGGUUUAUGAGGUCCGUGAACGCGACUGGGGCGUUGGUGAGCCUAAAUGGCAUCACCACGAACUCAUAAUGACCGUACCGGGUCCUGAAAGCAGUUUUCUGCACAUCCUCAUCCCUGACUCUCAUCUGAUGAUACCCGGAGCGUAAAUCGAUCUUGGAAAACCAAGACGCUCCCUGCAGCUGAUCAAACAAAUCAUCUAUCCUUGGAGUGGGUAACGGUUCUUCACCGUUACCUUAUUUAACUCCUGAUAAUCAAUACACAUACGGUGCGGUCCGUCCUUCUUCUUCACAAACAAAAUCGGUGCUCCCCAGGGCGAACUGCUCGGCCUAAUAAAACCCUUGUCUAACAGCUCAUGCAGCUGCGUAGACAACUCUUACAUCUCUAGGGGAGCCAACCGAUACGGUGCCUUGGCUAUCGGAGCCGCACCAGGGAUUAGGUCAAUUCCGAACUCGACCUGCCUCUCGGGAGGUAUUCCAGGAAAAUCCUAUGGAAAUACAUCCGGGUAGUCUCGCAUUACCGGAACAUCAUCAACUGUUGUCUUUCCCUUCUCCCGGGCAUCUAAAACAUAGGCAACAUAACCGGCAUAACCCUACUGAAAAUAGCGCCUCGCUCUCGCCACUGAACAUAGAACUGGUCCGCACUGUGGCCUCUCGCCCUGAAUCACUAACUCUCCCCCACUAGGAGUGCGAACCCUCACCAACUGUAGCUCACAAUCUAUCACCGCCCCAUUGGGGCUCAGCCAAUCCAUGCCUACUAUGAACUUAUUCCCUCGCAAGGGAAUAGGGACCAAGUCCACCGGAAACUGCUCAUCGAAUAAUUGUAGGGAACACCCUCUGUGCAUCCUUGCAACCCUAACGGUCCUAUCAGCUGCUAUCUCAACCUCAAGUGGACAAUCUAGCUCCCAUGGAGCUUUGCUAAACCCCUUGCUAAGUGCAAGAGAGACGAAUGAUUGGGUAGCCCCCGAAUCAAACAAUACGGUAGCUGAUAUGCCGUUCACUGGGAACGACCCUAUACAAAACAUAUAACCAUAAGAAACAAUCAAUAAUAAAUGCAGAGGUACGGAGAAAAAAAAUACAUACCCGUCACCACGUCAGGAGUCGCUCGCGCCUCCCCUGCUGUCAACUGAAAAGCCCUACUCUUUGCCACUGGAGUCUCAGCUCGGCCCUGACGGCCAUCUGUAAUCCUCAAAGUAGCAGGGGCAGGGGCUGACACCUUCCCUGCAGCAGCUAAACCCGGACACUAGGACUACUUAUGUCCCCUCUGAUUGCAAUGGAAGCAAAUCAGAUCUGAUGCCGCAACGGCAGUAGUAGUGGCUAUACAAUCUCGGCUCAUAUGCCCAGUCCGACCGCACUUGUAGCAGCCAGCACUCCCUGCUUUGCACGCCCCAUCGUGCAAUCUCCCACACUUGCCACACCUAGCGUGGCUCCGCUGACUCCUAGCUCUGUGAUCUGAACCCUUGGGCUUUUUGCCCGAACUUCGUGAACCUGGAGCCGCCUCCGGCUUCCUCUUUCUCUCCAUCUCAAGGUCAAUCUCUCUCUCUCUCUCUCUCGCCCUAGCAAUCAUGUCAUCCAGCGUCUUACAGCUGGAUCGGCUCACGAACUGGCGGAUAUCACUCCGCAACAUCUCAUGAUAACGGGAUUUGUUCAUUUCCUCAUCAGGUCCGUACUGAGGAACAAGAAGAGCCCUCUCCCUGAACUUGGCGGUAAUCUCCGCCACUGUCUUUAUAGUCUGGGUAAGAUCCUGAAACUCUCUGGCUAACUGCUGCACCUCAAUGAUCGGUGAGAACUCAGCUCUGAACCUGGUAGUGAAAUCAGUCCAGGUCAUAGCAUCCAAAGUUGCGUCAUCCCCAAUGGCAUGACCAACCUCCUCCCACUAAUCCCAUGCCCUGUCCUUCAAGAGACAGCACGCCAAUCUGACCUUGUCCCCCUCAGGACAUCUGCUAGUGCGAAAAGCGUUGGCCACAUCUGCCAACCAUCUAGUACUCGCUAUGGGGUCUCGCGCCCCGUGAUAAUCCGGAGCUCCGCAUGCCCGGAACUCCCUAAAAGUAAGCGUGCGCGACCCCAUCAUGGCCGCUAUCUCAGCACAGAAGGUGCUCAACCUCUCAUCCAUCAACUCUAAGAUACCCUCCCUGAUCGAACCGAAGAUUACAAGAGUCUGCUCAAGUAUGGUGCGAGUAAUCUCUGAAGAGAGAAACUCCCUAGUCUGCUUAUCCAACUGCCCGGCCUCCGGGCCUGGUUCUGAUCCCCCUCCGACACCUGAACUGCCGACUGCUGGUCUAGGGCAUAAUACCACCAUUCUGAAACACAUAAAAAAAAGCAUCAGGAACACUGAUAUAUCUACGUACCCUUGGUCUCAUCUCAGCUUUUCUUGAUUCGACUACAGAUCCUCUGCUUUCAGUAGUACGGGCCCAUACUACCUUCCACAUAUAUCCGUACUUUCCUCAAGUACUGCCUCGACUCCACCAAGUCACUCCUACUACUACUGAUCUCUGCUACUCUCAUCCUAGGCUUGCCCUAGGGAAAUAUCUGACUCAACCUAACCGGUCCUCAACUGCUGUAGGCCUCCUUGUAAUGCCAAUUAACCUUUACCUGAAUACCAUCACAUGUGGCGAGGCUCAAAUAAUCCUUCGAGUAAAAGACUUGUCCUCACAACGGUUAGACUCAAACAAGAGUUGCGCAGCAGGGACAAAUCCAACACUCUGAGAUUAUUUAACCCUGAUCCCAUGUGACGUGACGUAUUCACCUAAUGGCUAAAUCUCAUUAUUCAGAGUCCCACAAAGCACAAAGCAAGAAGCAUUCGGACACAGGAAAUUACUCGAGCAAUUCUAUCCUCAUAACGAGAAACUGUACUAGCAUGCAAUUUAUAAGCUCAUACUAUCAGGCAUAGCCUAAACAGACUAUCCUACUGCUGUCUACUCAAUACUAACAUGCAAUUCUCAUAAAGCUGAAUCACAUAUAGCAGACACAUAAGGCAUCCUCCUAGAUCCUUAGCCCAAUUCUAGCAUGCUGUUCUACUAAAACUGAUAACUCAUAACAUAAACUCGUAUGGGUAAUUUGGGAGUACUUACUUGAGCUCGGCUGAUCGCAUGCACCACACCCCUUUUCUCUUUUCAAAGUCCUUUUCUUUCUACAAAUUUCUUUUCACUUUUCUAAAACUCUUUUCUUUUGAAAACAUUUUACCACUUCCUUAUUUUGAGUUCAGACACACCCGAAAGUGUGUCCGAAUCCCUCAAACCAAGGCUCUGAUACCAACUUGUAACAUCCAAAAAUACGACCCAAAAAUUUUUGUUUUAAAUAAUAAUAAAAUCAUAUUCCAAUCGUCACAUCAUAAAACCAUGUGUCAGUUAUCUCAACCCAUAAUAAAAUGUCAUGAACAUUUGUGCGAAAUCAAACUAUGAAUCAAAAUAAACUCCCAGGAAAAGACUGAAGCUGUGGUGUGUGCGAUGCCAUCAUCCCGAGCUCUUCCCUUUACUUACGGAAGCACCUGAAACCAAAACUGAAACUGUAAGCAUGAAGCUUAGUGAGCUCCCCCAAACUACCACAUACCAUACAAUAACAUAUAAAGCAUCUACUGGGCCUUGCCCACUGCAUCGGACCGAAGUCCGGAAACUUACCAGGGCCUUGCCCUCUGCAUUGGACUGAAGUCCGGAAACUAACCAGGGUCUUGCCCUCUGCAUCGGACCGAAGUCCGGAAACUGCAUUGGACCGGAGUCCGGAACUAACCAGGGCCUUGCCCUCUGCAUCAGAUCGAAGUCCGGAACUAACUGUAUCAGACCAAAGUCCGGAACUGAAUGGGACCUUGUCCCUUGCAUCGGAAUGAAGUCCGGAACUGACCGAACGUAACAUAGCAUAAACAUAUCAACUAGCAUGAAAACAUAUACUACAUACUACAUCGGAACAGAGUCCGGAACACAUAACACAAAACGUGCUUGAAUCACAAAGACGUCAAGCACUCUAACUACUGCAUCGGACCGAAGUCCGAAACUACUGCGAACUAAACGGGCCGACAUUGUGGCCGUAGACCCGUUCCUACUGGAAGGAAACUCACCUCGUGAUGCUGACCGAUGCACUCCUGAAUGAGAAAUCCCUGACUGCUGCUCCGGCUGCUUCCCAGCUAUAAUGGGAAAUAAAUACUAAAUCAGAAUAGGGAUUCCUCUAUGGGUAAAAUGACCAUUUUACCCCUACUAUGGUGUGAGACACAACAUGGCCCAAAACCUCAAUUCCUUCUAAGUCCAUCUAUGGCCCCACUAUAGGCCCACUAAUGGCCCAAUUUGCUAUUUUAGGCCUAGGACCCUUUUAUUGGGCCUUACCCAAGCCCAAUACUAAAUCCUUGGUCCUUAGCAACUGAAUUCUGAUGGGCCAUAAAGGCCCAAGGACCCUAAGCCUAAAACCCAGCCCACAUCGAGGCCCAACACUCGAAGCCCAAACUGGUAGCGUACGCGGGGUGUACACCAAGGUACGCUGAGCGUACUGGCUGCUGGAUUGUACGCGGCGCGUACUUCCUUGUACGCCCAGCGUACAACUCUGUUAAGCCAACAUCUCAUUAAGUGCUUAAUAAUUCGAACCAGAAGCUACAAAUCCAGAUCCUAAGCUUGUUCCAUGACUUAAGCUAUAAAGUUGCUUACUUGAUGGCUUACAAGUCUCAUAAAGGCUCAAACUUCCACAAAUAACAUUCUACUUCCAUAAAACCAACCAGAUCUCAUGCAUGGUUCCAUAUAAGCCACAAAGUUCGAAACUUUACUACUAUGGGGACACUUGAGCCUCAAGGAUAGCAAUCCCAAGCUCCAAAAACGAAGUUGCUAGAUAAAGGUCCUUCCUUUGGACCUUAAAGGUCCAAACUUCCAAAAACUCCGAGAUCUAAACUUACAAGAGGAAAGUUGGAAGCUUUAUACCUCUUUUGAAUGCCAAAAGAAAGGAUGAUCCUAGAUCUAUGAGCUCAAGGUGCUCAAGUUCUUCUUCUUCCACUUCUCUUCUUCUCAUUCUUCAUAAAAAUAAGCUCAAAGAUCAAACACAUACAAACAAGGAGCAAAGGGGACGAACUAGGGUUUCUCUGGAGUGAAUGAUAAGUGAGGAGUCCAAAUGGGAGGCUAUAAUGGGGUUUAAAUACGCCUCAACCCCUAAAAUUAGGGUUUGCCACUUGGUCGCGUACGCUGGGCGUACCUUAAGGUACGAUGCGCGUACGCUCAGCGUCCCCGCGUUUCAUUUGAGCAGUACGCCCAACGUACAAGGGGGUUACGCCCCGCGUACGGCUUAUGGGCUGCUUACUCUUCGGCCCAAAAUAAAGGUCCACUCACAAUAUUAAUUCAGUUAUGGCCCAAACUAAACUGAAGAAUUAAAUAACUUUUAUACCUCGGAAACGAUCGUUACACUUUUGAUUUUGGGCUUGGGCCUCGUCUUUUGGUUUAUGUUAUGUCAGGGGUAAAAUGGUCAUUUUACGCCAAGUGUGGAUUAUGGAUCAUGGUUUGGAAUUCAAUUGCUAACUAGAGGUUGUUUUGGUUAUUCUUAGUUUGGGAAAUCGUCAAGGCAGCAACUAGGGAUUUCGUGCAGUGAGCUUCUGCAUUCGAGGUGACUCUCCUCACUAUUUGUAUGGGUUGAAGGCACCAAAGCUAACUUAUUUGGUUUAUGUAUGGUAGGAAGACCCGGGGGUUAGCCCUUGGCACUAUAUAUGAAAGACCAUGAGGCAACUCCUAACACACUGUAUGCUAUUAGCUAAGUAGAGUAGAUUGUACACUAUUUGUCUUUGUGGUACUUGCAUGGAAGACCCGGAGAUGGUUACUGGCACUUGUCUAUAGGACCCAGGGGGUGGCCCCCGACUUGACAAGAAAGACCACGAGGCGGCCCGUGUCAUAACGGCAAGAGUAUGUGCAACACAUAGCAUCUUAUAUAACUAUGAUUGAUGUAUAGCUCAUGGUUAUGUAUGACAUGUAUGGAUAUGAUUGAUAUGUAUGUUAUGUGGUAUUUGGGGAACUCACUAAGCUUCAUGCAUGCAGUUUUCAGUUUUUGUUUCAGAUACCUCCAGUUUUCAAAUAAAGGAGCUCGGGACGAUCGCAAUGCAUAUACCCAUGUUUUUUUCGCAAUAUGUGAUCUUUGGGAUUAGACUCUGAUAUUAAUUUAAUUGAAAUGUUUUUAGUGUCCGAAACAAAGUUAUUAAGUGUUUUUCCUAUAUUAAAAAUGAAAAUUUUACCUUAGAUUUUUGGGUCGUUACAUUUUAAUUGACGUGGUAAGUGAUGUGGCAAGCUGUUAAUUGAAGUGGCAAAUGAUACCUGCUGACUUCCCUUUCAAAAUAGUGACCUUUUAACCCUUCUAAAUUGGACUUCAUAUCCUUAGAAAGAGAAAAAAAGACAUUUUAAACCAAAAGCUCUAAGUUAGUUGGGCUAUAGUGACAUUUUCCCCUAUAAGAUAUUGUUUAACAUUGGUGUAGUUUUUCUGUUUCUUAAGGUUUUAAUGAGUAAUAUACUUACGUUAGAAUGAAAACGCUCUCUGAUGCUUGAAAGGUUUGUAGAUUGAAACCCAUUUAAAAUGAAGAGGAACACGCAAUAAUUUAAAUCAUUGUAAUGUUAGUCUAGAAGAGACUGUUGAUUUAGUGAUGGCGUGAAAGUUGUUAAUAUAAAUGGUAGGUAGAGGAUUUUUCCCUAUAAAGUUUACCUUUAAUAGAAUCUUGAAUGACCUUUUGCUUACUGCAAUCAUGAUUCUGCCAAAGAAAUACUUAGAGCACAGAGUAGAUGUGGCCGUCUCCCUUGGGAAGAUUUCAAAGGAAACAACUGAAGAUUUACUACAUUGAAUAUUAUCCAGCAUCUAAGUUGUUCAGACAAAAGUUGUUAAAAUCAAAACAAAGAUAAAGAACACGGGCAGUUUAGUAAAUAAACAAAGUUACAAUUAAGAAGCCGAUAUAAACUUUUAUUAUAUAUUGACGACUAAAUAUAUUGUUAUACAUCUUUUGAUAUAAACUUUUAUUAUAUAUUGACGACUAAAUAUAUUCUUAUACAUCUUUUUUUCAUUUACCAAAAUGAUCAAAGCUUGAAAAAAUGUUUUUGAUUUUAUUAAGAAUAAGUAUUUUGUAUUUACACUGUAUUAUGAAAAUAUUUUGAUUUUCUAGUGCUUUAUGUGAUCUUCAAUUUUUUUUCAUGCCUAUCUAAAAUCCCAAUUUCUUAAAAUGACUCCUCAUAUUGUAAUAGAAAAGUAGACAAUAUAUAAUGAAUUAUGUUGUGAUUUGUAAUAUUUACUUCACGAGAUUUGGGGUUUAACAACCCAUAAUAUAAUCAUAAAGAUGUUAGAAACGCGUUAUAAAUUAAACAUGUCUUGACUGAUUUAAAGUUAUUCGCCUUUUAUAAUUGUUAAAUUCUUUGAACAAUAUGUUUGUGUAGUUUUAAAUCAAAACAAUCGUAUUUUCACUUUUUAACAAAAACAAAGUACUUUUCCUUUUAUUUUAUCACCAAAACAACAAUCUUAAUUAGUUUUAAGCCAAAAAUAGCCAUGUACUUAUAUUUUUAAGUCAAAGCAUGAAUGUAUUUAUAUUUUUAAUCCAAUAUAGUAAUGUAUUUUUAUAACAUUCGGCAAUCAUAUUAUAGAAGCAAAGAUAAUUUCCGGAAGUAAUCUUUGAUGAUUUCUAUUAAAAGGAUACUUUUCACAUUUCAAAUAAGAUAAUUUCCAUUAGUUGUAUGUUUUGCGUUUACAAUAAACAAGAGUCUUGGAAAAUCUUUAUCGAAUGUGGGGCUGUUUUUUUACAUUGUUCACUCAUAAGUUAAAAGCAUAAUUGAUUAAAAAUAUUAAUUUUAGAGAACGAUAGUAACUUAGCAAUAGGACAUCUAAUGUUGUAUUAAAAAAAAUCUUUGGAAUUUGUAAGUCAACACAAUUAUUUAAAAUAUCAAUAGUUUUUUUUUUUUUUUUUUUUUUUUUUUUUUUUUUUUUUUUUUUUUUUUUUUUAUUUUUUUUUUUUUUUUUUUUUUUUUUUUUUUUUUUUUUUAUUAUAGAUUGAAUUGCUUACUUAUUCACCAUUUUCUUUGUAUUUUUUUCAAAAUUUUAGUUUUAAAAUUGCUUAAUGUUUACAUCUUGAUAUUUAAUUUAAUUUUAAUCAACAUGUGUAGUAUACAGGUUUCACACCUAGUAUAAUUAAAGAGAAAGUGCCAUGUGGACGCCACUUAAACCUCCAUGUAAGUAAGUUCUAUAUGGAAUGUCACGUCAUCUUAUAACAGGCUAUCCCAUUCUUCCUUCUAAUAAUGACCUUUUUGAUAUAUUUCUUGAAAGUUUAGGACUUUGAAUGACAAAAAGAUAAACGAGUGACCAAAUGAGAUCAAAACCUAUAUAAGUUGUGGGGAAACAGUGACAUCAACCCAAAACACAAAACUAUCAUCCAUAAUAACACUAACAAAACUUUCCGCUUUGCUCUUUAAUUUUGAAUCGUCACAUGAUUUUCAUAAUUCACAACCUGGAACAAAGAUUUCACAGUUAAAUUUGGAAAACUAGCAAGCAAUAUUUUCCAUCGUUUAGGAGAACUUGGAAAAAAUGCAAGUUCAGAUGGUAUUUAGUACCUUUUAAUCUCAACAGUUUCUUUCUGAAAACUAGUUGAUCUGUAGGGGCCAUGUGCUGCAAAUAGAACAGACAAGUCAAUAGUAGAAACUAUAAACUCAAGUGUAAAUUACAAUUUCGAUUUCCAUUUAUAACUGAUGCAAAGAGCCAAAACUAAUCAUGUUUACAUUAUGAAAUGUAAUGGAAGUGCAACUGCUAUCGAAAUAUGAUAUCUAAUGGAUUCUAACUUACACCAUUACUAAACCGGCGACUCGGUUUCAAAUGAAAUCGAUUUGUAUGAAACCAUUUUUUUCUACACCAGUCCGGUUCGGUUUUUGGCUUUUUAGUGUCCCUCUAACUUUCUUCUUGUUUUUUAGAUGCUACGAAGUGUAUUGAAUUUUGUAGGAUAUCUUAUUUCAUACAAAACAGAGAAAAUGGCCACCCAUGGUUUUGGUGGCAACUUUAUUAAUAUGGAGGGCUUAAAACCUCCAGCAAAAUUACAUACUGGAAAAUAAGAAAUCAAAAAUAAAAACUAGAUGACAAACUGUGUUUAUCUAGCUUUAUGCAAACUUGAAAUGCGCAUCAGCACCUUCACCUAAACCCAAUCUUUGCAGCUAUCAAAAAAGUGAAAAAAUGCACGUCUCCCUCGGUGGUUGAGAAGUAAAGCACCACAUGCUAUCCAAAAUCCAAUAGCAAAACCAGUUCCCCCACCAGCAUAAAACCAUCCCCAAAAUUCAUCUAUGUCUUUCGCAUCACUCUUACUUUUACCAACGAUUGGUGGGACUUCUGAUUCUUCGUCUCCAGGACACUUUUUGGUAAGGGGAAGUCCACAUAGUUGUGAAUUCCCAUCAUAUCUUGAAGGUUCAAAGGACUGGAGUUGAGUGCUAGAUGGAAUUCUCCCUGAAAAGUUAUUAAAUGACAAGUCUAGGUCAUUCAGUAAAGUCAUCUGAGACAUGCUUGAUGGUAUCUGCCCUGAAAAACUGUUUCUAGACAAAUCCAAAGUCAGAAGUUUUUUCAUCUCACCAAUUUUCUGUGGAAUCUCUCCAAAUAGAGAGUUCUUUGACAAGCUCAGGGCAAUCAAGUCUGAAAGAUUGGUAAUUUCAUAUGGGAUUUGUCCUGUUAACUUGUUGCUUGACAGGUCAAUGGUCUUCAACAAUUUCAGAGUGUUAAAGAAUUCAUGUUCAUCUCCUUGCCACUCAAUCAUUGCAUGGUCAACAUAUAUCCCCGAUCCAUAUGCAACACCUCUUACAAGUGUAUAAAACUUUACAUCUUGUGAGAAUCUUGGUUGAAUCAUGCUCGUAAGAUUACUAAAACAUGAGGGGAUGGUUCCUUGAAGAUUGUUCAUUGACAAGUCCAAAAUUUGAAGAUUAGCUAACUGACAUAAUUGUAAAGGGAUGGUUCCAAAGAAGUUGUUUGAUCUUAGGAUAAGAACAUACAGCCCUGAUAGGUUUUCUCCUAUCCAAACAGGCACAUUACCAGAAAACUUGUUGGCCCCCAAAUUCAAUGAGAUUAAACUUGUGCAAUUUUUUAAAGACAAAGGCAAUUCUCCAGAGAAGUUGUUAUCGUAUACAUACAACACCUGGAGAUCUGUCAAAAAUCCAAUAGAGGGAGGAAGCCUUCCAAAGAGAUUGUUGUGUCCGAGAUUAAGAACUUUUAGCUCUCUGAAAUGCCACAAACAGUCUGGGAGUUGUCCAAUAAAUAUGUUGCGAGAGAGGUCAAGAAAUGAAGAGAACCCAUCAACAAUCUGACAUAUAAAGGAGAUCCCUCCAGAGAAUUUGUUUCUGGAAAGAUUUAAUAAUGACAAAGUAGAAGAAACAUUUAGUAUCGCACCGUGAAAGUUGUUGGAACUCAAAUCUAUCUUUGAACCGUUGGCAAAACUUGAUAAUAAAUCUGGUACUUUCCCGCUAAUGUUGUUGGAAGAGAGAUUCAGAUAUUUUAAUUGAGAAGGCCAUGUGGCCCAAAACUCGAGAGGAAUUGUGUCUGAAAUUCCAGUAUUGGAAAGAUCAAGACGGGUAAGAUUUUUGAGUGUCUGAAUCCAUUUGGGGAAGCGAGGCCCUACCUUGCAAGAGCUUACAUAAAUUUCCUUUACAUAAGAAAGGCUUGGCAAGUGAUAUGUGGAAGGAACUGUAAGAUUAUUAAAAGAAACGUCAAGCAAUCCAAGCCCCGGUAGUUCCCACAGUUUGUCACUUAUAAUUCCAUUUAAGUGAUUAUGAGAUAAGUCCAAGUACUCUAGGGAUGAAAACUUUUGGAUAUCAUUGGACAAUGAUCCUAUAAAUUGGCUAUCAGAAGCAUCCAACCAUUGUAAUGAAAGGGAUGUGCAUCCAGACAAGUUGUUGAGAAAAUCAGGAAAUUGGACAGCAGCCGAGUUGUUACUGAUUUCCAAAUACUCCAAGCUACAGAGGUUACCAAGAUAUUUGGGUAUCCCAUCUAACAUGUUGUAAGAGAGAUCAAGAUAGCCAAGCUUAUUGCUGGUUAAUAGGAACAACCAACGAUACAUGGAUGAGGUGAGACUGUUGUUUCCAAGAUAAAGGCCUUCAAUAGAUGAAGAAGAAGAAGAAGAGUUGAGAAAUGAAGAAGAAUAUGGAUACAUCACCUGUGACAGCUCACAUCCCUCUAAAGAUAAAUAUGAGAGUUUCCGGAGACUCAGAAUUACAUCUACCCAGUGAUUUUGUUUGGCUAGGGAAAUCCCAUCUAAUUCAAGUUUCUCCAAAUGAGACAGAUUAGACAACCACUCUAUCUUUUCAACUCUACAUCUUCCAACGUAACUAAGUUGAAGGUGUUGCAAGUUGGUGAGGUUUUCAAAUUCUGGAGGAAUGGUUCCAUAAAAGGAGUUAUGGGAAAGGUCAAGGUAAAUUAAUUGGGUCAUGGAACCAAUGAAGAUGGGAAUGUUUCCAUGAAAAGAAUUGAUGGAAAGAUCCAAAUGAUUCAAAUAGCUUAAAUUAAGCAAAGAAUGGCUAAUCUCACCUACAAGACCAGAGUUGCUGAUUUCAAGCUUUGUAACAUGACCUGUUUGGUUGUUGCACGUAAUUCCUCUCCAUUUACAGCAGUCAUGUUCGUCAGCUGUCCAAGUAGAGAGACCACCAUCAGGGUCUUUAAGGGGAGCUUUAAAAAGAAGGAGAGCGUGUAUCUCCUUAUCCAAACACUUGUUCAUCACAACAUCUGCAUCAACCCCUCCUUUUCCCACUCUUACCAAUUGGCUGGAAGUUGUAGUCACAGUGAGUAGCAAAAGAAGUGAGAAAAUUAUAAAAACACAAGGAGUCAUAAUGUCUAAAUGAAACUCUUGCUGAUUUUUUGGUUUGUAUAUCAACUGCCCUCAUGAGGGUUUAUAUAGUCUCAACUGUGAGGAUGAAUGAUUCUAAGUAGGUGAUCUCAAACUGGUGGCAUACGUGUUUGGAGCAAAGAGCAAGGCAAAUUAAAAAUGACGAAUUGGAAUAAAUUGCCCCGGAUUAGACGUUCAUAGACCUAGAAGUCUUGGUCGUUUGUAUUUAUUAUCUAUUAUAAUACCCAAGAAAACAAAGUAACGAAAUCAAAUGCCAAUCUACCAUGAAAAUAGUAAAAAUAUUAUUUGGGUCUCUUUAUAAAGUGAUGUUGAAUACAGAUUACUUUUUAUUUUAGUAGUGUUAUCAGUAGAUAGAGCAAAAACUUUAUCGACAUACAAACAAAUCAAAAUUUAAAAGCAAACACUCAAUUAAACCCCAAUUCAACAGCAAUCACGAAUCUCGCAUUCCCCCUUCAUUAUUAUACAAUUUAUGUUUCUGCCUGGAGAUAUAGCACGCAAUAAAAUAGAGAACAGAGAUAAAGAGAACAAAUGCGCUGAGUACCUGUGAUCUGCUGAUAAUUUACCUGAUGGAAAACCAAGAAGAUGACAACGGUAGCGGCAAGGUGGGAGAUAAAAGCAACGACUUCGGAUGUAAGAAUGCGAUAAAUUCAAAAUCCGCUAAAUAUUCUUUUAUGAUGAUUAUUCAUUUUAUAAUUAUAAGUCGAUAGUGACUUAAAAAAAUUAAAAAUGUAUUAUAUAUAUAUANCAUAUUAAAACACAUUUAAAGAAUCUUAGGUACAACUUAAUUAUAUAUAAAACUAGGUUAUAACCCGUGGACACAACGGGUGAAAAUUUUAAAAUUAAUUUUAAUUUAUUUAUAAAUUAAUUAUUGAAAAUUUUAAAAAUAAUUUAAAUUAAUUAAUAACAUAAUUAUUGAGUGAUGUUUUGUCAGUAAUUUCAUAAUAAUAUAAUGUUCGGUUGAAACUAAGAAUUCAAAAAUGUUUAAAUAUCCAAUUAGCAAUUUGUAUUUGUAGAUAUGUUAGAAAAUUAUCAUUUUGUAUAAUGCAAUAAAAUUUAAAUAAAAUGGAAAGAUAAAUUGAUAUACAUAAUAAAAGUAUACGCAGUUUUAUAUAUUUGUAAAAAGUAAUUUAACAUAACAUUGGAUAGUUUAUUUGCAUGACAAAUUUGAUAUAUGACAAUCUGGUCUCCAUGAUCCAAGUAAUCUGUUGAAUCUCAUAAAUAAAUUAAAAAUAAUGAAUAUAAUUAAAUAUAUUAAAUAAAAAUAUUAAAUUUUCUAUAUUUAUGAUCACCUUGUGAAGUACCGCGAAAAACAUAUUCAAUAAUAUGGUCAUCAUUAAUUUCUUCAUCUAAUGUCAAGUCAAUCAUAGAUAUAGCAGAUAUGUGUGUAGUCUUUCUUUUUAAUUGAUGUUUUUCCUUUUGGUAACUUGAUUGAUGAAGAUUUUUGAGUGAUGGUUGAAUGACCGGUAGAUGUCAUGCGAAUACCCAACAAUGGAUUAUCAUUGUUAAUAAAUAGCGGUGUUUGAAUGUUAUUAUGAAAAAUAUAAUUUCCUGAAAAAAUAAAAAUACAAAUUAUAACGUUAGGAGUUUGUAUAAAUUAUAUAACUGGUAAACAUAUAUUUUAGAAUCUGUCUAUAAAGAAAUGCAUACCAUUUGAAAUGUUAGAUAAAGGAGUUCUAACAUUUAUAUCUGCAGACUGAGAAUGAAUAGCUUUAUGUUGAUAUACAAAUGAUUUGACUGAGUUUAGAUUUUCGUUAUCUGAUGUAACGUUUCUGUAGUUAUCUAUAGAUACUAAAUGACUACAACGAUUGUAGAUAUCUGUUAUGAAAUAUUGUUAGUAAUAAAAUCAAUAAAAUUAAUUAUAAAAAAACAAUUAAACUUUAGAAUUUAGCAAUUUGAUAUAAUUUAUAUAGUUCAAAAAGAAUUAUAAAAUAAAAGAAUAACAAUACCGUUAUUUAAUAUGUAAGAAACAUGUGUAAUAGGUGAUUUUUGAUGGGUAGAUGUGUUAGAAUUUACUUUGGAUUUUUUAUUAUUCAAAUAUGACUUUCUAAUUUUUCUCCUUUCUUUAGCGUUUAUAGAAGCUGUAGUGUUAAUUGAACCUGUAAAAUAAUAGUAAAUAAUUUAAGAACAUUUUUUAUAUAAAAUUAAAUAUAUUAUAUUUUAUAAAAAUUUAUUUANNNNNNNNNNNNNNNNNNNNNNNNNNNNNNNNNNNNNNNNNNNNNNNNNNNNNNNNNNNNNNNNNNNNNNNNNNNNNNNNNNNNNNNNNNNNNNNNNNNNNNNNNNNNNNNNNNNNNNNNNNNNNNNNNNNNNNNNNNNNNNNNNNNNNNNNNNNNNNNNNNNNNNNNNNNNNNNNNNNNNNNNNNNNNNNNNNNNNNNNNNNNNNNNNNNNNNNNNNNNNNNNNNNNNNNNNNNNNNNNNNNNNNNNNNNNNNNNNNNNNNNNNNNNNNNNNNNNNNNNNNNNNNNNNNNNNNNNNNNNNNNNNNNNNNNNNNNNNNNNNNNNNNNNNNNNNNNNNNNNNNNNNNNNNNNNNNNNNNNNNNNNNNNNNNNNNNNNNNNNNNNNNNNNNNNNNNNNNNNNNNNNNNNNNNNNNNNNNNNNNNNNNNNNNNNNNNNNNNNNNNNNNNNNNNNNNNNNNNNNNNNNNNNNNNNNNNNNNNNNNNNNNNNNNNNNNNNNNNNNNNNNNNNNNNNNNNNNNNNNNNNNNNNNNNNNNNNNNNNNNNNNNNNNNNNNNNNNNNNNNNNNNNNNNNNNNNNNNNNNNNNNNNNNNNNNNNNNNNNNNNNNNNNNNNNNNNNNNNNNNNNNNNNNNNNNNNNNNNNNNNNNNNNNNNNNNNNNNNNNNNNNNNNNNNNNNNNNNNNNNNNNNNNNNNNNNNNNNNNNNNNNNNNNNNNNNNNNNNNNNNNNNNNNNNNNNNNNNNNNNNNCACAUAUAUAUAUAUAUAUAUAUAUAUAUAUAUAUAUAUAUAUAUAUAUAUUGAAAAUUCCACUAAAGCUAAUGUAUUCAAAUGUUUAAGAUAUUCGGGUUGACAUUUAAAACCGUAUUUAUGCAUAAAGUAAAUCAAAUACAUGAGAAAUUAAAUAAAUUUAAUUUUAACCAUUUUAAAGAUUAUUCAUAAUUUUUUAUUUAUAAUAAAACCCACCUACAAGUUAUCACUAUUCCCCAAACUUUCCCCUUUCCCUUUUGUCUGUAACACACACGAUGAAACAAAAAACCCAACCUAGAAUUUUGAUUACAUACACAUUUCCAUAGCCACAGUUCGAUUUCUUAAAGAUUGUGAACAUUUAUCCAUGUAUAUCGAUAAAGGAAGAUACUAAUAUACCACCGAUUAGAAAUGUGAAGUGAAGAAAAGCUUACGUUGAGUAAUCUUGCUGUCGAACUCAGAGACUGGUUGAACGCAACAUUGGGGUUUGAAGAAAGCAAGAUUCAAGGUAAGAGAUGAUCAACUGAUGGUUAAUCUUAGUUUUUUUAACAGAAAAUAGAUUAUGUUGAAGAAAAUUUACAUGUUUUUCUUUGUUCCAGAAAUGUUGUGACUGAAGAUAUAAGCGAAAAGUUAAGCCGUUCAAAAGAAUAAACUCACAUUCGUUAAUAGCGGAAACACAAUAAGGUAGAAAUGGUUUUGGUUCGAUUUUUGAAAUUUGAGUGUUUGUUUAAACAUUUAAAUUUUGAAAUUGCUAAAUUUUAGACAAAAUCUCGUUAAUGAUUAUUUAGGGGAUCAUAUGAGUAAAUAAAACAAUUAUUUUCUUUGAUAUACCUUCUAAAUUAUAUAAGUUUUGUAUCAUUGUAUAGUAAGGUUUUCAAUUUUAUGUAUAAUACAAAUAAUCCAUAUCUGAUCCAUAUUUCAGUUGUGAUCAAGAAUCGAUGUUUUGGUGGGUCACUGUGUGUCAAGAUACUUAUAUUAGUUUAAAUCAUUGUUCAUUUUUAUCAAACUUUAUCUUUUUGCAUACCUUUAAUCCCUAUUUCAAUCAAAAUCACUUAGUUUUUACUACUGCUUCAUUAUCUUGCAGGCCAAUAAAAAUGGUAUGUGAUAAAUUACAGAAAUCCAUAUAAGUUAUAUUAGAUUGCAAUAUACCAUAGCCAAGGGCAACGAACAUUGAAAUGUAAUAAACUUAAAAAGUGAGUUAUUUUAUGCACCAAUCCAUGUCUAAUUGUCUAAUGGUAUAAUUCUGCUAUUGAUAAUUAUUUAUUAUCUAUAUAUCACAUUAGAUAUUAUAUUAUUUAAGUAUUUAUAAUACAGAUGAAUAGUUAAUUAGAUUAAAAGGUUAGGAAGGGAAAGAUUCCAAACUCCAUUAUUGAAAAAGGAAUGGUUUUCCCUUUUUGCUUUCACGUAGCUGGUUGGAAAAGUGGACAGUGCUCAGCUUAUUUGACAACAAAGUGUAUUAGUAAUAUGAUUCAAAUGGUUGAUUGAUGAUAUAGUUUAUUAAAACUCUUAUUACUUGAUGUAUAAGUGCAUGCAUAGAUGUUUAUUUAGGAUUUUAUGCAGAAGGGUUAAAAUGAAAAAUAACAAUGCUUCUUUUAUUAAUUAGAUUUGUUUAUCAUUAAUUAUAUUGCCUAAAACAUAGCAAUCGGUACAAUUAAUUUAUAUGUUAAAUUCAAUUAUUUGUAUCAAACACAUUUUAAUUGAAUAUCGAAACCUUGGGGGCUAUUUGAGUUGCAUAAUAUUUUAGAAUGUAUUGAAUCUGUUAAUACACAAUUCUUUAUUAAAAGACAACCCUAAGNCACAAUUCUUCAUUAAAAGAUGGCAACCCUAAGAUGAUAUUUAGUUGAGAUAAAAAUUUUGUGUUUUAUUUAUUUAUAUUUCUUAUUAUUUAACAUAUCUUUUAAUCAACAUAUGUAAUACACAAUAUUUAGUAUUUUAUACCCAAUAUUCUUAAAUUGACAGGUAGGUGGUAUGUGUAGCCUAGACAAAUGAUAAUUGGACAAAAAUGGUAAUGAACUUUAAUUAUGUUAAUUUUUCGUUAGGUAUCGUACCUUUAUUUAUUCCUAUUAUAACAUUCUACUAUCAAAAAAUUGUUGUUUACACUUUUAUAGCAAUAUAUAUUAAUUUUUCUCUUAAACCACUAAAUCAAUAACUGUUUCUCUCACUCCAGGAGGAAUAAUUGGUUCCAAAAUAAGCAUUGUAUUUUGAAAUGUGCUAUAGGUAGCAAUAUAUAUUACUUAACUAACAAAAUUAAUAAUUUCUUGUUUUCUUUAGAUAUGGAAGAAUCUAAAGUUGUGGGCACCAUUCUUGAAAUGUGGUUAGCUAACAAAACCUCAAUCUUUUAGGGCUUUACUUCAGGUAAUAAUAAUAUGAUUGAAAUUUUUUGUAUUUGUUUUCGUUUUUGUAAAUAUUUGAUUUGUGAAAUUUAAAUUGUGUUAUUUUCGUCCUCCUACAAAGCUGGAAAUAUCAAUGAAUAAACAACCUGUAAUCAACCAGAAUUAAGAUCUUCGGUCAAUCUCAUUUUGAAGCACAAUCACAAUCAAAGACUAGGCUACUUUAGAAUAGGAAUAAGAAACACCCAAAUUCAAAGUCAAAUGUAAACAACUGCUACAAAUAGAAGUCUAUAUAAUAUAUGUUUGAAAAUUAAAAAAUAAAUGUGGUGUAUGUUAAAUAACAAAAUUAUUCCAAGAUCAUAAGUGACUUAAAUAACAAAAUUAUUUCUAAAUCAUAAAUUAACAUUCAUAAUAAUAUAUUAUGAAUGUAGGUUAAACAUACUAAUAAAAAACAAUCAUCCCCAACAAAUGUUUGAAAAUUCUAAAACAAAACGUGAAAGUACUUAAUGAAAAGUAAAAUGCAUAAUCAUUGUCUAUAAAUCAUAAUCCAAUACCUAAUGAAACUUAAACUUAAAAUAAAAAGCCAACCACUUUUUUCCAACUUUACCUUCACAAUUUGGUUAAUGCGUCCUUCUGGCGAUAUUUUAGGAGUUUUUGAUGAUGAUAAAUGUUCGUUCAACUCCAGAUCAAACACUUCUUCCAGAUUUCUCUUCAAAACAGUUGGUAUAUUGAAACCCUUCAUGGGACUUGUUGCUGAGUUUUUAUCAACAGUGUAAGGUGUUAUGUUGUCGUCUGUCCUAGAAAUUGCAUCCUAAAAAAAUUUGUACUUAAUUAAUUUAUAAUCUGAACUUAUAUUUAUAAAAUAAUUAUAUGUUAUUAUAAAGUGUAUAUAACCUUCAAAAUCUUAUUAUCUUGUGAUUCAGAAUCAGCUUCACCAAUAUCAAAUGAUUGUGAAUUACCUACCUGCAUAAUAAAUAAUAAAAAAUAUGAACACAUAUAAUAAUAAUAAUAAUAAUAAUAAUAAUAAUAAUAAUAAUAAUAAUAAUAAUAAAAUAAUAGUAGUUAUAGUAAUACAUAGUAUAAUGAUAAUAAUAAUAAUAAUAAAUCUUUUUAUAAGAAUAGUAAAAAUAUUAAGCAUAAUAAUAAUAAAUAAAUUAAUGACCUGUGAAACGGUAAACUUAUUUUCGAGUUCUUCAAUCAAUUUUUCAUCAUCACUGACUCUACAUAUACUGUAUUGGUUGUUUUUUUCGAGACAUUGAAGGGACUGAUUGAUAUUUUAAAAGCCAACUUCAAACCUUUCAAUGCAUUUAUCUCUCCGGGAUAAAGUUGAGUACUAAAACCAAGCUACAAUAAAAAAAAAAGUAAAAAAAAAUUAGUUAAACUAAAUAUAUUAAGUAGAUGUAUCAUUUAAUUUUAAUCAAGGAAGACGACCUUGACUGUUUUUUUAAACAGAUCAUGGGCUGAUUUUUUCAAAAGAUACGUUCCAUCUCUUUCAAACAUGGUUAAGGUAAGAGUACCAGUAUUGUCUUGCACACGUAUCGGAAUCUUAUAUCUAUAAAAAAAGGAAAAUCCAAAAUAUAUUUAUUACAAUAUAAAAUAUAAUAUAGGUUUUAAUGAUUCAGGAGGAAAAUAAUAACCUCGGAAUAACCGUAGUUUUGUUUUUUGUGCAAUCCUUAUUAUGACAUUCAUAACCGGUUAAUCCUUCAUCAUCAACUUGAUCUUUUGGACCAGGAGGCCGAAUUGCUUUGUAGUUGCAAUUUGUACAUGCCAAAUAAUGCCAUGGUUCAUUUUGUAAAAUUCCCUUUAUAGUGCCCAUGAUAAUGAAAGUAUUUUUCUGCAUAUUAAUUUUAUUUUGAUUAUGCAAUAUACAUAACAAAAAAGUAGGUUUAUAAAUAUUAUAAAAUAUAUAAAAACCACACCUCCACAGGUUCUGAAACAUCAACAAUUGUCUUCAACUGAAACUUAACCAUGAAAUCAUCGUGUUCAGAAACUUAUUAGACUUCAUAAGUGUGAAUGUAUUUGUGGAUGAAUCAGGACGAUCAUCUCCAUCCAAAUUGUUUGUUAAAAAAAAAUUAACUAAUAUUAGUCACAUAAAAAUUAAUUGUAGAAAUUUGAAUGAAAUAAAGAAAAGUAAAUAAUAUUAAUCACAUAAAAGAUAAAUAUAGAAAUUAUAAUGAAAUAACACAAAUGACUAAUAUUAAUCACAUAUAACUAAUAUUAGUGACAUAAAAGUUAAUCGGAGAAAUUAGAAUUAUAUAACAUAAAAUACAUUUUCUUAAAAACAUUGAUUUCAUCAAUGUUUGUGUUAAUGAAUAGCUUCGACACGGAAAAAUAGGUGUUAACUGUGGGACGAUCUAUAAAAAAGAUUUUAAUAAGUGUUAAUUUAAUGAUUAAAAAAAUAAUUAAUAACAAAAUACUAUAGUAUACCUCUCCAAAUACUAAGUUUCGCAAAUUGAAUGAUAACGAUGAUACGAAGAUUGUGUGGAUUGUUAUCAAGAAACCCUUGCAUUUUGUAAGAAAAAUCACCCCACAAAUUGACACUUAGUUGGAAACCAUGCCAAAUAAAAGUUUUAAAUUAAAUGAAAUUAUAAUUAGAUAAUCUAAUAUCCAAAAAAAUAAAAUAAAAUAUAAAAUAACAAACUUUGCAUCUUGGAUUUGGAUGUUGAGUCUGUGUUUUUUGAUAUCAUCAUUGUCUCUCCCCAUCUCACCAAUUGCAACGACCAAUCCAAUAACAUCUAUGAACAUCAAAAAAGAUGAAUUAAAUUUUGUUAUGAUUUUAAAAAUAUGAUAUACUAUUCAAACCAUAAAAUUGACAAUAAUUAAUCUAUAACAAAUUGCAACUAAUCGAUAGCGGUGUUUUCAGGAUGGGUCAAUGAGAUAAUAGACUGGUAAUCAAUAAAUUCAAAACCAAACGCAGGUCCAGAAAAGUCAUGACACUCCGUAAGAACGAUGUUAUGGACAAAAGUAAGUUUAUGAUGUUGCCGAGUUAAAGUAAAACCACCCAUCCUUUGAGAUUCAAAGCUUGAACAUUGUAUGUAAAAUGCCAAGCCAUCUUUUAGAAUGUUUUUGAAUCGAUAGAUGUUUUUUCUUAAUACAUUUACUUGGAUCUUAGUACCCUAAAAGAAGUAUGAUAUAUAAAAUUAUCAUCAAAUCAUAUUAAACUUUGAAUGUGUAAUGAAUAUAUAGUGUGAAGUUGUAAAAUACCUGUUCAUCUAUUAAGAUUAAUUCAAUCGAGAAAAAUUCAUCCUUGUUAUACAAUGAAAAAAGGUUUCAUAGGUUUAUCACUUUAACUUUGAUAGUCAAAUCAUCUUUAAAUAUAUCUAAAUCCGAAAUCAAAGUAACAUUUGGCUGUGCCAUUUCUUUGCACAGAAAAAUCAACAUAUAUAAAAUGACACGGAUGGAAAAACAAAUGUAAAACAAGUUGAACUAAUUAUCAAAGAACAACCAAGCCGAUAACCUAAUGUAAAAUGACAGGAAAUCAAAAUACAGUAAAAAUAGUAAUGAAAUGAAAUUCAAAAUAAUGAAUAUACAGAUCAAGUAAAAUCUAUAUCCAUACUCUUUUAGUUGUGUUAUACAAUUUGUUGCUGAAAAACCAUAAUCUUUUAGUUCUGUUAUACAAUUUAUCAAAAAAAGACAAAUUAUAUAUAAUUUUGUUAUAUAAUUUGUUGCUGAAUAAAAGUUGUCAAAAAAAAAAAGACAAAAAUUAUAUAUAAUUCCAUUAUAUAAUUUGUUGUUGAAUAAAAGUUGUCAUGGGACUAUUCACGUAAAAAUAACCAAUUCGUUUAUCCACUCAUAAAAUGCAUAGUUAUCAUGGUUUUCGUGUAGCAUUAGAGUAGAUAGCAAUUGCCAUGUGAAACAGUGAAAGCAAUGAAUGGAUUGAAUGAAAUGUAAAAUCAAAUUAUUGAAACAUAUUGUGAAAACAUAUAAUAAAAAAUAACAACUUUUAAAACCGUACCUUCAUUGCGUGCAAAUAUAGCAAGAAUGACAGUCAAUUAAUUGAUGUAAACAUAUGUUCAAGAAACAAAGGCAAAGAAACGAAUUACAUUCUAAACGAAUUACUAUUCUGCAACUAGAUUACGGCAUCACUCUUCUAGGAUUGUAGAGUAUUGUGUUGGAUCCUAGACUCAAUGUUUCAUUUGGGUGUCACAUCGAGGAUCCUGAUCAACUUGACUUGAAUUUUCUCGCAUUUUGUAUAUGUCAAAGUAUGACAACUAUGGUCUUCCCAAAUCCCAUCGAACAAGUUUUCCACAUGAAGAUGAUAUUUCACGAUUCGAUCGGGGAACAAGAGAUCAUGCUUUACUUCCUCCACCUCCUCCAAUUAUUCUCCCAAACCCACAAGUUCAAAGGCUUGAAAAGUUCAAGCUCACUCAAGCCCUUUUGGCAAGUAAACAUGGGAAACCUAUGUGUGUACACGUCUUAGAGAUGAAGUCACACAUUGAUAGGUUAAGGAUGUUGGGUGUCGAGAUUUUAGGUAAGUUGGCUGUUGACUGGGUUCUUCAGUCGCUUCCUGAAUCAUAUAGUGAGUUCGUUAGAGAGUACUAUAUGAUGGAUCAUGACGUGACCCUCAUUGAUUUGACCUAUUUGCUUAUAGCUGCUGAAUCAGCAAUGAUUUGGCAAGUUAGUCGAGCAAAUUUGUCCGGUGAAUCAAAAUCCCAAACUUCAAUGGACAUUGAAAAUGGUGACAUUGGAGAACCAGAAAAAGUAGAUUCUGAGAUUGUUUCUUGUGCCAUUCCAAAAGAGUCCAUUUGCUUAUAUUGCCAAGAAAAGGAGCAUUGGAGACGAAGCUGCUCUAUUUACCUAAGAGAUCUAAGAUAUGGGAGAGUCAAAACAUAUGGCUCUACUUUAUGUGAAAUCCAUUAACUAACUCUUUUAAGUUCCUAUUCUAGAUUCUUGAUACAUGAUGUGAUAAGAUUACAUUUUGAUGUUUUGUAGGAUCGAAGAAAAGAAAGGAAGCUUAAGGGAAGAAGUGAAGCUGAAUCUAAUCGUGAAGAAAUGGAUUUCGAUCGCAUUGCUUGAAGAUUAGAUUCUUAAGCUACUACUUGGAGUUAAAAUAGAUUGCUUAGGAAUAUGUAACAACAUAGUUUUUCAGUUAAAUUGCAUUGUAAGGACAAAUUUUUCCGCAAUAAAAUAAAUUUUGAUUUUUAUAUUAUUUAUUUAUCCUUGCAAUGGCGUAUAUGAAAAAUUGAUGUUUGCAAGUUUCUAUUAUUAGCAAUAAUGGAUUUGAUUCUUAAUUAUGUUAUUUGUGGAAAUGUCAAAAGUUUACCAAAUAGGGAGAGUUUCUCAUCGCCCAAGUUUCAAUUGGACAGAAACUUGGAAUCAUGCAAUGUGUAUUGUAUGAUGAAUGAAAAACUUUCACAUUUGGGAAACUUAGACUAAUUCUUUGACAAAGUGUCAAUUGAAGGACUAGGAGAUCGAGUACACUAGGUCGUACGUUGAUCAAGUCUACCACAAGAGUGACAAAGAUAUUCGUCAUGAUUUACUAAAGUUUAGUAAAUAUGGUUAUACUUAUAAGAUUGAGUAUAAUUCUGAGUUAACUGAAAUAGUUUCAAUCAAUAGCAGAACGAAUAAGAAGAAUCAAGAAGGCAGAAAGAUAAAAGUUUCUCCAUUCUAAGAAGAAGGGAGAGUACCUUUUAUUGUGUUUUAUGAUGAAGUCUUAAUGAUUAAGAACCAUAUCUCAAUUGAUCCUCUAAGUGAGUCUUAGUGCAUUUGCAUGUCUAAGAAGAGGAAUCGAGAAUUGUAGAAAUGGUUAAAUCAAAGAGUCAAUCAUACUUCGUUCCAAUAUCAAGUCUUAGAGUCAUACUCCAAGAUUGUGACAUUGAGUGACAAGUCUUAAGUAGGUUUAUAACACUCAUCAAAUGUGGAAUUUGGAAAAGUUUUCUUAUUCUUGCACAUUAGAAAUUGGUAAGUUGUGAUGUCUUGGAUAAGACAAAGACCAACUAGGACCAAUUUGUGAAGUGUUUUGUCUUGAUAAGAACUACACUAACUCUUGAAUAUUUGCUUUGUCAAGAAAUGUUUCUUGACAAGAGAAUCUUAUAUGUCAAGGAGUCAGUGGGAGUCUUAAUGGUCUUGAAAGGUUUCAAGAACAAAUCAAGAAUAUACCUUAUCGAUCAUCACUAGCACACGACUUGAGGUUUGCAACCUAUCGUGCUGACAUUAUUUUGUUUUUGUGCCAUUCCAAUUGAGUUAAUUGCGUAUGUGAGUUCUAUGAGUUCUCAUUUGAAUGAAGGCAAGCACCUUGAUCAAUGAAAAGUACAUUGAUAUGAAUGGGUGAGCUACUUAACUACUUGGAAGACAUGGUGGGCACUCGUGUUACCAUAAGGCAAGAAAUCAAGAUUAAGAAAGUUCAGUCCAUAUGAGUUUGGAUUUGUCGCAAACCUUGGUUUUGGCAAAUUCACAUGGAUAGGAACUCAUACACCAUAAAAUCUAAGUGUCAUAAGAUUCCCUCCUUCAUGAAAAUGACUGUGAGGAAAUGCUUUCACUAAGAGAGAUUUUAAGAAGAUAGCAAUUGUGAAAAUUGUAUUCUCAAAUUCGAUUAUGGUUACGGCAUCCCUUUCCAUAGUUCGAAUUGUGAGAUUUGGCAAUUAGUUUGAACAUUUGGAACUUAGUAACAUAAGUUCUGAAUUGUUUAAACACACAUAUGAGCUAUCUAAGGCAAAGGUGUAUAAGUUUAAGAAGCUUAGAUAAAGGCUUAUCGAAGCAUCUGGUAUUAGAAAUAUGAAUUUCAGAAAUUCAAUAGGCAUUGUUUUCUGAAAGUUCAUUUGUUUUCUGAAUACAUGUCAAAGCUAGUGGGAGCAUAAGUGUUAUGCUUAUAUGAUAAUAAUCAUCAUGAUAGUGGGAGCAUAAGUGUUAUGCUUGUAUGAUUAUUAUGGCAAGUAUUGCAAGUUAGCAAUAUUAAUUAUAGAAAAACAAAGAUUCAAUUUGCAAAGUUGCAUGGGUUGAAAAGUUGUUUUGCUAUAAUUAAGGGAGAGAAUAUUAUACUUCGUUUCAAAAUCUAAAGCUUAGAUUGAGAAAUUUUAAUAUUUUCAGUCAAAGGAUACAUUGUGUGUUCUUAAAAUUCGAUUAUGAUUACGGCAUCCCUCUUCAUAGUUCGAAUUGUGAGAACAUGACACAUAAAAUAUUAUGGCAGAAGAUUGGUAAAGUAUCAUAUCUUUAUGUAAGACAUUAUGCAUCGUGUCCCAUACGCUUCGGGUAUAGGAUCGAUUGCAAGUGCUAUAAUAUUUGACCAUUCUAAAAUUUUCCAAAUGUCUAGCGCAUUUAGAGGGAAAAAGGACUAGAAUCGGUUUUGACUAAAAUAAUUAAACAACUAUCAAAGGACGAUCCAAAGUUCGCUGAGGAUUGGUCGCUUGUGAGUAGUUGGAAGUAUGGUAUUGGAUGGACCAUAUCGACAUUAUUAUGAAUAGAUAAGAUUCUAUUUAGAAUGAGUUGUCAAUUGACAAAUAUGGAAAUGUUUCCAUAUUGGGAGUUGGAUAUUGAGAAUCUAUGUCUAGAUUAGAAACUUUUAUGCAAGAAGGAUGUUCAAAGGAAUGUACUUUGAGUGAGAGAAAUCAUAUCUAUAGAAUUGUUUCUGAUAGAGAUUGGCCAAGUCUUGAUGAUUUUGAGCUAUGACUUUACGAAAGAAUCAUUGCAUAAAAUGUUAGAAUCUAGCAUAAGUAACAAGAAUUUGAUAUUCUUAUACUUAUGAUAAGGAUUGUGUCACAACUAGAAAUUUUUGUGUCUUGUAAUCACUAUACUCAAGUAAGAUGUUGAAUCAAAAACUUAAGAGCAUGUAUGAUGCUUACUUUAUGACAACAAAAUUUCAAUCCAAUACACCAUACAAGUACUACAAAUAGUCAACAAGUAGUUGGAAACCCUAGAAGUUCUUGUUUAGGUCCAUUUUGGACUAGGAAUUCCUUAUUGGACUCAACGGACCAAUAAGCUUCCAAUUUUGACUAUCAUGGGCUUAGAACCUUUAAAUGGGCUCUAAUUGGACCCACGUUCAUUUAUUUCAACAUUUUGGGCCAUAUUGGGCCUAGAAUGAAAUAAAUUAAAUAUUAUGAACCAUAAUUAAUUUAAACUAGCCCAACAAAGUAUAAAAAUCACACUUAUAUCUUACAAUCAUCAAACCUAACUCUAAUAUUGGGCUUAGGGGCAUUAAAGCCCAAUACUCUCUUUUUCUUUCCAAAUUUCGGCCCAAGACAAGCCCAAGAGGAAGAAGUUGACUAUUACCAUAACACCUCGCUUUUACAUGGGGGAUAUCCAUGUUUUACACUCCAAACAUCCAUACAAUCUCAUCUUUCCAUGCAAACCCCUCUCUUCUUCUCUUUUCUCUCUCAUUUUCGGCCGAAAACACACACACACAUCACAAAAAUCUAUUCCAAUCUCUCUAAGUCAUGAAGAGCAUUCAUCCCUCCUCCUUCAAAAAUUUCGAGAAUCAAGAGCUUCACAAGGAGAAUUCUUCACUAAAAUCAUUAUCUAGGUAAGUUAAUGCUUGGAUCCAUACUUUAGACUUCUUCUUAUAUCCAAAAAUCUCUUCUUAACUCUCAUGAAAUCAUAAACUUGUGUAUUAGAACCCCUCAAACUCGAGACCUUCAAGAAAAGGGUGCUAAGGCCAAAAAUCACCUCAUUUCUUUCCAUUUCUCCUCCAAAACCGAAACAACACCCUAAGGUGAGCUUCAUACCCCCUAUUUUUCUGUUUUAUAAGUUUUGUGGGGGGGGGUGGGGAAUACAAGUCAAAGUGUAGAUCUAUGUGUAUUUGUAUGCCUUGUAUGAUUUCUAUGCUUAUAUGUGUGUUUUUGUGUGAUUAUGAUGUUGGAUCUAGUCAAAAGCCCCUAAAAAUCGAGAUUUACUUUGUGUUAUACGUUAUUAGCAUAAAUUUUAUUACUACAUACAAUUUAUUUCAAGAAAAAUAACCAAGUUGUAGGAUAACAUCUUCUUUGGGCUAAAAACUCAUUUUUGGGCUCAAAAUGUUAAAAAUAUAAAAUUAAAGGGCCCAAAAUGACAAAACACGAAUUCUGAUGGGUGUAAUGAGUCAAAACAGUUUUGAUAAUGUAUUUUCUGGAAAUAUACUCUUUUAAAGGAUUAAAAUGUAAAAUUUUAAGCAUAAGAAUGUAAAUUUACAAAAAGAAAAGGGGCUGUAGACAGAAAAACUUCAAUGUUUUAAAUCAAUAAAUCCGUUGCGAUAAAACACUGACACCGUGACUACCGAGAAAUCACAAUACACAAUCAACACCAAAAAUCGUUAUCAAACGAAUUCAUUCGGUCUCGAAUCAAUAACAAACCUGAAACUACUAACACGACGACAACUCGAUACAUACACGGAAAAUUCGGGAAUUCAAUACACACGUGGGAAUGCACAGACGUCGAUACACCAUCUUUGGGCCCAAAAGUGUCAAAUCUUGCUUGUUGGGCCUAGCUAGCCCAAUGACCUGAUCUUUAGGCCCGAAGACAACAACCUUACGAGUUGUUGGGUCUUACAUGAUCCAACACAGCGUAAAAGGACUUUCAAUGGCUUUUAUACUAUUGGUCCCCAAGGGUCCUUUGGUACUACUAGUAAAGUCGAGAAUUCACCAAAUGCGAGUCGGGCCAAGGGCUCUUCGCAUUCACUAUAGCCUCGACCGACUAAUGGGAUUAUUAAGGUCUUCGUGCCCUCUUUUCUCUUCGGUCGUGGGGCUACACGAAGUCAGGGCGUUGGGUUACGUGAAUAGUACGGGCGAGGCCUAAGGGAUCGUUAGUAUAGUUGUAAACUGGUCGUUUGUGUAACGCGUGUUUAUAACAAUUCACCAUGCGCAAUAACCCAGUGUCGCCUGGAAUCAAUGACAACUGGAAUCAAUGACUUCACAUACCGCGAUGGUACAACAACUAUACGGAAUUCAAAGUGUUAGGAAAACAUCGGGUUUUCCUAGGGUUAUUCAAUACACACAUUUACGAGAUGUACACCAAGUUUAAUAAAUUCUUUUUACAAUUAUAGAAACAAACAAGCAUACUUAUGGAUCUUCACAAACUUUUUCAUAAACUUUUUUCAGAAAAUAUCGGAUUUUCUGGUAGUUUUCAAAACAAUACAAAACAUUGCUUUUCAAACACCGCUUAUGAACUCACCAACAUUUCAUAUGUUGACGUUUUUCAAAAUACUUGUAUUCUCAGGUAACAGGUAAAGCAAGGGGAAAAAUGUACUCAGUGAUGGUGGCUUGCAGAUUGUUUAUCUAUGAUCGAACAAUUUAUUUUUUGGAAUGUAAUGUUAAAACAAUGUACUUAGUGUAAACUCUACCAGUUGUACUAUCUCAACGCAUGGUAAUGAAUGAUGUUACGUUUCAUAUAUACUCAAUGUUAUGGUAUUCAAUUACGUCACGACAGCCCUCAGACGUUUCCGCCGUCUGGUUCGGGGGUGUGACAGAUUGGGAGUUGUGAAAUGAGUAUGACUGGAAAUGUGUUCAUUUGAUCUAUUUCACAAAGUAAGGACCGUAGGUAAACAUUGUGUGCAUGCUGAGAGCAUAGGACAAGUGUAGUAAUAAUUCAAGUAAGAAGUUGAUUACCCGAAACGACAAAUAAUGAGUAAUCGAUAUGGUGAUUAAAUAAAAUGUUACCCAGAGUUUGGGGUUAUAUGGGAUUAGUAUUAUUCUUGUGUUUCACUUUGUAUGUUUUGACUUCCUGAAUAAUUAAAUUGGUUCAGAACAAUCAAAAUUAUUCGAAUGGACCACAGUCGUUCAUAUGUUGGAAGUAGGUAUGAAUGAAGACUGUCGUGAAUUGGUGUGUGGAUUGUCUAAAGUGUAUUAGAGAUAAGCAAAAUUUUGCUGCAACGUUCAUGAGUGCUUAUGAAUAUGAUUUGAGCAUUGGAUUAAACCCACGCUCACUUGGAUCACUUCAUGGAUUUUAUCACGAGUGAUUGAUGAGAUGAUAAUAUCUUAUAUUCUUGAAACCGAGAUGUGUGAGUUGUAUCUUGCAAGUCGGUUACACAUUGAUAAUAUGUAAACGCAGCAGUAACUUGGUGUCAUAAAACAUAUUGUUGUGUGUGAUUCGGUAAGUGAGUGCAAGCAAGCAUUGAAUCAAAGUUUAUCCGUUCCUUUUAUCCAAAGUGGGAUGAAAGCGAUAUCUGUGGGCCCCUCGAUGAUUUAGUGAUGACAUCCUAAGCGCUUGGCCAAGCCGGGACUAAUUUAAUGUAUUCAAUUGUAGUCUGUUGUCAGUCGUCAUAAAUUAGAAAUUGGAAAACAACAUAUAGACAUAGAGAAUGAUUUAAAUCCAUGUCUCAUUCUAUACAAUAUCUAGAAUGGAGGAAUAUAUGAUCCCUUAUCUAAAGGACGCAUAUCUGAUAAGAUAAGAGUUGACAACGGCUUUUGAAAGCUACGAUUACAGAGAUCUGAAGUCAUACGCAGAAUAGUUAUUAGACUUAUCCAAGUGGGAGACUGUUAGAUUAAUGUCUAAGUCCAUAACUAUUUUGCUAUGUACUUGACCCGAUGGUACAUGGUCCUUUUGGGUUGCCUUCACCAAAGCAACUUGAUAGGAUGGAUUAUGGAGAGAGAAAAUUAAUUAUGAUUUAUUAAUAUAUUAUGAGAAUAAUAUAUUAAAGGAGAAAUCAUAUUGUUUAAUUAAUUUAGUCAAUAAUUAAUUAAGAAUUAGUUUUGUGGCUAAAAGACAUUAAUUAAACUUAAGGGACUAGAACUAUCAAUUGUAUAAUAGUUUAAUAUUGGGAUAAUAAACUCCAUAUUAGAGGGGUAGACGAAUUCUAUGGGGAAACCCAUUAGAAAUCGUCCUAGGCCUCUAAGGAGGGAGUUCAUGGGUUUCUUAGGGCCUAAGCAGUCAAAUUAGGGUUUCCUUGUUAGAUAACCCUAAUAGCCACACUAUUUAAAGGACCCUUGAGACUCAAAAACCUGGUGAACUAAUUGAUUAGGGUUUCCAGCCGUUUUUGGGUGUCUCCUCUCUUCUCAUUCUUCAUCCUCUUGCUCUUGGUGUUUGUGAGCCAUUAGAGGAGUGACACUUGUGACUCUAAGCUUUCUAAAGCCAUUACAAAGGAGGAUUUGAGAUUGUUAUUGCUACAUAACAAUCAAGGUAAGAUCUAAACCCCAAUCUUAUGUUAAUAUGAUUAAUUGUAUGCUAGAUCUAGGGUUUAUAGCUUUGGAUAUUCAAUUGCAUGUUCAUUAGAUAAACUAGAUCCAAAAGCUAUUAGGGUUUACAUGUACACCAUAGGAAUGAUGUUUUACUCAUAACCCAUCAGUAUUUUCUUAUUCAGAUCACGAAACUUCUCUAUAUCACCGGUCAUGUGAUUGCUUGCACCUGUGUCGAGAUACCAUAACAUCAACUAAUUUGAGUCCCCACCUUUAGUUUUCAGUUUUGGGUUCACCUUCUCUUCAUUUAGGAAUACUUCACCAACCUCUUCUUUAUCUUCAAGGGAGGAAAAUAGCAAUGCAGGUUCGUUGUCUUCCUGUAUCAAGUUGGUUUCAUGGCUCCUCUCCUUUCUUGGAUUCUUACACUCAGCUGCGUAGUGCCCGAAUUCCUGGCAGUUAUAGCAUUGUAUCCCACUUUUAUCUUGACUGCCAGAUGCUCCAUUACCUCCUUCUCGUUGGUGAUGUGAGCCACCUCUUCCUCGACCGCCACGACCACCACUAUUUUGACCUCUACCUCUGCCUCGACCUAGUGAGCCUCCAAAUCCUCCUCGAUUCGACUUAGAUUUGGAGUCACCUUCUCCCCUUUUCUUUGUUCUUUUGGACCACUCUUGAUGAGUCAAGAGCAGUUUUCGAUCAUCAAUUUCUCCAUGCCCUUUCAAUCUCUCUUCAUGAGCUUUCAAUCGGCCUAUUACUUCUUCCACAGUCAUUGUGUCCAAGUCCCCAAAUUGCUCAAGAGUUGAGGCAAUUUGAAGGAACUUUGAUGAUACUGCCCUGAGCAACUUCUUCACUACAUAGCCUUCUUCUACAGUUUCUCCCAGAGUGCGCAUGAUGCUCACUACAUUGGUUACCUUCACGGAAAAAUCGUCAACACUUUCUGUCUCUUUCAUGAUCAUGGCCUCAAACUCAGCUUUCAAGGUCUGGACUCUUGCAGUCUUCACUCUAUCUGCCCCUACAAACAUCGUUCGCAGGGCUUCCCAUGUUUCUUUGGCCGAUUUCUUCUUAAAUAGUGACAUUACAAACUCCUCAGGAAUCCCUUGGUAAAUGACCGCUAGUGCCAUCUUGUCCUUCUUUACCUCCACCACCGUGUUGGCUAUUCGCAGCUCAACAACAUCCCAUACACCAUGGGCUUGCAUGAACAUGCGCAUCUUGAUUUCCCAUGCCCCGUAAUUACUCCUAGAUAACAUUGGAUAGUGGAGGGUGAUUUACCCAUCUUUUUCACCAUUGUCAUUGCUUCCCGACAUCUCUUCACGAAAUUGAUACUUGGGCAUACACGAGGUUAGGCUCUGAUACCACUUUGUUGGUUUUGACAGGCUCUUCACAAGGUUCCUGCAGAAGAGAAGUAACAGGGGACAAAAGAAAUUUUACAGAGGGGUAAUUUAGGUAAAGGUUUUGUGAUGUAUUAUUCAACUAAAAGAGAUGAUUCCAACGUACACAAUGCCUAGGUAUUUAAACCAAUGAAAAAUUCAGAAAAACAGGGAAUACUAACUACUAGCUAGAGACCAGGUAAGACAUUCUUACAUGGCCUUGAUUUAUUCUUCCUAAACAAAAGAAACGUGCUUAAUAAUAAAACAACUUCUGAAUUACUUCAACAGAGACGGCCCGGAUGGUGGCGUGCUGGUUAUGACGGUAGGGCCAGAAAAUGAAAUCGGUCGAAUACUUGAACUGAAGCUCUCUUCUGGUGGGUUUUUGUUGGGCAUCACCAGUCAUCCUCGUUUUACCGGGGCCCAUGGCCGAUGUUCAGUUGGUGGCCGCACCCUGACGCCGACGAUGGGGGUGAUAAUCGAUGGAGCAUUCAGAGGCAGCAAUUUCCAAGGUUAGAUAGAAGGGAUGCCGAUGUCGAUGCGUUCAGGGAGAGACAUCGGGAUUUGGAGGUUACAUAGAAGGGAUGCCGAUGCGUUCAGGGAGGAGACGGGGGGUUUUGGAGAGGCGGUGGGAAGCAUCCAGAAUUCAAUGGAGGCGAUGAAGUGAAAACAGAAGGAAAACCGAGGCUAAGAGUCGGUGAAAUCAGCUGAGUCAACAGGAGAAACGAAGAACACCCAACACGUAGAGAGUUUCUGUGUACUUGACAGCACGUGUAAUCCACUAUCUCCAAAAAGAGAAAAGGGAAAACAAAAAAAGAAAUUAAGAGAAAAAAAAAGAGCCAAUGAAAUCAAUUUACAGCUCCCUAAAGGGGUUUAGAUUUAGUAUAUUAUAUGAUUAGGGUUUUUUUUUUUUUUUUAGGAAAAACGGUUACAUGUAUAAUAUAUCAAAACAAUACUAAACCGCUUGGUUUUUUCCUGAACAUUUCCGGUUUGGUUUCCGUUCUUUUUCAAAGCGGUUUUUUUACACCUCUAAUUUUCAUCUUGUUUUUAUAUGUUCCAAUACAGAACAUAUAAAGUUUUGUGGAUGUCUAAUUUCAUACAACACGGGGAAAAUAGCCACUCAUGGUGUUACUAGCAAAUUUAUUGAUAUCAGGGACUUCAAAACCUCUGCCAAAUUACAAUGAAUACCCUUUUUACAAAUUUGCAAUGAAUAAUUGAAUACCAUCACCUUCACAUAAAUCUAGUCUUUGAAGCUAUCAUAAAAUAAAAAAUAAAAAAAACAAAAAAAAUGUCUCCCAUGACGAUUGAGAAGUAAAGCCCCACAUGCUAUCCAAAAUCCAGUAGCAAAACCCAUCCCCCCACCAAUAUAAAACCAUCUUUGAACUUCAUCUAUGUCUUCCUCAUCACCCUCACUUUUACCAGCAGGAGGUGGUACUUUUGAUUUUUCAUCUACAGGGCAAUUCUUGGGAAGGGGAAGUCCACAUAGUCCUGUGUUUCCAUCAUAUCUUGAAGGGUUAAAGGACUGAAGUUGAGUGCUAAAUGGGAUUCUCCCCGACAAGUUAUUAAAUGACAAGUCUAGGUAAUUCAGUAAACUCAUAUGAGACAUGCUUGAUGGUAUCCGCCCUGAAAAACUGUUUCUAGAUAAAUCCAAAGUCAAAAGGUUGUUCAUCUCACCAAUUGUCGAUGGAAUUUCUCCAGAUAGUUUGUUCUUUGACAAGUUCAGGGCAAUCAAGUCAUAGAGAUUAGUAAUUUCAUACGGGAUAUUUCCUGUUAAGUCGUUGCUUGACAGGUCAAUGCUCUUUAACAAUUUCAAUGUGCUAAAGAAUUCUCGUUCAUCACCUUGCCACUGAAUUAUCGCAUGGUCAACAUAUGUCUCAAUUUCAUAAGAAUAAUUUACUGAAGUUUUAUAAAACUCUACACCUUGUAAGAAUUCUUGUUGAACCAUGCUUGUAAGAUUACCCAAACAUGAGGGGAUGAUUCCAUGGAGAUUGUUCAUUGACAAGUCUAGAAUUUGAAGAUUGGAUAAUUGACAUAACUGUAGUGGGAUGGUUCCAAAGAAGUUGUUUGAUUUUAGAAUAAGAACAUACAAACCUGAUAAGUUUUCCCCAAUCCAGAGAGGCACAUUACCAGAAAACUUGUUGGCCCCCAAAUUCAACGACUUUAAGCUGGUGCAAUUUUUUAAUGACAAAGGCAAUUCUCCAUAGAAGUUGUUCUUGGACAAAUAUAACACCUCAAGUUCUGUCAUAGAUCCAACAGAGGGAGGAAGUCUUCCAAAUAGAUUAUUGUGUCUGAGAUUAAGAACUUUUAGUCGUUUGAAAUGCCACAAACAAUCCGGGAGUUGUCCGAUAAAUGAGUUAUCAGAGAGGUCAAGAAAUAAUAACCCAUCAAAAAUUUGGCAUAUAAAUGCGAUUCCUCCAGAGAAAUUGUUUUUGGAAAGAUUUAAUGAUAACAAAGUGGAAGAAACAUUUGUUAUUGGACCAUAAAAGUUGUUUGAACUCAAAUCUAUCGCUGAAUAUUUGGCAAAAUUUGAUAAUAAAUCUGGUACUUUCCCGUUAAUGUUGUUGGAAGAGAGAUUUAGAUAAUCUAAUUGAUAAGGCCACAUGUCCCAAAACCCCAGAGGAGUUGUGUCUGAAAUACCAGCAUUGGAAAUAUCAAGACGGGUGAGACGUUUGAAUGUCUGAAUCCAUUUGGGGAAGCGAGGCCCUAACAGCUUGCAAGACCUCAUAUCAAUAAAAUGUAAGUAAGAAAGGCUUGACAAGUGAUAUGUGGAAGGAACUCUAAGAUUAUUAAAAGAAACGUCAAGAGUUUGAAGCCUGGGUAGCUCCCACAGUUUCUCACUUAUACUUCCAUUUAAGUGAUUAUGAGACAGGUCCAAGGACUUUAGGGAUGAAAACUUUUGGAUCUCAUCGGAAACUGACUCUGUAAAUUGGCUUCCAAUAGCAUACAACAGUUGUAAUGUAUGUGAUGUGCAUCCGGACAAGUUGUUGAGAAAAUCAGGAAAUUUGACCACUGCAGAGUUGUUAUUGAAGUACAAAGUUUCCAGACUACAGAGGUUACCAAGAUAUUUAGGUAUCCCAUCUAACAUGUUGCUAGAGAGAUAAAGAAAACGAAGCUUAUUGCUGGUUAAUGGUAGCAACCAACGAUACAUGGAUGAAGUGAGAUUGUUGUCACCGAGAUAAAGGGACUCAACAGAUGAAAAAGAGGAGUUGAGAAACAAAGAAUAUGGAUAUAUGAUCUUUGACAGCUCACAUCCCUCUAAAGAUAAAUAUGAGAGGUUCCGGAGACUCAGAAUUACAUCUACCCAGUAAUUUUGUUUGGCUAGGGAAAUCCCAUCCAUUCUUAGCCACUCCAAAUGUGAGAGAUGCGACAACCACUCUAUGUUUUCAACUCUGUACCUUCCAACGGAUCCAAGGUUAAGGUAUUGCAAGUUGGUGAGGUUUCCAAACUCUGGAGGAAUGGUUCCAUAAAAAGAAUUAUCGGAAAGGCCAAGGUGCCUUAAUUCGGUCAAGGAACCAAUGGACCCGGGAAUGGUUCCAUUAAGAUGAUUGUAGGAAAGAUCAAGAUACCUUAAUCGAGUCAAUGAACCAAUUGACCUGGGAAUGGUUCCAUUCAACAAAGAAUUGUAGGAAAGAUCAAGAUGAUUCAAGCAAGUUAAGUUAAGAAACGUAUGGCUAAUCUCACCUCCAAGAUCAAAAUGACUGAUAUCAAGCCCUGUGACAUGACCUGUUUGGUUGCUGCAGGUGACUCCUCUCCAUUUGCAGCAGUCAUGAUUGUCAGCUCUCCAUGAAGCUAGAAUGCCUCGGCGAUCAUAAAGGGGAGCUUUGAAAAGAAGGAGAGCAAGUCUCUCCUUUUCCAGACACUUGUUCAUAUUAGCACCAUUUCUAUCAUCUCCUCCUUCUUCUCCCCCUGCUACCAAUUGGCUGGCAGUUGUAGUCGUGAGUAGCAAGAGAAUCGAGAUGAUUAUAAAAACACAAAGAUUCAUAAUGUAAAUGGAAAAUCUUGGUGAUUUUUGGAUUGUAUUGAUGCUUAAUUGCUUAUAUGAACUGCCCCCAUCAGGGUUUAUAUAGUCUUGAUGUGAAAAUCAUUGCUUAGUAAGUGUGUGGCCUCAAAUUGCAGGCCUACUUGUGUGGGGCAUACAAUACUUAAUUUGGUUGAAACUGGAACCAAGCUAUAAGACAAAUGAAAGAUGACGCGUUAAAAUAAAUUGCUUCAAAAUUUUGAUUUUUGUAGACAUAUAUGAAUGAAACCAAGUUUAUCCAUGCAUUACUUAAUUGUGGUCUUUUUCAUUGAUAAAAAUGAUAUUACCAUGCUACCCUGAUUGAUACUCACUCGAUUAAAAACAUUAGAUUACAAUCAAUACACUUAGAUGAUUGGAGACUUAAUCAAGAAAACGCCAAUAGUUCAUGGCCAAAAUAGUGACAUUAAACCUUAUAUAAAUAUCAAAAUCACACAACUUAAAUAGUAGACAAAGUAGCUGCCUUGGAAAAAAAAUGUUAUUUUUAUACUGAGAGGAGUUUCCCUAUAAGACCAGAUCUUUUCAGCUGCCCUAUGUGGACCAAAUGAUAUUCAUUGUGAUUCUUUGUCAACGUUUUUGGUCAACAGAAGCUUAAAUGCUUAACCAUCUUCAACCAUCUUAACAACUUCAAUCUCAAACAAGUUUUCAUUUUCUUGAAUCUAAAUCUAGCCACACAACGUCUGAACCCAAAAAAAGAUAAUUUUUUAUUUUCUAUUCACCAUAGCAAUAGCAAAUAAAUAUAUACAAAAUAAUCACACAAAGUGAAAAAUCCAAAAUUUUCUAUAAUACCAGCAACCAACCUUUAUGCGUCACUCUUUUACUUCGCAUCAUCAUAUGAUUGUAAUAAUUUAAGAGUAAAUUACGUUUUUGGUCCUUGGCUAUAGCUGAUCUUUUCAGCUUUGGUCCCCAAAUGUUUUGUAUUGUAAAUUUGGCCUUUAUUUGAAGUUUUUAUAGCGUUUUUGUUCCUAUAGCAAGUAAAAGAUGACUAUUUUGGGAUCAAAAUUGCAAAAAUCAGUUAUACUCUGGGACCAAUAUAGUAUUUUACUUUGAACAUUGACAAAGAACAUUAGAAGAACCUCUAAUAAGGAGCAAAUUGCAAGAGAAAACUGUCUGGUGUAUACUUAGGGACCAAAAAUGUUACUCUAAUUCUAAACAUUCUACUCUCCUAGCACAUAUUGAAUAAAGAUUUCAUAGUAAGUUUGGAACAUUAAUAAAUAAUAAGUAAUAUAUUUUUCCAUCUUUUAGGAGAAUUGGAAAAUAAUGCAAGUUCAUAUGGUAUAUAUUCUCAGCUGUUUCUUUCUCAUAAACUUGUUCGUCUGUAGUCAUCUGUAGUCAUCCAGGGGCCAUGUGCUCCAAAUACGAAAGACAACUCAAUAACAAAAACUAAAAAAACCUAACUUAUCCAUAAUUCAGCCUUUAGUUUUUGUAGUAUUUACAUUGGCUUCUUUCUGGAUGAAUACGUCUAUUUGCGGUGUUUUUAUCUGUUAUGAAGAAAAAAUAUAUAGAAUAAAUUACAAUUUUGGCCCGUGAUUAUAGUUGAUAUUUUUUUCAUAUUCGGUCUCAAAAAGGUUUAUGUUGCAAUUUUGGUCCGUGUUCCAAAAUAAAAUGACUAUAUUUCAAAUUGGGUACGAAACAUAGUUGUUUUACUUGGAACAUGGACCAAAAAUGUUACAAAAACCUCAAAUAAGGACCAAAAUUAUAAAAAACAACUACAGUCAUGGAACAAAAAAUGUUAUUUACUCAAAAUUAUAUAUACGAGACAUAGAAGUUUUCUUUUUGCAAAAAAAAUUGAGCAUCUGAAAUAUGUUACCUUCUGUUUUCCUAAAUUAAGCUCCUGCAAAUUAAAUAUCACACAUUAAAGUUGGCCUAAUUCUUGAAAAAAAAAUAUUACUUCAUUUACUAUUUAUUUCAUAAAAUCUACAAACUGCCAUCAUAUGGCUGUUUGAUUGAGCAGGUCUCUAGUUUUGCAACUUUGUUUUCUGAACAAUCACUAUUAGAAAAAUGUUUUCCUUGACAGACAAUGUCUAUCGUAAAUGCCUAUACAUGACAAAUAUUUGUCUGUCAUUGAAAGCCAUGUCGUAAAGAAAAAUGACAAACAUUUGGUUUGUUAAAAUAUUUACGACAAACCUUUAUGACCGACAAUCAAGACAUACAUACACGACAUGCGUUUUCGACAUACAUUUAUGACUGACUUUGUAUGUCAUAAUUCGUAACAUUUUUGUAAAUUACCGAGAGACAUAUACGACUUGAAAUAAUUAAGAUAUUCUGUAUGUCAUGAUUUUGACAUAGUUUUACAACAUACUUUGUAUGUCAUGGUUUUCCAUUAUAUAUAUUUCAAAUUUGUAACAAAUCUAAAUUUAAUUAAAUUACACAUUUAAUGUCUAAUAAGUAAAAUAAAAUAUCAUACUUACACAAAGAUAAUUCAUUACACGAACUAUAUUGCCAAAUUCAAAAGUAUAUUUCAAAUUCAUCAAAAAAAUAAUUGUCAAAUACAUAUCACCGAUUAAAUAAAGGUUGUGACAUAAGUAGCACAUUCUUCACGGACCUUAUCAUUCUUGAAGUUUGUAUAUUCCUUCUUCCUCCAAAUCCGAGACAACCUAAUAUAUUAGCAAAAAAAAAAAAACAAUUAAACAAUUAUAUAUGUGAAAAUUCUACAACACUUCAAAUAACUAAUACAUUUACUAACAUAGUUUACAUGCACCUAAUGGCCACUUUAAACCCAAAAACGAAAUAGAAAUUAAGAUAGAUAAGUGUAAAAGAAGCUUAAAUGUAAGAAAUAGAAAAGUACCAUAUGGUUAAGGAAGCUUAAAUACAUGAAAUGACAACUUACUUUCUACUUCUUUAUGAUAAAGGAAACUUAAAUGAAAAAAAUAGCAAAGUACAUUGCUAUUUCCUACACUUGCAGUCAUAAAUGAACUUGUGUAGUAAAAAAAGUAAAUUAUGUUCUUUCAGUAAAAUCAAUUAAAGUAUGCUGCUAUUUCUUGCAUUUUUAACGAAAAACAGCUAAAUGCACGAAAUCGCAACUUGCUUCUACUUAUUUUUGGUGAAGGAAGCUUAAAUGCAAGAAAUAGCAAAGUAUAUUGCUAAUUCUUUCCCUUGGGAUAGAAAAAGGACUUGUGUAAUAAAAAAAUUAUGUCUUUUUUUUUUCCUAAGUAAAAUCAACUAAAGUAUGUUGUUAUUUCUUGCCUUUUAAUCAAAAAAUAUCUAAAUGCAAGAAAUAGCAAGUUACUUCUACUUAUUUAUGGAAAAGAACCUUAAAAAUAAAAAGUAGAAAAGUACACUACCAUUUCUUCCACUUGUGACAAAAAUGGUUUAUGUAAUAAAAAGAGAUGUUUUAUUACUAAGCCAAAUCAAUUAACCUGUCGAGUUAAAAUCGAGAUAAAAAAAUUUAAAAAAAAAAACAUAUGAGAAAAUCAUUGAAUAUUUACAUGUCGGGUUAAAAUAGAAAAGUACGGCAUACAUGUUGUUGUAGCCUAUGUAUUUAAGUAUCAAUCUAUAGAAAAUAUAUUUUAAAUGAUUAGUAUUAUUUAUGGCAAAUUAAAGAUUAAAAAAGUGUAACGACGUAAUUUUUCAACCAAUUUUUUUUUUCAUUUUUAAAACACAUAAAACUCAUAUAUUAUAUUUCAUAAAAAUCAUAAGUGUCUCAAAGUAAACAUAAAUCCAUAACAAAGUCAAAUCCCAGAAUCCUCAACAUAAUCUCGAACAGGUGUACAAUCACACAGGUGCCUUCCCACGAUCCUCGGAAGUACCUGAAACACAUAACACAUAACACAUAACACGGUAAGCAUAAAGCUUAGUGUGUUCCCCAAAAUACCACAUACAACACAUUAGCCACUCGAGGCUAUAACUAUGUAAGACCCUCCGGUCAAUGUGUCUCAGUGGGACCCUCCAGUCCCACAACUCUGAUGGACCCUCCGGUCCUAACUCUGUGGACCCUCCGUCCCUAAAUCUGUAAACUCUAAAUACACAUAGCAUAAAUCACACAAACAAAAUGCAGUAAUAUAACAGUACUCAAAUAAACACAUAGGACCCUCUGGUUACAUAUAAAUACCACUCUAGGUAAAGUAUAGUGAGAAGAUUCCCCUCGUAAGCUAGUAAGUAAAAGUCUCAUGCUCGAAAUCCUCGAUCUAUCUUCUGCCUAUCAUAAGGAUAAUAUCUCUAAUUAAUACUCUCUUCAUUCUCAAAUGUGCCAAACAUUGAUCUCUCUUACACUGUAGCCUUAAAAAUGGGUAAAAGACCAUUUUACCCCUUCCUGACCUCCAUCACUCAUUUGACCAACCCUAAAGUUAACCAAAGCCAAUUCUAGUCAACAACCCAAAUUGACCAGACUCGCCUAGUGCGCCCAUGCGACUCAUCGAGUCGCACCGAUUCUUGACAAUCUUAUGAAGGUCCAGCCCGUCGAAUUAACCCCUAACUCUUCGAGCUUUCGCCUGAUCCAGCUAAUCGGGACAACCCUAAUCUUCUCGCUGAGUCAGCUCAUCAACUUGGUGAUUCCAUUCAGACUCAACUUGCAUUCAGACGACUUUAAGGCAAGAUACUUUCCCAAACUCCAGAUCCAUACUCUCAGGGCUCAUUUAUAUCGUAAAGUCAUAGACUUUACGUCCAUGCAUGGCAUUUUGGGCAUGAAAUGCCAAGAACACGAUCUAACUGGGUUUUUCACUCAUAAAUUCCGUCAAGGCUAAAUAAAGCAUGAACCUUUAGAUGCUAGGGACCUCCUAAGGUCCAGAUCUGGAGUUCAAGCCUCCUCAUGAACCCUAAAUCCUCAAAGUCCUGAAAUAUAAAGAAAAGAAGCCCUAAUCUUCAAAAUGAGAGAUCUACUCAAACAAAAGAGAAAGGUUCGAACUUGAUACCUCUAACGGAAGCUCUUGGACGUAUAAGCAAUAGAUCUAACAGCCGCUUCACAAUCCUUGCUUGGAAUCCUCCUUUCCUCUAACAAAAUGCACCCACAAAUCUCGACUAAGGCUUAAAACUCUCUCAAAACUCAAGGGGGCGAUUAGGGUUUCUUCUCAAUGAGGUGUGGCCACAAAUGAGGCUAUAAGUGCCUUUAAAUAGACCACAAGCCCAAGAAAUUAAGGUUUCCUUCAGCAACGCUGACUCGACGAGUCGCCUUACAGACUCGUCGAGUCCAUUAAUUAAUCCACGUCACCAGACGCGACUCUACUAGACGAGUUAAGGCACCAACUCUUCGAGUCACUCCACAAAUCUCAAAUUAAAUGAUAAUAUAAUUACUUGGGAAUCCGGAUGUUACAAUUCCCCCCCACUAGAAUCAGACUUUGUGACAACCCGAAAUUUCCAUUCGGUCAACCCUAAAAGUCAACCACUUCGUAUCAUAAGUCAAUGUCAUUAUGUAACAACCUGAAAUUUCCGUAUCAUUUCUUGUAACUCUUUCGUAGUACAAUUCACGCAACCAAACGUCGUUUCCAAAUUCGAUUUCCGAUCUUUCGUUUAAUUAAGUCAUUAACUGGUAUGUAUUUAUAAUGACUUAAUGGGUGUCUUAAUAUAUUUAGAAAUCAUUUUAGCACCCAACUUUAGUGAUCGGAAUAUUUCUAGAAUUUACCGUAUCGGGUUACGGCAACCUAAUCGGGUACGACCAAAAGCCUCGUCUAACGCCGGUAUCGGGUAGAAUUUCACCGUGUCCAAAACUUAAACACUAUAUAAUGUGUCUUAAGCCUCCAUUUCAAGCCUUUGGCCAUUUUCUCAUAGAACUCUCACAACCUCUCUCCUCAUCCAUAAUCAAAGGUCCAAAACAAAGAUUUAAGGCUUCCAAUCAAAGAGGUAACACUCCUAACUUGUUAUUCAACCUCUUAAGCCUUCAAAUUAAUGUUUAAAUUAUAUUUUGGGACCAAGAACAUGAGUUUACGGCCAAGGAUCAUGCUUGGACCGUAAACUCCUCAACAUGGGGUUUUUGAGCCAAUUUACCCUUCCAAAUCAUAGUUGGGACUUAGAUAUGACUUUAAGGCUUGCUAAUUUGGGACUUGGAACACAUUAAACAUGAAUUAUAUGGGACAAACAAGAGUUUACGUCCAAGGCAUGUGCUUGGGCCGUAAACUCCAUUAAAUUGGGGAUUUAGUGCCUUAAAUCAUGUCCAAAUGCCUUGAAACUCAACCAAUGGCCUUGUGGUAAAAUCUAUAUGCAUUUAAAUAUAGUUUAAGGGUUUGAAGCAUAUCAAAAAUGUCAUUUAUAGGAGUUUACGGCCUAGGAACAUACCCUUGGCCGUAAACUCAUAAAACCUUGUUAAUGAUGCAUCAAAUACACUCUAAUGGUUAGCAUAAAUUUCUAGAAUCACAUGUGAUUGUUUUUAAGCAUCAAAAACUAACUUUUCAUGAGUAUAAGAGAGUUUACGGCCAUAUAACAUGCCUCUAGGCCGUAAACUCCUAAAAGUAUGUUUAAUGGUGUUCUAAAUUCAUAACAAGGCUUGGAAAAUUAACUAGAAUCACAUAUGAUUGUCCUUUGUAGCUUAAAUCCAUUUUUCUUGGCCAUGGGUGAGUUUACGGCCGUAAACUCUUAUGGUGUGGCCGUAAACUCCCUUUUAAGUGUUAUAAUUCCAUUCAAUCCAUUCCAAGGCAUUUUAGAAAUCCAUUCCAACAAUCCCCAUGUCCAUUUAAGCCAUUAAACACUCAAAACCACACCAACAUGAGUUUACGGCCGUAAACUCAUGUGUGAGUNGGCAUUUUUAGAUAUCCAUUCUAGCAAUCCCCAUGUCCAUUUAAGCCCUUAAACCCUCAAAAUCACACCAACAUGAGUUUACGGCCGUAAACUCAUGUGUGGGUGUGUUUUGUGGUUGUAAACUCUUUAAAAUGUUUACUCUUGGGGAGUAAACUCAAGUCCCAAGUCCCUAGUGCCAUUACACAUCCGAAGAUGUCACCCGGGUCACUCCAAACGCUCGUUUUGAAGUGUUUAACCUCGUUGGAGUGUAAUGUUCCAUAUGAUUAGUGAAUGUAUCUCUAAUUGAAUAUAUAUGGACAUUAUUUCAUUUUACAUAUGGACAUCGCGAGUAAUCAAACCCCGAACCAACGUCUAGUAUCCGAAACUUACACAUUUUCGAGUCCGGUGAGUUCAUACCCCUACCCUUUUUCACUGUUUUCACUGUUUUCAAGGGGGGCACACAAGCAAAGUACAAGAGAAUUCUUGUACUCAAAACAUGUUUUCAAAUGUGUGAUUCAUAUUCCAUAUGCUUUUAUUACUGAUUACCACAACUGAUAACCAUUUGAACAUGCAGAUCACGUAACAUUUAUUUGUGAAAUAGGUAUUUAAACUGUUAUGUUUUACAUAUAUUUCACAAAUGGUUUUCCACAAUUUAUCAGUUAAAAGCAUGAAAUUAGACAUUUGAAUAUAAUACCUGUACACUGUUUUGUCCUCGGUAACACUCCACACACAUACACGAGUGGAGGACUAUCAUAUUAUUACUAGUAAAUUUGUUAAUCCUGUAUGAUUGGAGACACGUCCUCGGCGAACACUCCACAGAGAUACGCGAGUGGAGGACUACACCCAUAACCAGAAUCUCUGGUAUUUAGAGAGCGUGACUUGAGUGUAUAGAUCUAUACGGGGCUGACUACCCCACACUUGGCUGCUAGCAACAGCCGAACCGAAAUGGUUCAAGGGUGACGAAAGUCAUAAGUAUGUGGACUACUUAUUGCCACAUGUUGACUACUUAUUGCCACAGGUUUAGUCUAUCGUAUGGUUAUGGAACUCGCAAUUAGGAUAACAGAGAUUUACUUAUAGUAAUAAUAAACCACUUAUACAUCUUUUACAUCUUUUACAUCUUUCACGUACAGUAAUCAACAUUCAGGAAAGUAUGGGACUUUCCUGGGGAAAACAUGGAACCUAACCACAUUUACAUCUUUUACAUCUUUUACAUCACUCACAUUGGAAACCAACAUGCAGGAAAGCAUGGGGCUUUCCUGGGUAACACUUACAUAACUAGAAAGAGUAACAAACUGGAUAACAUUACAUCUUUUACAAUUAGUAAUAUACAAUAAGGAAAGUAUGGGACUUUCCUGGGAAUACACGAUAAGUAAACAGAACAGUUUAACAAGUCGGAUAACCAACUAUACAUUUUCACAUGAGCAGACAUGUUUUCAGUGUACAAACUUACUAUACUUUACUUUUGUGAAACAAUAACCAACUUUUAAGAUAAUACGGGAUUUUCUUGGUAUACAUAACAUUUCAGAAACAGAAAGGAAACUUGAAACAUUUUCACAAACAAAAACCGCUUAUGAACUCACCAGCUUUAUGCUGAUUUUUAAACCGCUUGUGUUCUCAAGUCAGCGUUAGAACAGGUACCCGAAGAUCCCUUUUUGAUCAGAAGACAGAGUACAUGAAGACCCGUUUCAUUUUGUUUAUAUAUACUAUGUAUCACAACUGUACAAACUUUACUUUUGAAACAACUGUAAAACUUUAUUAUGUAAUGUAAUGGUUGUUUUACUUUACUUACUAUGUGCAUUGGAUUUGAUACUCAACGUGGAGUCAACCCCGGAAAUGUUUUCGCCUUCGGUUUUUGGGGUGUGACAGAUUGGUAUCAGAGCCCUUGUUUAUAGUGAAUGAAGUAUACCAAACCUUACAUGGUAUAAAACUAUAAACACUAAAGGGCCUAAGUGCUCUGAAUUAAAAGGAUCUUCAAACUACAAGUAUUUUCAAAAGUAUACAAGUAUACCGAACCGUCGUCAUCCAUAACCACAAGUAGAACAGAACAUAAGUAAUUGGGUGUUGUGUACUAUGGUUAAACCUGGGCAGUUAUGUAGUCGUGUCUAGGGUCAAUAUAGCCUGGCCAACUAUAUUCAUUCGAGACACGACCAACAUGUGCUUGGGAGUGACUGUGGUAUGCGGCAUGCCUAAAAAUUACACUAAUAUCCCAAACAUCGAAUCAUUGUCGUAAACAAUUCAUGAAAUACUAUGGGAGUAUUUCUCGAUCCCAAUCCUCUGAAGAAAUCCUUAUUCGAGUGGCUUUCUGUGAUUAUUCUUAGCGAUAAAUUAUCUGUUUCGAUAACUCUUUCCUAUUUUAUCGCUUAUUCGGAUCAUAUAACUGCCAUAUCUAGCGAUUCAAUAUAGAGGACUUACCAUCCUCUCUUUCUUGAUCUUAUUAGAUCAAGAUGCCUCCCAGAAAGAGACCCAGCUCAAAGAACAACAACAAUCCUUCUUCGCCGCCACCUCCUCCCCAAUUUGACCUAGCGUCACUCCAGACGGUCAUGACAGCUGCAAUGGUGGCAGCCAUGUCACAAAUGAACCCUAGUGGUUCAGGAGGUGGUCCCCAAUCUCAAAACCCCGACGUUAGCCAGGGACACCAAAGAGGGGGUUCCUAUAAGGAUUUCAUGAACGCAAAACCAACAUCCUUCAAUGGCGCUGGAGGUUUCAUUUCCUUAUCCCGAUGGUUCGAGAAAAUCGAGUCCAUCUUUGAAAUCUGUGCUUGCGCGGAAUCUGAUAAGGUUAAGUUCGCGGCCUGUACCUUCGUUGACAAAGCCCUGACUUGGUGGAAUGGCCGAGUCAAAUCUCUAACCUUACCCGUAGCCAAUGCCAUGGGCUGGGAAGCCAUGAAAGAACUCCUUAUAGCCGAGUACUGCCCCUGUGGUGAAAUGCAGAAACUAGAACACGAGCUCUGGAACCUGAAGAUGAAAGGUUCCGACAUUGUUGCAUACACUUCCUGAUUUGAUGAUCUUGCACUUCUCUGCCCGGGAUUAGUCACUCCUGAAAACAAGAAGAUCGAAAGGUUCGUUUGGGGGUUAUCCCAACUGACAAAGAGUCAUGUUUUGGCUGCUCGUCCGGAUACCUAUGAUAGUGCCAAGACUUUAGCUCAAACUUUGAUUGAUCACAGCGACGACGUUAAGGAAAUCACUACCACCUCUGAGCCGACUCAAAGGAGUGGCAAAAAGAGAAAAUUCUGGAAGAAGAAGAAGGGUCAAUCUUCUCAAGGAUCUUCCAAGAAACAGCAGACGAUAGCAGUCCAUGCUGCUACUACCCCUGUUGCUGCUGCUUCUGUUGUGGGAUCCACAACUCCAACUCCUACCAGUAAAUAUGCUGGUAACCUUCCUCUGUGUGACAAGUGUAAAUACCAUCAUCAUCCUGGUCCCUGCCGAGAACUAUCUUGUACCAACUGUGGUAAGAAAGGGCACACAGUUCGAUUCUGCAAAACUCCUACCCAAUCAGCCAACCAAUCAUCUGGAGCAGGUGUUAGUCAAGCCUGCUGCAAUUGUGGAGAAGUUGGGCACUUUAAAAGGAACUGUCCCAAGAAGUCAACUGCUGAUAACAAUGGAAGGAUUCUAACCAUGGGACGGGAGGAAGCAGUCGCUGAUCCCACUAUUGUUUCGGGUACGUUCCAUCUCGACAACUCAUAUGCUAGUAUUCUUUUCGAUUCGGGUGCUGAAAGGAGUUUUGUUAGUCAUGCAUUCAAACAUAAUCUAAAACGUAAUCCCCAACCACUAACUAAAACGUUUACCGUCGAGAUGGCUAACAGUGAGAAAGAAAGCGCUAACGAUGUAUUCAUAGGCUAUACACUUACCUUGAAUGAUCACUCAAUUCCUAUAGAUCUCAUGCCCGUUUCCAUUAAGAGCUUCGAAGUUAUCAUUGGCAUGGAUUGGUUGAGUCCCAAUCAUGCUGAUAUCCUUUGUUACGAAAAAGCCAUCCGUAUCAAUCUUCCUUCGAAUCAAACUCUCGUAAUCUAUGGUGAUAAACCCAAUUCCAAUCUUCAUAUCAUUUCCUGCAUCAAAGCUCGAAAGCUCCUUCGAAAGGAGUGCAUUGCAUUCUUAGCCCAUGUGAUCAACGGGAAACAAGAAGUUAGAGACCUCGCGAGCGUCCCCAAAGUCUGUUACUUUCCUGAUGUAUUUCCCGAAGAGCUUCCAGGAAUUCCUCCCGAACGUCAGGUCGAGUUCCGUAUUGACCUAAUUCCUGGAGCUACCCCCGUAGCAAAGUCUCCAUAUCGCUUAGCUCCAGCAGAAAUGCAGGAGUUAUCCAGUCAACUCAACGAGUUGCUCAGUAAAGGAUUCAUUAGACCGAGUUCCUCACCCUGGGGAGCUCCGGUACUGUUUGUCAAGAAGAAAGAUGGAUCCUUUCGUAUGUGUAUCGACUACCGCGAACUGAACAAGUUGACCGUUAAGAACCGAUAUCCUCUUCCACGAAUUGAUGACCUCUUCGAUCAACUCCAGGGAGCCAGCUACUUUUCAAAGAUAGACCUUCGGUCAGGGUACCAUCAGUUACGAGUCCAGGAAAAUGAUGUUUCCAAAACAGCUUUUAGGACUCGGUAUGGACACUACGAGUUCGUAGUGAUGCCCUUCGGUCUAACCAACGCACCGGCUGUGUUCAUGGACCUGAUGAACCGGGUGUGCCGUCCCUUCUUAGACAAAUUUGUCAUCGUGUUCAUUGAUGACAUCCUUGUCUACUCCCGAAACGAAGAAGACCACAAACAACACUUGAGGUUAGUGUUGGAGACCCUUAAAUCCGAAAAGCUAUAUGCGAAAUUUUCCAAAUGUGAAUUCUGGAUACGAAAGGUAACUUUCCUCGGUCACAUGGUAAGCGAGGAGGGUAUUCAUGUAGAUCCUUCCAAGAUUAAACCGAUAGAGAAUUGGUCGGCACCGAAGACACCCACAGAAAUUCGUCAAUUCUUGGGUCUCGCCGGCUACUAUCGAAGAUUCAUUUAGAAUUUCUCCAAAAUUGCCAAACCUUUAACCACUCUAACACAGAAAAGUUUACCAUUUUGUUGGAGUGAUAAACAAGAAACUGCAUUCCAAACGUUGAAGAAAGCCCUAUGCAGCGCGCCUGUUCUGUCUCUGCCCGAAGGGACAGAGGACUUCGUUGUCUACCGCGAUGCGUCUAAUCAAGGUUUAGGCUGUGUGCUUAUGCAAAGAGGAAAGGUGAUUGCCUAUGCCUCAAGACAGCUGAAAGCACACGAGGUCAACUAUACCACACAUGACUUGGAACUAGGAGCCGUAGUCUUUGCAUUGAAGAUUUGGAGACAUUAUCUUUACGGAACCAAGUGCACGAUCUUCACUGAUCACAAGAGCCUGCAGCACAUAUUUGAUCAGAAAGACUUAAACAUGAGGCAACGGCGAUGGGUAGAAUUACUCAGUGAUUAUGAGUGUGAAAUCCAUUACCAACCCGGCAAGGCCAAUGUGGUAGCAGGUGCCCUUAGCCGAAAGGAUAGUGCAGGCCACAAAGUGAAGAACUAGACGAUGACCAUCCAUUCCAACCUACCCAUGCAAAUCCGAGAAGCUCAGUUAACAGCCCUCAAAUCCGAGAACGUGUCGAAUGAAGCCUUGAGAGGAAUGGAAAAGAAACUUGAGAUCAGAGGUGACGAAGUUCACUAUUUCAUGAAUCGUAUCUGGAUUCCCAAAUCCAGAGGAUUCAGGGAAAUAGUCAUGGAGGAAGCGCACAGAACCAAAUACUCUGUUCACCCAGGUUCUGACAAGAUGUACCUGGAUCUCAAGAAACAAUAUUGGUGGCCAAACAUGAAAGCUGAGAUAGCUACUUUCGUGGGCAAGUGUCUGUCUUGCGCCAAAGUUAAAGUUGAACACCAGAAACCCUCAGGUCUGCUCCAACAGCCCGAGAUCCCCGAGUGGAAAUGGGAGAUGAUUACCAUGGACUUCAUCACCAAACUGCCCAAGUGGUCUAGUGGGUACAAUACCAUUUGGGUAAUUGUUGAUCGUUUGACAAAAUCCGCUCACUUCAUUCUAAUCAAAGAAUCAUACAAGAUGGAAAGACUCGCGCGAAUUUACAUCCAGGAGGUAGUACGUCUACACAGCGUACCUGUAUCCAUUAUCUCUGAUCGAGAUAGCAGGUUUACCUCUAGAUUCUGGCAAUCCCUUCAGAAAGCCCUUGGAACCAAACUAGAUAUGAGCACGGCGUAUCAUCCUCAGACCGAUGGACAGAGUGAGAGAACAAUCCAAACCCUGGAGGACAUGCUUAGGGCAUGUGUCAUUGACUUUGGAAAGUCAUGGGACACACAUCUAUCUUUGAUCGAAUUCUCGUACAACAACAGUUACCACACCAGCAUUAGGGCUGCUCCGUUUGAGGCCCUAUACGGUCGUAAGUGCAGAUCCCCUCUGUGCUGGGCCGAGGUGGGUGAUACACAAUUAGCCAGGAGUCGAGUCCCCGACAGUGCUCUCACUGGUCCUGAAAUCAUCCGCGAAACCACCGAAAAGACCAUUCAAAUCCGUAACCGAUUGAAAGCUACACGAGAUCGCCAAAAGAGUUACGCUGAUAAUCGUCGGAAACCACUAGAAUUCCUGGUUGGAGACCGUGUACUGUUGAAGGUCUCGCCCUGGAAAGGCACUGUACGCUUUGGUAAGCGUGGGAAACUUAAUCCAAGGUACAUUGGACCCUUUGAGAUUCUCUCCAGGAUCGGUCUAGUUGCCUAUAAACUUCAUUUACCUCAUGAACUCAGUAACAUUCAUCCUGUCUUCCAUGUUUCAAAUCUCAAAAAGUGCCUAUCCGAUGAAACCCUAACGAUUCCCAUAGACGAGAUCGAAAUCAAUAAAAACCUCAACUUUGUGGAGGAACCGAUCGAAAUCAUGGAUCGAGAAGUCAAACGUACAAAACAAAGUCGCAUCCCAUUAGUGAAGGUUCGCUGGAAUGCCAAGCGGGGACUGGAAUUCACUUGGGAACGGGAAGAUUCAAUGAAACAGAAAUAUCCACAACUCUUUCCAGAUCCAUGAUGUGUAUCUUGUCUUGUGUUUUAAACUUUGAAUUUCGGGACGAAAUUCCCUUUAACGGGGGGAUAAUGUAACAACCCAAAAUUUCCGUAUAAAUUAUUGUAACUCUUUUGUAGUCCAACUCGCGCAACCAAUCGUCAUUCCAAAUUCGAUUUCCGAUCUUCCGUUUAAUUAAGUCAUUAACUGGUACGUAUUUAAAAUGACUUAAUGGGUGUCUUAAUACAUUUAGAAAUCAUUUUAACACCCAACUUUAGUGAUCGGAAUAUUUCUAGAAUUUACCGUAUCAGGUUACGGCAACCUAAUCGGGUACGACCAAAAGCCUCGUCUAAUGCCGGUAUCGGGUAGAAUUCCACCGUGUCCAAAACUUAAACACUAUAUAAUGUGUCUUAAGCCUCCAGUUGAAGCCUUUGGCCAUUUUCUCAUAGAACUCUCACAACCUCUCUCCUCAUCCAUAAUCAAAGGUCCAAAACAAAGAUUUAAGGCUUCCAAUCAAAGAGGUAACACUCCUAACUUGUUAUUCAACCUCUUAAGCCUUCAAAUUAAUGUUUAAAUUAUGUUUUGGGACCAAGAACAUGAGUUUACGGCCAAGGAUCAUGCUUGGGCCGUAAACUCCUCAACAUGGGGUUUUUGAGCCAAUUUACCCUUCCAAAUCAUAGUUGGGACUUAGAUAUGACUUUAAGGCUUGCUAAUUUGGGACUUAGAACACAUUAAACAUGAAUUAUAUGGGACAAACAAGAGUUUACGGCCAAGGCAUGUACUUGGGCCGUAAACUCCAUUAAAUUGGGGAUUUAGUGCCUUAAAUCAUGUCCAAAUGCCUUGAAACUCAACCAAUGGCCUUGUGGUAAAAUCUAGAUGCAUUUAAAAAUAGUUUAAGGGUUUGAAACAUAUCAAAAAUGUCAUUUAUAGGAGUUUACGGCCUAGGAACAUACCCUUGGCCGUAAACUCAUAAAACCUUGUUAAUGAUGCAUCAAAUACACUCUAAUGGUUAGCAUAAAUUUCUAGAAUCACAUGUGAUUGUUUUUAAGCAUCAAAAACUAACUUUUCAUGAGUAUAAGAGAGUUUACGGCCAUAGAACAUGCCUCUAGGCCGUAAACUCCUAAAAGUAUGUUUAAUGGUGUUCUAAAUUCAUAACAAGGCUUGGAAAAUUAACUAGAAUCACAUAUGAUUGUCCUUUGUAGCUUAAAUCCAUUUUUCUUGGCCAUGGGUGAGUUUACGGCCAUAAAAUCUUAUGGUGUGGCCGUAAACUCCCUUUUAAGUGUUAUAAUUCCAUUAAAUCCAUUCCAAGGCAUUUUAGAAAUCCAUUCCAACAAUCCCCAUGUCCAUUUAAGCCAUUAAACACUCAAAACCAAACCAACAUGAGUUUACGGCCGUAAACUCAUGUGUGAGUGUGUUAUGUGGCUGUAAACUCUUUAAAAUGUUUACUCUUGGGGAGUAAACUCAAGUCCCAAGUCUCUAGUGCCAUUACACGUCUGAAGAUGUCACCCGGGUCACUCCAAACGCUCGUUUUGAGGUGUUUAACCUCGUUGGAGUGUAAUGUUCCAUAUGAUUAGUGAAUGUAUCCCUAAUUGAAUAUAUAUGGACAUUAUUUCAUUUUACAUAGGGACAUCGCGAGUAAUCAAACCCCGAACCAACGUCUAGUAUCCGAAACUUACGCAUUUCCGAGUCCGGUGAGUUCAUACCCCUACCCUUUUUCACUGUUUUCACUGUUUUCAUGUGGGGAACACAAGCAAAGUACAAGAGAAUUCAUGUACUCAAAACAUGUUUUCAAAUGUGUGAUUCAUAUUCCAUAUGCUUUUAUUACUGAUUACCACAACUGAUAACCAUUUGAACAUGCAGAUCACGUAACAUUUAUUUGUGAAAUAGGUCUUUAAACUGUUAUGUUUUACAUGUAUUUCACAAAUGGUUUUCCACAAUUUAUCAGUUAAAAGCAUGACAUUAGACAUUUGAAUAUAAUACCUGUACACUGUUUUGUCCUCGGUAACACUCCACAUAUAUAUGCGAGUGGAGGACUAUCACAUUAUUACUAGUAAAUUUGUUAAUCCUGUAUGAUUGGAGACACGUCCUCGGCGAACACUCCACAGAGAUACGCGAGUGGAGGACUACACCCGUAACCAGAAUCUCUGGUAUUUAGAGAGCGUGACUUGAGUGUAUAGAUCUAUACGGGGCUGACUACCCCACACCUGGCUGCUAGCUACAGCCGAACCGAAAUGGUUCAAGGGUGACGAAAGUCAUAAGUAUGUGGACUACUUAUUGCCACAUGUUGACUACUUAUUGCCACAGGUUUUAGUCUAUUGUAUGGUUAUGGAACUCGCAAUUAGGAUAACAGAGAUUUACUUAUAGUAAUAAUGAAUCACUUUAUACAUCUUUUACAUCUUUUACAUCUUUCACAACACUGUAACUAACAUUCAGGAAAGUACGGGACUUUCCUGGGGAAAACAUGGNNNNNNNNNNNNNNNNNNNNNNNNNNNNNNNNNNNNNNNNNNNNNNNNNNNNNNNNNNNNNNNNNNNNNNNNNNNNNNNNNNNNNNNNNNNNNNNNNNNNNNNNNNNNNNNNNNNNNNNNNNNNNNNNNNNNNNNNNNNNNNNNNNNNNNNNNNNNNNNNNNNNNNNNNNNNNNNNNNNNNNNNNNNNNNNNNNNNNNNNNNNNNNNNNNNNNNNNNNNNNNNNNNNNNNNNNNNNNNNNNNNNNNNNNNNNNNNNNNNNNNNNNNNNNNNNNNNNNNNNNNNNNNNNNNNNNNNNNNNNNNNNNNNNNNNNNNNNNNNNNNNNNNNNNNNNNNNNNNNNNNNNNNNNNNNNNNNNNNNNNNNNNNNNNNNNNNNNNNNNNNNNNNNNNNNNNNNNNNNNNNNNNNNNNNNNNNNNNNNNNNNNNNNNNNNNNNNNNNNNNNNNNNNNNNNNNNNNNNNNNNNNNNNNNNNNNNNNNNNNNNNNNNNNNNNNNNNNNNNNNNNNNNNNNNNNNNNNNNNNNNNNNNNNNNNNNNNNNNNNNNNNNNNNNNNNNNNNNNNNNNNNNNNNNNNNNNNNNNNNNNNNNNNNNNNNNNNNNNNNNNNNNNNNNNNNNNNNNNNNNNNNNNNNNNNNNNNNNNNNNNNNNNNNNNNNNNNNNNNNNNNNNNNNNNNNNNNNNNNNNNNNNNNNNNNNNNNNNNNNNNNNNNNNNNNNNNNNNNNNNNNNNNNNNNNNNNNNNNNNNNNNNNNNNNNNNNNNNNNNNNNNNNNNNNNNNNNNNNNNNNNNNNNNNNNNNNNNNNNNNNNNNNNNNNNNNNNNNNNNNNNNNNNNNNNNNNNNNNNNNNNNNNNNNNNNNNNNNNNNNNNNNNNNNNNNNNNNNNNNNNNNNNNNNNNNNNNNNNNNNNNNNNNNNNNNNNNNNNNNNNNNNNNNNNNNNNNNNNNNNNNNNNNNNNNNNNNNNNNNNNNNNNNNNNNNNNNNNNNNNNNNNNNNNNNNNNNNNNNNNNNNNNNNNNNNNNNNNNNNNNNNNNNNNNNNNNNNNNNNNNNNNNNNNNNNNNNNNNNNNNNNNNNNNNNNNNNNNNNNNNNNNNNNNNNNNNNNNNNNNNNNNNNNNNNNNNNNNNNNNNNNNNNNNNNNNNNNNNNNNNNNNNNNNNNNNNNNNNNNNNNNNNNNNNNNNNNNNNNNNNNNNNNNNNNNNNNNNNNNNNNNNNNNNNNNNNNNNNNNNNNNNNNNNNNNNNNNNNNNNNNNNNNNNNNNNNNNNNNNNNNNNNNNNNNNNNNNNNNNNNNNNNNNNNNNNNNNNNNNNNNNNNNNNNNNNNNNNNNNNNNNNNNNNNNNNNNNNNNNNNNNNNNNNNNNNNNNNNNNNNNNNNNNNNNNNNNNNNNNNNNNNNNNNNNNNNNNNNNNNNNNNNNNNNNNNNNNNNNNNNNNNNNNNNNNNNNNNNNNNNNNNNNNNNNNNNNNNNNNNNNNNNNNNNNNNNNNNNNNNNNNNNNNNNNNNNNNNNNNNNNNNNNNNNNNNNNNNNNNNNNNNNNNNNNNNNNNNNNNNNNNNNNNNNNNNNNNNNNNNNNNNNNNNNNNNNNNNNNNNNNNNNNNNNNNNNNNNNNNNNNNNNNNNNNNNNNNNNNNNNNNNNNNNNNNNNNNNNNNNNNNNNNNNNNNNNNNUAAACUCAUGAGUUUAAGGUAGUAAACUCAUGAGAAAUGGUCCUUAGACCAUAAACUCCAUUUAGGAGUGUUUUGAUGCCACACAACACUUCCUAAGGCAAAUUUGUGAAGUAGGAAUGCUUGGAAUAGCCUAGAAGACUUCAAAUCACCAAAUGGUCAAAAGGUUAGGAGUUUACGACCGUAAACUCAAGAGUUUACGACAAUAAACUCAAGGGGUGUUGAUCAUAAUGGAGUAAACUCAUUUUAAGAGUGUUCCUUGAACCCCAAACACACUAGCUUUUCCCUACAACACUUAGAUGCAACCCUUGAGACUUAUAANAAAGUGUUUGUCAUGCCUUAGAGUGUCUUAACUUUGUUUAUUAGUUGUUUAAAGACUAAUUGUGUAUAUACAUAUAUCCUUUUAUGUUAUUAGGAUCUUUGUGCGUGUCUAAGUCUUCACUUAACACCAAGCACUUAUCCGACACUUCCUUCCGAUCCACUUACUAUAGGUGAGUUCAUACCCGUUAAUCAAUGUUUUAAACUGUUUUUAAAUGUUUUAUGGGGGGGGGGGAUACAAGUAGAACCAUGCUACUUAUUAUAUCAAUCACAUGUGAUUAAUAAGCAACAUUCAAAUGAUUGGCUACUCAUUAGCCGUUUUACCAAACAGUUUCCUUCAAAUGUUUUUCAUAAACACUUUAUGUGUUUAAAACUCCCUAUUACACUGUACAUUUUACUCUGUAUAUUACAUUUCAAACUUACUUUCAAUUGUGUUUCAAACAAAUGUUUCUUUAUACUAAACCGUUUUAUCAAACCCAUGCCUUCAAAACCGUUUUAUAGAUUGACAUCAAGUCGAUCUUUUCUUAGAAAAUGAUUAUGCUCAAAGGUUUUACAAAAAUUAUUUUAUGUUUUAUUAUUAUAAAUUGCAUGCCUAUAUAUGUAUAGUUAUAUAAGAAAUGUUGAAAGGACAUAGGAAGGCUAUCCACCCUAUUUCCUUUUCCUCGAUUUGGAUGUGGUCUGGUGGGAUAUCGGGUACCCGUACGAAGGUCGUUUAAAUAUUAAUUAUAUAUCAUGUGUACAUAUAUAGUCAUAAAAGUCCUUCCAGUUCAUCAAUUGCCCUUGGGUAGCAAGGGUAUACAUCCAUGUUCAUACGUGCCAGUUAGAUUACUAGUAAACUACCAUAGGGGUAGUUUAGGAAAAUACUAGAACAAUACUAGAACUAUUACUAAAACGCAAUAACAUACAAUGAGUCAAUUCAUUCAUGAGUCAAUACUUGCUAGAACACUACAGUACUUUACUAUACUUGUUAGAUAGAGAGAACAUACAUUACAGCUAGAGCAUUUCAGUACAUUACUAUACUAUUACGUAGAUAAGUUUACAUGGUCACACUUACAUGAGUACAAUUACAUGAUCACACUUACACGAGUACACUUACAUAUACAUAGAACAUAUGUCACUAGGUGCUAUAGCAUGGACCCAGUUCAGGAUCUAACUAUACUGAUGAAUCACAACGCAAUUGUGAUAGUUAUAUCGAGUAUACAUGAUCAUAGUAAUGUGGAUGCUCACGGCUUGUAGAUAUGCAGGGGUCGUGGGUAGGUCCCAAAAUCCCUUUGAUAGGGGAGCGUAUAGCCUGGGAUCUAGACAUCACAUUAUACCUUAUCCCUCAAAUAAGGUAGCUGAGUACCGAUGUAGUUAUUUAUUACAAAUGCUACAAUACUUACAAGAUUACCCUAGACUUAAGGUAAUUGGUACGGUUGUAGUUCGACACUAUACCAUAGUACUAUUUCAUUUUCCCAUUACAUUCACUUCGUGAACAUUCACACGACGCACGGUAAUGUGGAAACUAUAUUUUUGGUUAAUGAUAGUCAUACUUGGGAAAAUACAUACUUUUACAAGAGACACACACACAGGCACUAGAUGGCUUGGUAGAAGGCUACAUUCAGAGCAGUUAGGUCUUGGUAUAAGACUACAUAGAGAGCAGUCAGGCCUUGGUAGAAGGCUACAUUCAGAGUAGUUAGGUCUUGGUAGAAGACUACAUUCAGAGCAGUUAGGUCUUGGUAGAAGACUACAUUCAGAGCAGUUAGGUCUUGGUAGAAGACACCUUCAUAUAAUAGUAGAAAUCAUAGGGAUUUCUAGGGUUUUUCAAACAUUUAAAGUUGAUUUACAAACAUUUUCAUACUUACAGUUCAUAUACACUUUCAAUACUUACAAUUUAUAUACAUACAAAUUCUUACGUACAAAUUCAUGCAUACAAAUACUUACUUACAAAUUAAGACACUAAAAUACUUAUGAUCUCACCAGCUUUAAAGCCGAUACUCGCUUUCAUAAUUACUUGUAUCCUCAGGUCAUCUAUAGACAGGUACAGAUGCAAGGUUUAGAGAAGAUGGAGCUCGUUCAAGACUCAUCUUUCAUUUUGAUUUAUGCUUUAGUCUCUAUUAUAUUUUGACAGAACACACUUGUAUAAUAAUUAUUUUAUUAAUGCAAUGGAUGAUGUUGUUGCUUGUUUACUACUUUACAUUGUUGUGAUACUGUACAUGACGUCCUCCACCCCAAAACGUUUCCGCCAUUAUUGGUUUUGGGGUGUGACAGAUUGGUAUCAGAGCAUUGUUUAUAGUGAAUUAAGUAUAUCAACCCAUAAAAGAUAUACUAUCUAUAAAUACAUAAGGGAUUAAAAAUACUCUGACCAAGAGUUUAUACUUUAGAUAAUAAAAUAUUUAAUUAGUAUACGUGCCUGCAUUUAUACUAAAAUCGGUGUCACUAGAACAGUACAAAAGAAUUACAAUUAAUGGGCAACGCAAGUGGGCUUAGAGACAUAUGGUCAAAACUGGGAAGAUAUAGCCUGAUCACCUAUAUUAUCCGAGGGUUGACUUGCAUGUGCUUAAGUUUAGUUGUGUGGUUGCAACAAUGCAAAAAUCUUACCAACCCUACCACAAUGAGAACAGUAGAACAUAACAUUAAACUUAAAAUACUAUAGGAGUAUUUGGUAUUACUAUAAGUACUUUAUACUUGAGAACUAAAACAGGAUCUUCAUUACUAAGUUGAUAGUUGCUAAGUGGAUACACUAAGGCUAUAUCUAAUUAGGAUGUUAUAGACUUAGAAUCCGUGAAAGUUUUACUUUACCCCUAUUCUGUGUGAAUUUGGAGUUAAGGUCACUUAUUCGAAGGCCUAUCCUGUUUCGAUUUCAUAUAACCGGUAUGCACUUCACAAAUAGCAAUGUAACUAAAGAAGAUUUUCUAAAUAAUUAUCUAGAUAGUUCGUCUAAUGAUUAUUCUCUUACCCCAAUUCUCGCGUAGAUAACAUGGCUGGACUCCAUCCUCACGACAACCCGUACCUUCUGAAUGAGGUCAUUGCUGGAUGGUUUGAAGAAGAGCCAGAAAAUGAUCAUCCUAUCCCUGUGAAUGAUCACCAUGAUGAAGACCUUUCGGAUGGUGCUAAUUCCGAGCCCGAGGUUGAGGAUCUACCCCAGGCAGCUCCUGUUCCAAUUCCUAACCCUCGUCCGGCUUUUCAUGGCCCGACGCCUCCAUGGGUGGAAUGUUUGGAAACAUGGAGCGAAGGUCAAGAUCAACCCAUGUCGUUUAAUGGAGACCAAAGCUUCUACAACAUAAGUAAAGGGAGCUUAGCAGAUAGAGUUCUACCAAUUCUGAUCCAUAGAGUUGCCCGAAACGAGAUUCAGGGCAUGACAGCCCUACAACGUAUCGCGGAAGUUGAUACAAAUUAAGGAAUGCAUAUGCUUCGCACCAGUCGGCUUGAACAUGCUCGUGAGAGGUCUGAGAGAGACAAUGAGACCUUGCUGCAAGCAGUAGCUAAAACUCGAGCUGAAGUCAUAGAGCUCCGAGUACACCAGAGGGUGUACGAAAGAUACCUUCUUGAUAUGGAACGACAACUGGCUGAACUAAGAGUUCACCAGAGGGAUGACCGUCGCCAGGAGUAGAUGCUUUACUUUAUUUUUCCUGGUUAAAAUAAAUCGUUCUUCUAUCUAUGCCCGAUGUGGCAUUUUCUAUGAAACUUUCUGGUACUGUAAGUACUGUUGUUAGGUCUUUAUGCUGUCAGGAACUAUCUUCUUUGUUUAUGAUGUAAGACCUAUUACAAGGUCAUUUUCCCGAACUUUUACGUAAUGAAAAUCAAAAAUAUUGACAGUCGGCUAACUUCUGUUCCCUUUUUAGUCAAGUACUCUCAUCCUACUUUCCUUGGAGUCAAUCUGAAACAUGCUUUAGUCAAGUCAUUGGACUAUAGUAAUUUAACUCCGGAGACAUUUCCAUGUCUAUUUCAAUGGUUGGAUCAUGUUAUUCACCAACCAACGAUACCUCGGCUUGAACGACAAACGUCUUGAGACCAUUCUACAAACUCACUUCCAUUCCGUACUUGGACUGCAUCAUAUGGAUGUAGGUCAACCUUUCGAGAACAUACUCUUACUCCUUGAUUGAGCAAUCGAAGUACAUCUAGGUUCAACCAGAAUCGAUCACAAAAUCCUUAUCUUUUGUAUUACAUAACCAUGUCGUCAUCCGGAAGCAAUCAGUCGAACAACGAAACCUCCGCUUUUCCCAUGGAUGCAGCUACUUUCCAAACCGCAGUUACAACGACUGUGAUGGCUUCCGUGACAGCUGUCCUUGCGCACUGUAGCGCGAUCAGCACAAUCAAUACUGAUGAUAGGGUUGAAGUUUCCAAUCGUGGUAUCCAUCCAGGAAAUCGCCAAACAGUAACAGUCACAGGCUCGCCAAGCCGAAAGACAGAGAAAAAGAAACUAANGUCAAGCUCAGAAAGAACGCAAGAAAUCCCAAAAACUUGCCAUGCAACAGCAACAAGUGGAAACCACUGCCAUUCCCGUACCGAGCAGGCCAUACGAGGGAAAACUCCCGAAGUGUGAUAAGUGUAGUUUCCAUCAUCAUGGGGCCUGCCAUGAGAUGCAGUGUUGCAAUUGCCUAAAAAUAGGGCACCAUGCUCGUAAUUGUGGAGCACUGACACGACCCAUCACUCAAGUCCCUUUCAUCGGGACCAAACCUACACACGAGAGUAGUGAUAAAGCUGAGCGCUUUAGGAAGCAAUUUCCAAGGUGGAGUAAUGAGGAAGGCACUCGUGUCCACAUAACACUGGCUAAACACCUCACUUCCACCACCAAUGUUGGUGCUGUCCAGAUAUGUCACCAAUGCGGUGAAAUUGGACACUUCAAGAAAGAUUGCCCUAUAACAAAGAACUCUGGCGCAGACGGGAAGUUUCUCAAGAUCACAGCUGCAGGAGAACCCACUCCGGACCCUCGUUAAUGUAGUUUAGGCGUUUUGUUGUAACAGACUUAUAAACUAUUCAAAACUAGUGUAACUAGAGUCUUACCUUCUGCGAGAUCAUGUCUGUAUAUGGAUGCUCGUGCUGCAUAUACUUGUCUUUUGUAGUAUACCUUAUUCACAGCAAUAGCCUUGUAGUAAAACUAAAGUACUGUAACUCUACUCAUGGUUGCACGGUUGUGUUUUGUCUGUAAACGACUUAUGUUCAAAUCUAAUGUCUUUAAGUUUCUGUAUGAUUCCGACAUUAUCAUGCGACCCGAUUCAACUUGAUCCUCACAAAAACAGCUUCAUACAUACAUCUCUUUGUCAGUAAACGUCGUCUCAGCGAAACCGUCAUAUCAGAACACCAAAGUACUCUUGCAUGGAGUACCUCAUAGUUCUUUUCUUUUCCGAAGAAAUCCCUGAAGUACCACUCACGCAGUACGUCAAGUUCAAUCCAAGGAUUCAUGCGGAUGAUCUAUCACUGAGGAUUGUAUACAUAAGAGUGAUAUAUAAUCAAGGUUCUACAGGUUUAGAAUUAAUGAUUUCGCUUUAACUCAUUUCCUCGUUGGGAUGUGAGGGUAAAGAAGAAUCAGUUAUUCGACUACCUUUUCAAUCUUAAUUAUAUACGACUCAUAUAAACGAGAUUGUGAUUGUGAAACCAUGUAUGAAUUCUAAUAUGAACUUCAGGACGGAGAACUGCCUAAGUCUACGAGUAAUCACAUCGUCAUGUGAACAAACUUAGAACCCAGUAUGACUCCCAUAAACAGAUCGCCCUAUAGUCUAAACAUCUACGGAGAUACAAGAAAAGUACAGACGACUUAACGAACUACAAAGAAAUAGAAUUAGAAGACUAGGCUUCUGACCCUGGAGAACCCCGAUCUUAUUCUUCUAGAGAUCGACGGAUUGCAUCGUAUGUACCUCGGAUAUCGAGGACUCCGUCAAGAAUUUUCAUUACAAAUCGUUAUCUCUGCCUCACAUAGAUGAAAUGGUUGAGCAAACGCAAGGAAAGAAUUACUUUCAGAAAUGGACCUGAGAUCCGAAUAUCACCAGUUCGAGUGUUAAGGAAGGAUGUCCGGAAGACUAUCUUCCGAACUAGAUGUGGACACUUCGAAUUUGUAGUGAUACCCUUCGGAUAGGACCAAUACGCCCAUAGUUUUCAUGAGUUUAAUGAAUAGAGUUCGUCUUUCCUACUUGGAUCAGUUCGUCAUUCUCCAUGUAAUGACUUACUUAUCUAUCCUCGUAGUAAGAAGGAACCCAUGGAAACAUUACCUUCGGAGGAACUUACGCAAAGCUCUCUAAACACGAGUUUUGAAAUUGAAGGGUCAGAUUUCCCACGACGCACUAUUAGUGAUGUGGAAAAUUUUGAGCACUCUUCCAAUUUGUCAAAACCGUUGAGAAUUUGUCGACACCAGAGACGCUGACAGAAAUUCGCCACAUUCUAGGUCUUACAGACCUACUGUCAUAGUUCAUUCAGAACUCCUCGCAAAUUACAGAAACCCUUUCGACUUUGACCUAGCAAGGGGUGGCCCUUGAAUGGGAAGUUUAGUAAGAGAAAGAACCCUUGGAAGUUCCAAGUGAGAGACCAAGUUCUUCAGGAAAAGCUCACUUUGGGAAUGGCUUAAUACGCUUCGUAAAGCGUGGAAAGCUAAAUCCAAGAUUGAUAGGACCUCCGGGAUUCUUACCAAAAUCGGUCCUGUACCUCGCACAAACGAGACCUACUCCGCGAACUCAGUAACAUACAUUCUACUCUUCAAGUCUCGAUCGUGAAACCGUACUUUUCCGUUAGGAGUCUUGUAAGCCCACUCGUCGAGAUCCUCGCCUUCGUAUUAGAACCGCAGUGACCCUCGACCGAGAGGUCAAGCGGACGAAGCAACGCGAUCGCCCGUUAGUGAAGGUUCGUUGGGAUACCAACUGAGGAUCCGAUUUCACUUAAGAGCUCUAGAACCAAUCGAUUAGGAAGUUCCCUCCUCUCGACUCGAUUAUUCAUACCUACUUCCUUACCUAAAUUCUAAUUUCGGGAUGAAAUUCCCUUUAACAGGGGGACGAUGUGACAACCCGAAAUUUCCAUUCGGUCCAACCCUAAAAGUCAACCAUUUCGUAUCAUAAGUCAAUGUCAUUAUUUCUUAUUUUUAAGAAAUAUAAAAUUCGUUUGAUUAUUUUAAUAUUAUUUUUAAGCGAACGGGUGAAAGAAAGUGUUGUCUCGGUUUUUGAUUUUUGAAAACCGCAAACACUUCGCGUAUUAGAAACACCCGACCAAACUUUUAUUUUUGGGUUGAAAAAUCAUCCAAAAAUCGUGAACUCAUACCUAUGUAUGAGUUUACUCCCCAAAAACUAGUCAUUUGUGUUUACUCCCCAAAAGUCAAAAAGAGUAAACUCCAAAAUAUCCUCUCAAGUAUCAUCCAAGUUUUUAUUCUAGAUCUUCAAACUAGUAAGUGUUUCUAGCCUUUCAAGUUAGUAUAUCACUUAAUCUAGUGAUUUUACACCCUUUAAUCCAUCCAUUUUUAUGUUUUGAUUAGUUUUUCCAAAACACCAAGAACACCAAGAACACACACUAGUGUUCUUGGACUUAAAGUUCAUUUCAAGCUUCCACAAUGUAAGUACUUCUAUCCUAGAGUCAUUUUAAGCUAGCUAUACAUGUUUAUACCAAGGAAAAGUCCCAAGAACACCAAGAACAAGGUGUUCACGGUUUUGGGAGGCUCCCAAAACCGUAAACACCAAAUAUAGUGCCUUAGGGUGCUUUAGGGUGUUUAGAUGCUUCUUUAUGCCUUAAGAACUUGUAUAGAUCCACCCUUGAUGAGUUUAUCACCCAAAAGUACCAAAACCUUCCAUUUUUAUGUGUUUACAGUUUAGGGAUGUCCUUAAACCGUAAACACCCCAAAAGGUGUGAAAAUGUCCCAUAAAAGUCCCAUGGUUGUUCCUUACGGCUAAAUCUAACCUAGACUAGUGCCAUGAUUGAGCUAAGGACUUGAAAACCCCAAAUACCAUAAACUUAUGAGUUUAAGGUAGUAAACUCAUGAGAAAUGGUCCUUAGACCGUAAACUCCAUUUAGGAGUGUUUUGAUGCCACACAACACUUCCUAAGACUAAUUCAUGAAGUAGGAAUGCUUGGAAUAGCCUAGAAGACUUCAAAUCACCAAAUGGUCAAAAGGUUAGGAGUUUACGACCGUAAACUCAAGGGGUGUUGAUCCUUAGGGAGUAAACUCAUUUUAAGAGUGUUCCUUGAACCCCAAACACACUAGCCUUUCCUUACAACACUUAGAUGCACUCCUUAGCACUUAUAACACUUAUACAAAGUGUUUGUCAUGCCUUAGAGUGUCUUGACUUUGUUUAUUAGUUGUUUAAAGACUAAUUGUUAAUAUACAUAUAUCCUUAUAUGUUAUUAGGAUCUUUGUGCGUGUCUAAGUCUUCACUUGACACCAAGCACUUAUCCGACACUUCCUUCCGAUCCACUUACUACAGGUGAGUUCAUACCCCUUAAUCAAUGUUUUAAACUGUUUUUAAAUGUUUUAUGGGGGGGAUACAAGUAGAAUUAUGCUAAUUAUUAUAUCAAUCACAUGUGAUUAAUAAGCAGCAUUCAAAUGAUUGGCUACUCAUUAGCCGUUUUACCAAACAGUUUCCUUCAAAUGUUUUUCAUAAACACUUUAUGUGUUUAAAACUCCCUAUUACACUGUACAUUUUACUCUGUAUAUUACAUUUCAAACUUACUUUCAAUUGUGUUUCAAACAAAUGUUUCUUUAUACUAAACCGUUUUAUCAAACCCAUGCCUUCAAAACCGUUUUAUAGAUUGACAUCAAGUCGAUCUUUUCUUAGAAAAUGAUUAUGCUCAAAGGUUUUACAAAACUUAUUUUAUGUUUUAUUAUUAUAAAUUGCAUGCCUAUAUAUGUAUAGUUAUAUAAGAAAUGUUGAAAGGACAUAGGAAGGCUAUCCACCCUAUUUCCUUUUCCUCGAUUUGGAUGUGGUCUGGUGGGAUAUCGGGUACCCGUCCGAAGGUCGUUUAAAUAUUAAUUAUGUAUCAUGUGUACAUAUAUAGUCAUAAAAGUCCUUCCAGUUCAUCAAUUGCCCUUGGGUAGCAAGGGUAUACAUACAUGUUCAUACGUGCCAGUUAGAUUACUAGUAAACUACCAUAGGGGUAGUUUAGGAAAAUACUAGAACUAUUACUAAAACGCGAUAACAUACAAUGAGUCAAUUCAUUCAUGAGUCAAUACUUGCUAGAACACUACAGUACUUUACUAUACUUGUUAGAUAGAGAGAACAUACAUUACAGCUAGAGCAUUUCAGUACAUUACUAUACUAUUACGUAGAUAAGUUUACAUGGUCACACUUACAUGAGUACAAUUACAUGGUCACACUUACAUGAGUACAAUUACAUGAUCACACUUACACGAGUACACUUACAUAUACAUAGAACAGAUGUCACUAGGUGUUAUAGCAUGGACCCAGUUCCGGAUCUAACUAUACUGAUGAAUCACAACCCAAUUGUGAUAGUUAUAUCGAGUAUACAUGAUCAUAGUAAUGUGGAUGCUCACGGCUUGCAUAUAUGCAGGGGUCGUGGGUAGGUCCCAAAAUCCCUUUGAUAGGGGAGCGUAUAGCCUGGGAUCUAGACAUCACAUUAUACCUUAUCCCUCAAAUAAGGUAGCUGAGUACCGAUGUAGUUAUUUAUUACAAAUGCUACAGUACUUACAAGAUUACCCUAGACUUAAGGUAAUUGGUACGGUUGUAGUUCGACACUACACCAUAGUACUAUUUCAUUUUCCCAUUACAUUCACUUCGUGAACAUUCACACGACGCACGGUAAUGUGGAAACUAUAUUUUUGGUUAAUGAUAGUCAUACUUGGGAAAAUACAUACUCUUACAAGAGACACACACACAGGCACUAGAUGCCUUGGUAGAAGGCUACAUUCAGAGCAGUUAGGUCUUGGUAUAAGACUACAUAGAGAGCAGUUAGGCCUUGGUAGAAGGCUACAUUCAGAGCAGUUAGGUCUUGGUAGAAGACUACAUUCAGAGCAGUUAGGUCUUGGUAGAAGACACCUUCAUAUAAUAGUAGAAAUCAUAGGGAUUUCUAGGGUUUUUCAAACAUUUAAAGUUGAUUUACAAACAUUUUCAUACUUACAGUUCAUAUACACUUUCAAUACUUACAAUUUAUAUACAUACAAAUUCAUGCAUACAAAUACUUACUUACAAAUUAAGACACUAAAAUACUUAUGAUCUCACCAGCUUUAAAGCUGAUACUCGCUUUCAAAAUUACUUGUAUCCUCAGGUCAUCUAUAGACAGGUACAGAUGCAAGGUUUAGAGAAGAUGGAGCUCGUUCAAGACUCAUCUUUCAUUUUGAUUUAUGCUUUAGUGUCUAUUAUAUUUUGACAGAACACACUUGUAUAAUAAUUAUUUUAUUAAUGCAAUGGAUGAUGUUGUUGCUUGUUUACUACUUUACAUUGUUGUGAUACUGUACAUGACAUCCUCCGCCCCAGAACGUUUUCACCGUUCUUGGUUUUGGGGUGUGACAGACUUUGCCCUCGAAGUCAUGCUCAGCAAAUAACUCAGGAUGCUGCUCCCGCAUCUUUGACUCCGGCUCCCAAGUCAAAUCGGACCCUCUCUGAUGUUGCCACUGAACCUAAACCAGGGACACUUCCUUGUUUCUUAGAACCUUCACAUUUCGAUCCAAGAUCGCUAUCGGCCUCUCAAUAUAAUUUAGGCUCGCAUCUACCUGAAUGUCCUCUAGCGGUACCACUGUCGUAUCGUCGGCUACACACUUCCUCAACUGGGACACGUGGAAGGUGUUAUGGAUCUGACUCAACUCCGCAGGUAGCUCCAAAUGGCACGCUACCCAACCAAAUCUGGCGGUCACCUUAAAAGGACCGAUGUAUCGGGGUGCAAGCUUGCCCAGGUUCCUGAGUCGGAUCACCCCUUUCCAAGGGGAUACCUUUAGAAGGACAAAAUCUCCAACCUGAAACUUGAGAUCAGAUCGUUGCCUGUCUGUGUAACUCUUCUGGCAACUCUGGGCCAUUAGUAACCUCUGCCUGACUUGCUGAAUAUGCUCGGUCGUCUUGAGUACUAUCUCCGUGCUACCCAUCACUCGUUGUCCCACCUCUCCCAAACAGAUAGGAGUUUGACACCUUCUCCCAUAAAGGAGCUCGAAAAGAGGCAUACCAAUGUUGGAUUGGUGACUGUUAUUGUAAAAAAACUCAGCCAAGGGUAAGUAAGUGUCCCAACUUCCUCCGAAAUCCAUCACACAUGCACGCAUCAUGUCCUCCAGCGUCUGAAUCGUUCGCUUGCUCUGUCCUUCUAUCUGUGGGUGAUAGGUAGUAUUGAAAUGCAAGAGCGUGCCCAAAUCCUCAUGAAAUCCAAAACCUGGAAGUAAAACGCAUGUCUCGAUCCGACACUAUCGAGACCGGCACUCCAUGUCGCGCUACCACUUCUCUCACAUAGAUCUCGGCCAAUCUCUCCGCAGAAGAGCUCUCACUAAUAGCAAGGAAGUUAGCACUCUUCGUCAGUCGGUCCACAAUCACCCAAAUCGCGUCAACCCUUCGCGCAGUCUUCGACCACUUGGUGAUAAAGUCCAUUGAGAUCUGUUCCCACUUCCACUGGGGAAUCUCAAGAGGCUGCAAUGGACCAUGUGGACGUUGGUGCUCUGGCUUGACCCGAAGGCAGGUCAAGCACCUCUCAACUACCCAAGCAACAUCCUUCUUCAUACAUGGCCACCAAUAGUCUCUUUUUAGGUUUAAAUACAUACUAGUAGCCCCGGGGUGGAUCGAGAAGCUCGAUUUAUGCGCCUCUUCCAUCAUUAUACGUUGGGCUCCGCCCGUAUAGGGCACCCAAAUCCACCCUCAGGAAGUCAUAAAUCCUCGGCUAUCCGUCACAAACUCGAACACCUGCCCAAUCACCCUCUCCCUCUUGUGGUUCUCCGAUUUCACGGCCUCCGCCUGGGCCUCUCGAAUGGUAUCCAAGACCGGAGCUGUCAUUGUUAUCCUCAUACACACAUCUCAAAUUGGGGUACUCUCUGCUCUACGGCUCAGGGCAUCGGCUACUACGUUAGCCUUCCCCGGAUGAUACAGGAUCUCACAGUCAUAGUCUUUCACCACAUCCAACCAUCUCCUAUGCCGCAUAUUCAGGUUAGGUUGAUCCAUGAGAUACUUCAGGCUCUCGUGGUCCACGUAUAUGGUACACCGAACCCCAUACAAGUAGUGGCGCCAGAUCUUGAGGGCGAACACAACCGCCCCUAACUCCAGAUCGUGGGUGGGAUACCUUGUCUCAUGAGGGUUCAACUACCUCGAGCAUAUGAUAUCAUGUGAUCCCUCUGCAUCAACACUGCACCCAUCCUUGAGAUAGACGCAUCACAAUAAACCACAAAGUCCUACACUCCCUCCGGAAGAGCUAGUACACAAUCUCUAGCGAAGAGUCUCGAAUAAUGGAUACUCCCAACAAGAAUAGAGGAUAUGCUAUAAGUUUAUAUCAUAUCUCUUCAUGUUCUAAAGGAGUAAAGUAUUGGUCUUUUUUCCUACACAAGAGUAAAAAAAAAAAUCUUUAGUAUCCAUAAAAUAAUAACUUUUAUCUACUAACAAAGCAAAAACAAGAUUACUAACCAUUUUAGAAACUCCAGGUGAGAUUUCACAAAAUGCUUUAUGUCUUCUUUUAAAACAAGUGCAUCAGAUGAAAAGUACAUCAACUCCUGCAUCAACAAAAGCCGUAGAUCUCCAAAGAGCUUCUUGUAUAGCAAUGCCUGACAAGAAUAUGUUCUUGUUACAAUAACAAUGUCAUAACCACUCUCUUUCAAAGCAUCAACAAUUAUUUUUAUCUUCAUCACAAGUUCUACUCUAGAUACCACUUAACUGCCUUAUGUAUGACCACAAGCUUUUGAGGAUACCUUGCAGUUUCAACAUUAUCAGCAAUCUGCAGGACCUACAUAUGAAUCCUAUGAUAGUUGAUGUUAGGAAAUGAAUUUGAUCUUCGAGAAUUAUUUUAACAAAUCCUGCUCUGAAAUAUUUGGCAAGCUUUUAUAAUGGACAAUGCUUUUGUAAUGUCCUUGCUUCACAAUCUCUCCAUAAGAUAUUAGUCCAGUAUUAUCUAGCAGGCCUAAUCGAGCCAUCUGUAUUCCAAAACCUAGCGAGAGAACAAAUCAAAGGCAAAAUUACAGGAUUGAUCAGACGAGGUUGCACAUUAAUACCAAUUUCAACAUUCUAGCCAUCUCUCUCUAUUAGCUUCACAUCAAGGUCAUUGAAACAAGCAGGGGCUUAGUGAAUUCGAGGAGAAUCAAGUAGUUAUCGUAACUUCUUCGUCGGAGAAAAAUCUGAAGUGGCGUUGUUUAGGCUGUUUGUCUCCUCCAUAAGAACUUAUGGUGAUAGAAUUGGGUGCCGAUAUAGCCCUAGAAACUGGUGAAAUAGAAAUCGAUGAAAGGGAAGGAGUUUGAGGUUUUCAAUGGGAGGUAAUUAUAAGACAAAAUCGGGGGAGGGGGGCACAAAUUCCAAACUGUGGGAAGCGUGUUUGACCUAGAGGAGGUGAGAGAUACAUACGAUCUUGAGAGUUGUGGUGACGGGUGAGAAGAUGUAGACGGGCUGGAGGAGUAGGCGACACAAAUUGUGUUCGCCAUUGACGGUGGUGGUAACCGAUGUUGAUGGCAGAGAAGGGAGACGGAACCCUAGAUCACCCAUGUGUGUGUUUUGAACCAAAACAUUGAAAACAUAACGGUAUCUUUUUCCGUCAUUUUAGACACUAAUUCACAACAAACAUUGUUUAUUUCAUUAUUUUUUAUAAAAGAUAACAUUACGACGUACAAGCGUUAAUCCUGAACAUUUUACAUACAUAACUUUUUAAGAAAUAUCUUUUUGUCUGUCAUAAAAUUAGUGUAUGUCAUAAGUCUGUCAUUAAAAGUCUUUUCUAGUCGUGUCAAAGACUAUGUCACCGUACAUCCAAAGUAUGUCGAAACAUUUGCUAUCCUUUAGAAGUUAAAAAUAACAUUUUUCUAGUUUACUUAAAAAAAAGUAUUUAUCGGGCAUAAACCUUUCUUAGAAAUCCUCCAAAACCUUGUAUCGACAACAAAUUGAAGAACUGAUAGAUGGAAAAAACAUUUUUUUAAGGAAAAAAACGGUAUUAAAACCCCUGUCAAAUUUAUUGAUAUGGAUGUUGAACUUAAAACCCCCUCAAAUUACAUUAUAUACCGAAAUUAAAAGCCAAAAAUAAAAAAUUAGAUGAAAACUACAUCUGUCGAGCCUUUUGUAAAUUUGAUAUGAAUGCCACUAUCUUCACAUAAACCCUGUCUUUGAAGUUAUCAUAACAGUGAAAAAAAGCAUGUCUUCCACGACGGUUGACAAGUAAAGCACCACAUGCUAUCCAAAAUCCAGUAGCAAAACCGGUCCCCCCACCAAUAUAGAACCAUCCCCAAAUUUCAUCUCCACCUUCCCCAUCACCCACACUUUCACCAACGACAGGUGGCACUUUUAAAUCUUCAUCCUCAGGACAUUUUUUGUUAAGAGGAGGUCCACAUAGUCCUACAUUUCCAUCGUAUCUUGAAGGUUCAAAGGACUGGAGCUGUGUGCUAGAUGGGAUUCUCCCUGUCAAGUUAUUAAAUGACAUGUCUAGGUAAUUCAGUAAGCUCAUCCGAGACAUGCUUGAUGGUAUCUGCCCUGAAAAAUUGUUUCUAGAUAAAUCCAAAGUCAAAAGAUUUUUCAUCUCACCAAUUUUCUGUGGAAUAUCUCCAAAUAGAUCGUUGUUUGACAAGUUUAGAGAAAUCAAGUCAUGAAGAUUGGUAAUUUCGUAUGGGAUUUGUCCUGCUAAAUUGUUGCUUGAAAGGUCAAUGCUCUUCACCAAUUUUAGAGUGUUAAAGAAUUCCCGUUCAUCUCCUUGCCACCUAAUCAUCGCAUUGUCAACAUAUGUCGUCCAAACAUAUGUUUGACCUCCUUCAGUUCUAUAUACCUUUAUAUCUUGUGAGAAUCCUUGUAGAACCAUGCUCGUAAGAUUACUCAAAUACGAGGGUAUGGUUCCAUAGAGAUUGUUCAUUGACAAGUCUAGAAUUUGAAGAUUUGCUAAUUGACAUAAUUUUGAAGGGAUGGUUCCAAUGAAGUUGUUUGAUCUUAGGAUAAGAACAUACAAUCCUGUUAAGUUUUCCCCAAUCCAGACAGGCACAUUACCAGAGAACUUGUUGGCUCCCAAAUUCAACGAGUUUAAACUCGUGCAAUUCUUUAAUGACAAAGGCAAUUCGCCAGAUAAUUCAUUCUUGUAUAAAUGCAAUACCUUGAGAUUGAUCAGAUAUUCAACAGAGGGAGGAAGCCUUCCAAAGAGAUUGUUGUGCCCCAGAUUAACAAUUUUUAGUUGUUUGAAAUGCCACAAACAGUCGGGGAGUUGUCCAGUUAAUGAGUUAUGAGAGAGGUCAAGAAAUGACAAGAACCCACCAACAAUCUGGCAUAUAAACGAGAUUCCCCCAGAAAACUUGUUUCUGGAAAGAUCUAAUGAUGCCAAAGUGGAAGCAACAUUUGGUAUUGGACCAUGAAAGUUGUUGGAACUCAAAUCUAUCACAGAAAGGUUGGCAAAAUUUGAUAAUAAAUCUGGUACUUUCCCACUAAUGUUGUUGGAAGAGAGAUUCAGAUAUUCUAAUUGAGAAGGCCAUGUGGCCCAAAACUCGAGAGGAGUUGUGUCUGAAAUUUCAGUAUUGGAAAGAUCAAGACUGGUAAGAUUUUUGAGUGUAUGAAUCCAUUUUGGGAAGUGAGGCCCUAUCUUACAAGACAUCAGACCAAUAACCUUUACAUAAGAAAGGCUUGACAAGUGAUAUGUGGAAGGAACUGUAAGAUUAUUAGAAGAAAGAUCAAGAAUUUGGAGCCUGGGUAGUUCCCACAGUUUCUCACUUAUACUUCCAUUUAACUGAUUAUCAGAUAGGUACAGAGAUUCUAGGGAUGCAAACUUCUGGAUCUCAUCGGACAGUGACCCUGUAAAUUGGCUACCUCGAGUAAUCAACAUUUGUAAGGUCAAGGACGUGCAUCCAGACAAGUUGUUGAGAAAAUCAGGAAAUUUGACAACAGCAGAGUUGUUAACGAUGUACAAACGUUCCAAACUACAGAGGUUCCCAAGGUAUUUGGGUAUCCCAUCUAACAUAUUGCCAGAGAGAAGAAGAGAACUAAGCUUAUUGCUGGUUAAUGGAAGCAACCAGCGAUACAUGGAUGAGUUCAGAUUGUUGUUUGUAAGAAAAAGGUAUUCAAUAGAUGAAGAAGAGUUGUGAAAAGAAGAAUAUGGAUACAUGACCUGUGACAGCUCACAUCCAUCUAAACUUAAACUCAACAGUUUUGGGAGACUCGAAAUUACACCUACCCAAUUAUUUGCAUUCGCAAGGGAAAUCCCAUCCAUUCUCAGAUCCUCCAAAUGAGAGAGAUGAGACAACCACUCCAUGUUUUCAACUCUACAACUUCCAACAGAAUCAAGAUAAAGGUAUUGCAAGUUGGUGAGGUUUCCAAAGUGUGAAGGAAUGGUUCCAUAAAGAGAGUUACUGGAAAAGGAAAGGUGCCUUAACUGGGUCAAGUAACCAAUGGACCUGGGAAUAGCUCCAUGAAAGGAAUUGUAGGAAAGGGAAAGGUACCUUAAUCGAGUCAAAGAACCAAUGAAAGUGGGAAUGGUUCCAUGAAAUGAAUUGUCAGAAAGAUCAAGAAGAUUCAAGUAGGUUAAGUUAACCAAGGAAUGGCUAAUCUCACCUCCAAGACCACCCUGUGAAAAGAAGUUGUUGAGUUCAAGCUUUGUGACGUGACCAGUUUGGUUGUUGCACUCGACUCCACUCCAUUUACAGCAGUCAUAUUGGUCAGAUCUCCAUGUAGAGAGAGUAUCAGAGGGGUCGUGAAGGGGAGCUUUGAAAAGAAGGAGAGCAUCUCUCUCCUUAUCCAAACACUUUUUCAUAUUUCUAUCAUCUCCUUCCAAUUGGCUGGCAGUUGCAUUCACAAGGAGGAGCAACAGAAGUGAGAAAAUUAUAAAAACACAAGGAUUCAUAAUUUAAUUAAAAAUGAAAAUCUUGGUGAUUUUUGGUUUGUAAUGAUGCCUGCCUAUAUGAACUGCACCCGUGAGUGUUUAUAUAUAUAGUCUCGAAUGUGAGCAUAACUGAUUCUAAACGGGUGGCCUUGAAUUAAUUAUGUCGGGGAUACAAUAUUUAAUUCCCAUGAAAUUAGAACCAAACUAUAAGAAAAAAUCAAAGAUGAAGAUUUGAAAUAAAUGUCCCAAAUUAGUCGUUCAAAGACUUGCAAGUCUUGACAAUUUGCAUAUAUUAUCUAUAUCUUAUCCGAUUUCAUGAUAUAUUCAAAGACUUUAAAGUGAUGUUUACCAUAACCUUUAUUAAAUACAAACAUAUAAGAAUGUAAACGCAAACAUUGAACUGACCACCAAAUUAACAACAACUAUUUAAUAAAUCUCGUAUUCCCAUUCCGUUGUUAAACAAUUUAUGUUUAUGCUAUCCUAAGAGUAUUUUUAUGAAAUCAAUUAGAAAAGUUUUAGCAGAAACAUAUAUCUAAUUUAUCAUAUCAAUUAAUUCAAAAUUUUCGAACAGAAACAUAAACCCAGUAUUCAACAGAAACGAAAAAAAAUUCAAACAAAAUCAAAAGAAACGUUAUUCAACAGAAAAAAUAGAGAACAGGGAUGAAGAGGAGAAAUGCGUUGAGUAUUAGUGACGGAAAACCAAGAAGAUGACAACGGUAGCUAGGCGGCGUCUUCGACGACAGUGGGGAGGUAAAAAAGCAAAAAAUUUAUGGAUAUUUUUUAGCAAUAUAUUAUAUUAUAUGGACUUGUUCGCGAAAACAUUAUUAUAUUUAUUUAUUGGUUAUGUAUAUAUCAACCUGAAAGAUAUUUUUAUAUUUUUAUCAUACAAUAACCAUUUAUAUUGCUAAAAAAUAUCCAUAAAUUUAUGUGAUUAUUUUUUUCCCACAUUAAUAAAAAAUAACCUCAUAAUUUAAGUUAUUAUUCCCUAAUUGCAGUACUUGACAUCAGAUCAGUGAUAAUUAAUGUUUUGCAAAAACGACAGUUUUGAACCCUAAUCCAAGUUUGAACCUUGAGUUUAUUAUGCUUGGAAAAUAUAAAAUCUAUUCAUAAUUACAAAAGAGUUUCUAAAAAUAAAAUAUUUAUAAAUUUCUAUUUGUAAUCACUAACCUCUCUAGUCUCUAAAGACUUUGAGUGUGUUCUUGGUGAACGUGUAUGUGAGGUGACGUUAAGCAAGAAUUGAAGAUAAAACAAAGAGUUUGUUUGUAAUCUCCAACAUAAGAAAACAAGGUAUUACAUCAAAGUUGAAUAUUAUGAGCAAACUCAAGAACCUUAAGUUUAAGGUUUGGACAAAUGAUGACUUUGUUCUUAAAUAAUCAUUCAUUGAUCAUGCAUCAGCCUAUCAUUAAGUGGGAUUGGUGGUUAAUUAAAGAACUAUCAUAGAUUUAAAAAUGAUACAAGUAUUUGAUGCAUAACAUGAAAAGUAUAAGUUGUAUAGUCUGGUAAUAUAGAAUUUCAAAUCAUGUUUAUGAGUAAUUAAAAUGUCAUUAGUAGAGACUGGGAAACUAAUCAUGUAUUAGUAUGAGUUUGAAGUUGGUUUUAGUAGUGAUGUAUAGCUUAUAUUGUUACCCUGCAUGAAAAGCAUGAUCGGGGAUUAUAAAGCAAAGGUUUCGUGCAUGAUCGGGGAUUAUAAAGCAAAGGUUUCGUACUACUGUAACACCUAGCUUUUUUUAUAAAAUACAUAACAAAUUACUAAAAUCGUCCUUAUGGUUUGAUUAAAAUUGCAUUUUUGGUUCUUAACUUUUUUUUUUUUUUUUUUUUUUUUUUUUUUGCAUUCGGACUGUUCUCAAAAUAUGAUUUUAUUGCGUUUUUCGUCUCUAUCCGGCCUGAAAAGACUAUACUUCCCUCUCUAAUUUAUUUUUUACUUGUUUCUAUUAUUAGUUUUAUAUUUUUUUAAUAAAAAAAUAGAAUGGGCCCACACUCAACUCUUCGUCUUCUCACAUGUUCAACCAUCUUUCACUUUACUACCAUUCACUACCAAUACUAUGCCAUUACUCACCCACUAAGACUCAUUAUCACCAUCUCCAGCGAGACUAGAAAUCCGACAAGACCAGAACGCCGACGAACAUCACACAUCAUCACCCACCACAUGUCACCCACCUCCACCAUCUCUCCCCGUAAAUCGGUAAAUCCUCAUCAAUAAAUCGGUAAACCACUCACCUCCACCAUUUAACCCCCUAAAUUCUUCGGCGAGUCCAUAACGACGACCAACACCACACUCACCCUUACUGUGCUUUUUCCAUAUCUUUCCUCCAUUGGACUACAGAUAAAGAUCUUAAAUAAAAAAUCAGAGAUCUACAACACAAGAUCUUGAACUCAAAUCAAAAUUGGAGAUCUGCAAUAUAAGGUCUGGAACUCAAAUCGAAGAUCUUCAUUGUACCUGUAUCAUAAAUCUCCCAACACCAUCAUCUUCUUAUUAAAAUUGGAGCCACCACCACCACUGUGUUACUGAAAUGGGUGAUUUUCUGAAAUAGAAGGCACCACCACCAUCGCCUUACGUAAACCAAGCCAGAACCAUCAACGCUUCUGAAAAUCAUCUUUCAUUUAUAAGAUAUCAUCAAAUUUUUUCUUUCAUCAUUGACUUGAGGUUGGGGUUUACGUUUUGGGUUUUGAUUUCUAUAUUUGGUUUUGAUUUCAUUUUAUGUUCUCAUUUAACAAUUUCGGGAGUUGACUUUGGUUAGAUUUUGAUUUCGGGAUUAGACGUUGGUCUAGUUUUGAUUUCUCGGAUUUGAUAUUGGGUUGUCACAUGAUGAAAUUGAUGAUGUGGGCGAUGGUGGUGUCAGAAUAGGUGUAUGGUGGUCGUGUCAGAAUCGUUGAGUGGUAGUUGUCAGCAACUGUGGUGGUUGUCGAUGAACGGUGAAUGAAGGUGGUUGUGGUGUAAGUAGGAGUAUGAGUGGGUCCCAAUAAAUCACUUAAUUGAUUUUCAUAAAUCAAUUAAUAAUAAACAAAUAAUAAAAAAAAAUAAAUAGAAAAUACAAAGGGCGAUAUAGUUUUUUUUAUCUCUACAAGGGACAAAAAACGCAAUAAAAUCAUAACUUAGGGACGGUCCGAGUGCCAAAAAAAUAAUACUUAGGGACCAACAAUAGUUUUUACCAACCAUAUGGACUAUUUUAGUAAUUUGUUCUAAAAUAAAAUAUUAUAGUUUUAAAACACUUUAUGGCAUUAAACCAUAUUUAUUAAAAUAUUGCCCCGAAAGUUUUCAUUACAAAACAAAUUGUAAUACUUUAAACCGGGUAUUACAACUGAUACAACCAAAGCCAUAGUAAAUAAAUAAUUAGACAUACUCAUAGAAACUAUGUCCAAUUUCUAUCCUUCAAAGCUCAUUUUAUCGGUGCAAACAAAAUCUUAUACAUUUCAUAUCGGACUUGGAAUACAUGGCAUUUAACAAAACAUAUGUAAGACAAUAAUGUCUCGUAAGUCAUAUGGGGUUAGACCCAAAAUAUUUACAAUAUAGGUAAAAAUUACCACUUUUCAUAUCUUGAAAACACUUUCAUAACUUGUAAACUUUUUUAUAGCCUGAAAAUACUUUUAUAACUUGUAAACUCUUUUAGAGCUUGAAAAUACUUUUAUAAGUUGUAAACUCUUUUAUAUCUUGAAAAUACUUUCAUAAAUUGUAAAAUCUUUUAUAGCUUGAAAAACAUUGAGACUAUACAAUGCAUGUCCUCACUCAAUGCAAACUUGUGGGACUUCACAAAUCUUUUAUCUUUUUUUAACUCAUGGAUAUGUGUUGAAUAUGGUGUCGAAAAGGACAUAAGUUGUGAGAAUAUGUCGAAUCUGGCUUAUCAUGAUAGAUGAAGAAAUCAAUCUACCAUGAUAUAUGAUUUGAAGUACGAGAGGUAUUAUCCGAGUAGUAUCUUGCUAAUCCCUUCCGUUAUGGCUCGCUUUCUAUUCAUUUUACUCAUUUACUAUGCAAUUUACUAUUAUGAUGCACGAUUACACUUUUCUUGCCAAGAGUUGAUCACACAUGAUGCUACGCUUUAAACUUAAUCAUAACAAUUUGGAUAGUAAUAACAUUUUCAUAUAAAACAUAUAAUCAUAUAAAACAUAUACCGGUAGGGGGGCAAGCUGAGACGUCGCCUAGGGCCCAACUUCCAAUCUGUUAGUAUCUAUAUAUAAAUUACAUUGUCAAAACCAUUAAACAAACAAGUUACAGGCUACUUGGUAAGGCGCUUCACAUCUUUAUAAUCAACCUUGGUUCAAUUUUAGCCUGGAACAUAAUUGAUUACUUUUUGCUAAAUUUAAUGUUUCUAAUAUUACAAUGAAUUUUAAAAUGAUAAUACAUAGAGCUUGUUCAACAAAACUAGCAGGUAGCGGGUAGCAUUUGCUUUUGGAGUGUUUUGUUGAAAGCUCCCAAACAAGGCUUUUUUUUUUUUACUCCAUGUAGCUUUUGAUUUUGGAGCGUUUUGUUUAGGAUAAAAGCUAAACGCUCCUGUCGCCAAACAAGGCUUUUUUUACUAGCGUUUUCCUAAAAGCUAGAAGCCAAAAGCUCCCAAACGGUGCAUGUCGAACACACCCAUAAUUUGUAGCCACCUUGGUAAGAACCUAUGAAAUAUGCACACAAAUNACUCAACAACCUCAACUAUUUAUUUGUGAUUCUAUAUAUAUAUAUAUAUAUAUAUAUAUAUAUAUAUAUAUAUAUAUAUAUAUUAAACUAACUUAAUUUAUACUUAUACAAACAUAUUUAAAACAAUAAUAAACAUUGUGUACAAGUUACAUUUUGUUGGAACUGAUUUAUACAUAAACCUAUUUUUAUAAAGAAAAGAAUAACUCAGAAAACAAAUUACAAUAUUUGAGUUUAAUUUAUUAAUUUGUUUUCUAUAAUAAAAAUAAUGUGUAGUUCAAUUAGUCAAAAAAGUUAAAUACCUUGCUCGUUAACAACAAUAUUAUACUUAACUUAGCUCAAAUUUAAAAGUGAGUUUUUGAUAUAUUCAGGGGCACUUUAUUUAGUUUUUCUCCCAGGCCCCAAAUAUGUAUGGACCAACUUUGGUCAAAACAUAAAUCAUAAAGCUUGUAAAAUACUUUUUUCCUUACAAUACAUUUUGAUAUGUGCAUAUUUUUAAUCAUGUAUAUCGUGCAUAUUUAUAAUAGUUUUAGCUACAAUUAUGCUUAUUUUGGGACAUAAGGUACUUAUUAUGUUUAAAAUAUGUUUUGUAGUAGCAAAAACAUGCUCGGGAUGAAAAGGAAAAAAAACGAGGAGCUAGAAGCAGGAAAAUUUGGGCUAAGUUAAAAAGAAGACAAAGAAUGCAUGAAUUCUGAAGCCCACGGCAUGGUCACUAUAUUCCAUGCCGUGGUAAAUGGAAGAAUCACGAUCAAUCAUCUGACUUGGAGAAUAUGAGAUUUAAGAGAAGACCACAAUGUGGUGCCUAUUCACCACGCUAGUGAUCAAGUUUAUGGAAACUAUAUAUAUUCAAACAUUAGAUCGAAUGUAGAAACUUCUGGCUGAUUUUCUGAGAGGGAUUGUGACUAAAACCCUCUUGAAAACCUUAGGAAAAUCAGGACUCAAUUGGAGCUCAAGAGUUGAAGAGAUCCAGAAGAAAUCAACAUAGAUCUAUUAAGUUUGCUAGCAUUACUCAUGUCUAAUCUUAAUUACAUUGAUUUAGUGUGCUUUUCUGUUGUGAUGAAAGGCUAAAAACCUUAUAAUUCUGUUUGGUGAAGAUGAACACAAAUCUUAUGUGUUGAUUUCAAUUUAUGGAUGUUUUACAUUGAUUUUACUUGUGUUUGAUAAUAAAAACCCUAACAUGUUUUAGUUCUAGUAUGUGAAUGCCUUGCUAUGAGUUUAGUGUAGAUGAACUCAAAUCUUAUGUGUUGAUUUCAAUUUACGGAUGUUUUACAUUGAUUUUACUUAUAUUUGAUAAUAAAAACCUUAACAUGUUUUAGUUCUAGUAUGUGAAUGCCUUGCUAUGAGUUUAGUGUAGUAGAUGAUCAUUCUAUUUGCAUGAACUUGUUUACCUAGUGAUUUAUGAUCAUUAAAUUGCUAUAGCUAGGAUUAAUCACAUCUUAGAUAAGGUAAUUAAAGCUAGUAACUUUAAUUGUGUUAGAGAGCAUAAUAUAUCUUAAAUUGUGCUUGCUUGCUUAACUUGAUCAUAGCAAAGUAACUAUUAGAUUUAUCAUUCAUAGUCCAAUUUGUGCUUAUAUCGAUUUUGUGUUUAACCUAUGCUUGAUCAUUACAUGGUAAUUCAUAAAUUGGUACAUCUAGGUAUUUGAUCAUAAUAACUAGUAAAUUAACGAAUUGGUAUAUCCAAAUAGCAUGUGUUUGCACCAUAAUCCAUUGACAAAACAUUGUGAAGUCUCAUCAGCUUAUGGUUUUUUAUGUUGAAUCAAUAACUACUUUUAUUAGAAGAAUCAGGAGAAGAAUGUUAUGAUACAUUUAAUACACUCUAGUGUUUUGGUGUACCCAUCGACAUAGAGUUUCCAAGCUCUCAUCAACAUUUGUUAUUAAAUGUAGAAUCAUAAAACUUUAAAAAAGAAAAUUGGCCAAGAAUGGAUUUAUGCAUGUGAUAGUCUACGGUACAUAGACUAACCAUUUGCACAUAUUUUCAAGAUCUCAUCAAUGUAUGGUACUUUACACUGAAUCAUUAAACUUUAAAGAAGAAAAUAGGGCGAUAAUGGAUUGGUGCGUGUGAUAGCCUACACUACAGUAGUGCAUAGACUAACCAUCGACACAAAAUUUUCAAGCUCUCAUCAGUGUAUGCUAUUUUACGCUGAACUAUGAAAAUUUUAAAGAAGAAAAUCAGGUCAAUAGUGGGUUGAUGUGUAUGAUAAACAACAAUACAUAGUUUAACCAUCAUCAUAGAAUUGUAAACUUUCAUCAGUAUGUGGUUUUCAUAGUGAGUUGUUAAGUUCUCGUAAGAAGAAGUUGAGAGAAAAGGAUGUUUCAGUCACACUGAAGUGAAAUCAACGUGAAUGAUAAAAUAGUUUAAACUCAUAAAAAAAAAGUGUUUUCAUCUUCCAUAUCAUAGAGUUAAGUUUCAGUCCAGAAUAUUCAAUUCACCAUCAAUUUGUUUAAUAUGGUACAAUACAAGAAUGAAAGAAGAUAAGAAAAAGAAAAACAACCAGGAUACUUUAAACAGAAAAUUUCAAGCUUUUGCAGAAUAAUCAUAAAAAUGAUGGCAGCAUUUUGCAAGAACAUCAUAAAAGUUUAUACGAAAAAUAUUUUGACUUGAAUACUUAUAAAAGAGUUUCCUUUUUCAAAGAUAUAUCUUAUUAGGAAUUAACUUUAAAAGAUAAGAAAUUAGCAUCUCAAACCAUAAAAAAAUACUACAAACAAGGGAAUAGACAAAAUUCUUAUCCAUUGAUGGGAUAAGAGAAUUGAUGAUACGGUCUUUGUAACCAUCGAGUUAAAAGUUUCUAAUAUGUGGGAGCUUCGAGAUGCCGAAAUCAACAGGGAGGUACUUGAGGUUUUAUUGAAGGUACUUGAGGUUUCAUUGGAUUAUGAGCCAAUAGAUGCACGUAAGAGUAAAUGUAAUAUCAGUGACUGCUUGUAACCAUGACAUAGGAUGGAGGGGUAGGAGAGCAUCGUCAAGAAGAAGAGGACAUGAUUCCAUCUUUCACUUCAUAUCCUCAUUCGCAUAAGAUGAAGGUGGCUGAGGUGACAUCAAGGGCAAUCAGGAAAUUCACCAAGCCUCUAGCUCUUUUAAUAUGGAGUCAAGUGACAAUUCUGAGUGUAAACAUCACCAUUCAUUACUUACGAAUUGAUAGUUGCAUCUGUUUCAAGAGUAAGAAGAUGAUUCAAUCUUGCAACUUCGGGGAUGUAAGAAUGAUAAGUGAUGCACAAGAAUGAAGAUACAUGAGAAAGAAAUUAGAGAGGCAAAGAGAUGAAAGCAAUGUAAUUACUAGAUAUAUAUAGAAAAGGAAGCAAGCAAUGUCAAGAAUUUUUCUAAAAAGAAAGAAAAAGAAUAAAAGCAUUUUGACUUUAUGUUUUUGUGUUUUAAUAAAAGCAUUAAGAAAAUAAGCAAAGAGAAAUUAAGUCAUUAACAACAUGCCAAGAUCAACAACCAAUUUGUUUAAAGUCUUCUCAUCUUGGGCCUUAGUGAAAAUAUUCUCCAAUUAAUCAACGGUAGGGAUGUAUAACAAGUCUACUUUGCCUUUUUGAACAAUUUCCCUGAUAAAAUGAUGGUGGAUAUCAAUGUGCUCUGUCUUUGAAUGUUGUAAUGAAUUUUGAAUCAUUUGGAUGGUACUUGUGUUAUCAAAGCAUAUGAGAGUCUUUGAGAAAGAAAAAACAUAGUCUAGGAGCUGAUUCUGAAUCUAAAGAAUCUGAGUAUAACAUCUUCAAGUGGCUAUGAUUUAGCUUUAGCGGUAGAGCAUGCCACUAAUGUAUGUUUCUUGCUGGACCAGCUCACAAGCCUAUUUCCUAGCAUUUGAGCUCCUCCAUGAUCACAGUCUAUAAAUCCCACUAGUUUGAACUUGGAGUCAUGAGGAUACCAUAACCCAAGAUUAGGUGUAUGUUUUAAGUAGUGAAAGAUCCUUUUUACAGCCAAGAGAUGGGACUCAUUUAGGGUAGCUUGAUAUCGAGCACACAAUAUCGUAGUAAACAUAGAAAUUAUCACUCCAUGAUACAAUGUUGCAUUCACAUGAGUGCCAACUUGAUCAUCAAAAAUAGACGUUGAUGGAGACAUUGGAGUUUUUGCCGGUUUAGAGUUAAUAAAACCAUAUCUCUUCAGCAAAUCUGAGAUGUAUUUUUCUUGGAAAAUUUAAGAUUCCAUCAGUGAGUUGCUUAACAUAAAAAGAAUGUUAGUUCACCCAUCAUGCUCAUUUCAAAAAUUUUGGCAAUACCAUUAGCAAACUCAGAACUCAGUUUCUCAUCUGUGGAUCCAAAAAUGAUGUUGUCGACAUACACUUGAGCAAGAAUAAUGUAAGAUCUAGUUGCUUGACGAACAAAGUGUUGCCGAUUGGUCCAUGUUUGAAUCCAUUCUCUAGAUGAUAACUAGCUAAAGUGUUAUACCAUGUCCUGGGAGCUUGUUUCAAGCCAUAGACGACUUUAUCUAGAAGAUACACAUGAUCAGGGAAUUCUUCACUUUCAAAUCCUAGAGGUUGUUUUAGAAAAACUUCGUCUUGAAUAUCCCCAUUGUAACAACCCAAAAUCCAGGUAAGCUUAUGACCACUUUUAUUUUGGAGAGUUGGCAUAUUAGUCCCUCAAAGUUGUAUGGUGGAUUAGUGAGUACGUUGGGCGUACUGAAGUGUACGCCGCGCGUACUCACACGCUUAAAUUGGACGCGGACUCGCCCGGGUACGCUGGGCGUACCCAGGGGUUACGCUGGGCGUAGCGAACCAAGAAGCAAACCCUAAUUCCUGGCUUUUGCACUAUAAAAGGAACAUGUAGUCCCUUGCCCUAGCCACCAUAUCUCCUUGAGUAAGUCCUUUGAGAGCUGAGAUUCGUGCUUUAGCUUGUGUGUGUGUUUUUGAGCUUGAAUUUAUCUUUUCAAGGUGAAAAAGGAGAAGAAGGAGCCAUUGUUGGAGCUAGAAGUUGAAGAACAAGUGUAGAUCUGAGUUCUACAGUGGUUGGAGAUCUUUUCUGAUGUAAAAAGCUCAAAGCUUUCCUUGUUCUUCAUAAGUUUUGCUUUUUGGACCACUUUUUGGGUUUUUGGUUCAAAGUUGGAGACUUUAUGUGCAAAGAGUCUCCAUAAGCUUAGAUCUGACCUUUUCUAGUGUAUAAUGUGUUGAGGAGUCAUAAAAAUCUAGUCUUGGAUGUGGAUCUUGUGUCAUGCAUGAGUUAUAGUCUCAUUAUGGAAAGAGGAAAGGUGUUUUGAGCACAAAGUGACCUUUACAACCAUGCAAAGGCUUAAAGGUUUCAACUUUAUGGAUUAAGUCACAUUAGAGGAGUUAGAUCUGAAGUUUGGAUGCAAGUCUUAACUAAUUAAGACCUGAAUGAGAUGGAUAAGGAAACUGGGCAUUACGCUUGGCGUAAUCCCAGUACGCAGCGUAAGCAGCUGCGCACCCCGUUUCUGUGAAGGCUCCGGGUGCUCCCAGCGUACACAUUUGGUACGCGCAGCGUAACCCGGGGGGUUGAAUUUUGUUGACUUUUAGGUUUUGGUCAAUUUUAGUGUAAUUGAGCCAAGUAAGGGGUAAAAUGGUCUUUUACCUUCCUGGGAGUGAUUAGAGGGAAUGGUCUAGCCUAGGGAAAUGUAUUGAUGUUGAGUGUUGUUUCAUAUGAUUAGGCGGAGGUUAGAUCUUAUCCCACGGAGUCCAAGAUUUCUGAGAUUUACGAGUUACCAAGCUACACCAGGUGAGUCUUCUCACUAUACGUUACCUAGAGUGGUAUUUAUGUGGACCGGAGGGUCUUAUGUGUUAUGUAUGAGAUUAUAUGAAUCUAUAUGCUAUGUGAUAUUUUCAUGUUAUGUGAUUGUAUAGACCGGACAGGAAGAUCCAAUGAUACAGACGGGACCAGAGGGUCUAACGAUUCAGACCGGGCCAGAGGGCCCAACGAGCUACGGGACUGGAGGGUCCCGCUGAGACACAUCAACCGGAGGGUCGUAUUGUAGCCUCAAGUGGCGUAUGUGUUGUAUGUGGUAUUUUGGGGAACUCACUAAGCAAUUAUGCUUACAGUUGUUGUGUUAUGUGUUUCAGGUACUAGCGAGGACCGUGGGAAGGCACCGAUGUGACUCGUACACACUAGAGUAGGGAUUUGUUUUUGUGAUCUUGGGAUAUGUUAUGUUUUGAUAACUAUGGUUGAAUACUUUUGAGAAUAUUUUGUAUAAAUUUGGUUGUUGAAAAAUGAAAAAUUGUUUUGAAAUUCACGUUGUUACAAGUUGGUAUCAGAGCCUUGGUUUGAGGGACUCGGAUGCACCUUUGGGCGUAUCUGAACUCAAACUGAGGAUUUGAGAAAUUUUCAACAAUAAAAACUAAAUUUUCUAAAAAAGAAAACAGUUUUGAAACAAACAGAGCAUAGCAGUGUGUACGGUCAACCAGCGCCCGAACGGUGAAUCCUCAAAAUACCCUUACAUUAUGUGUUAUGAGAUAUGCUAUGUUAUGUUAUGCAUGCUAGAGUAGGCUAGGUAAUCAUAUUAGGACUAGAGUGGCCUGAUUUGUGAUGCCUUAGCCUAGGAGAUUUCUGCUACUAUAAGAUGCCUUGAGAGCGAGUAGGUAGCAGUUCGGAGCUCUUGAGAGGUCUAUCGGAGGGUAGCCAAUGCAUAGUGAGAGUAGAGUACUUGCAAUCCGGGAUCCAAGGAGGAGGACUUGGGGUAAAUGCUGAUACGGUGUGGUCAGUAGUAUAGGGCUUGUACUACUGAAGACACCAGAUCAAUAAGCAGCCCAAGUAAGAAUCCUUUGGGUAUUGGAGGACGAGUAGGGUUGCGUUAUCGAGUGCGAGUAUGCUCGAUCGAAUCUCUAAUAUUUUAUGUUGUAUUUCAGAGGCAUCAUGGUUGGGACACGACACACACCUGAGAGCAGUUGGGUUAGUGACGAGGAGAUCCGUCGUUUGAUUCAUGAGGAGGUGGUUGUUGCCAUCCGGGCUGAGAUUCCGGAGAUGUUCGGGGACAUCAAGACCACACUGAUUGAGACCUUUGAUGAGCGGUAUGCAGCGGUGACUGAGGCUGCAGCUACUGCAGCUACUGCUGUUGUGGCUGCUGCCAGACCUCAGGGAGGUGACUCAUUGUUGUUUCGGGAGUUCAGCAACACGAAGCCACCAGAGUUCGAUGGGACGCAAGACCCGAUUGUUGCGAUGAGAUGGAUCUCUGACAUCGAGGGAUGUUUCUAUACGUGUUCUUUUCCAGAACACUUGAGGGUGCGGUUCGCUCUGAACCAGCUCCGCUUCGGAGCGAUGGAUUGGUGGAAGUUCAUGAUGGCGAGCUUCACUCUGGCAGAGAUUUCUGAGGUGACUUGGGAGAGGUUCACCGCCAUUUUUAGAGAUGAGUAUGUUCCCCCGGUGGAGAGGGAACGAUUGAUUCAGGAGUUCUUGACCCUCAAGCAGGGUACUGAUUCUGUUACAGUCAUUACCAGGAAGUUUCACAAGAGAGCGAUGUUUUGCCCUGAGCAGGUGUCUACUAAGCAGGCUCGCAUGAGCCGGUAUCUGAGUGUUCUGAGGAGAGAUAUUCGGGAGUUCGUGGCGAACUCGACUUACCGGACAUUUGCUGAGCUCCAGGCAAAUGCCCGAAAGAGGGAGAUUGAGUUGGAGACUCAGGCCAGGGAGGAGGCCGAGUCCCAAAGGAUGGAUCGGCGGUAGGCUCAGUCUCAGCCGACAGCCAAGUGGGCUAAGCCCGCUGAUUCGAGAUCUGGGGGCGCGAAGGGCCGCACUUGUGGGAAGUGCGGCAAGAGUCACAAGGGGUCGUGUCGGGCAGGAGUAUGCUACAAGUGCGGGAAGGAGGGGCAUAUCGCGAGGGAUUGCCCCAAGGGAUUUUUGGUUUGCUUCCGUUGCAACCAGACCGGCCAUCGGAAGGCCGAGUGCCCUCAGCUUUAGCAGGGAUCUAUGCCUGCGACCAGGACUACCGAGGUUUGGCCAGUGAAGGCCGAGGCGCCAAAGGCUCGUGGGAGGGCCUUUCAGUUGACAACGGAGAAGGUCCGUGCAGCACCCGACGUUGUGGCCGGUAUGUAUUCUUCUCUCUAUUUAUUUAAGUCUGAGAUAUUAUUCUUAUAUUAUGUUAUGCGUAGGUACUUUUCUUGUGAAUUCUGUACCUGCCUUAGUGCUAUUUGACUCGGGAGUGAGCCGAUCUUUUGUGUCAUUAGCCUUCAAUCACCAUAUUAGUAUUUGUCGAGAGGCCUUGAGUCGACCUCUGCGAGUUUCUAUAGCUAAUGAGCGAGCAGUUUAUGCCACAGAUGCGAUUCGAGGAUGUAUCAUUGAGAUCUUCGAUGUGGAGUUCCCGAUAGAUCUGGUCCCGAUUGCGAUGGGGGAUGUGUGUGUUAUAGUGGGCAUGGAUUGGUUGAGCCGUUUUGGAGUUGUGAUAGACUGUGAGCGUCAGUUGGUGACGAUAAGAGACCCUAGUGGGGGAGUACUUACGGUGUACGGAGAGAGUACCCGUCCUGAGUCAGCAUUUUGUUCAGCUGCUAGGGCGAGACAGAGUUUACAGCAGGGCUGUAUAGGAUUUGUGGCCUAUGUGAUGGACACGCGAGUGGCCACUGGGAGGCCAAGUUCGAUUGAUGAGGUCCCAACUGCGUGGGAUUCCCUGACGUUUUCCCCGAGGAGUUGUCGGGCGUGCCUCCCGAGAGGCAGGUGGAGUUUCGUAUCGACUUGGUGCCAGGGGCGACACCUAUUACCAAGGCACCCUAUCGCCUUGCGCCAUCCGAGAUGCAGGAGUUAUCCUCGCAGCUUCAGGAGCUGUUGGGAAAAGGGGUUUAUUAGACCGAGUAGCUCACCUUGGGGAGCGCCAAUCCUUUUUGUCAUGAAGAAGGACGGUUCACACCGGAUGUGUAUCAAUUACCGGGAGUUGAACAAGUUGACGGUCAAGAACCGUUAUCCAUUACCGAGGAUUGACUAUCUGUUUGAUCAGUUGCAGGGGGCGUCUUGGUUCUCCAAGAUAGACUUGAGGUCGAGAUAUCACCAGAUGAGGGUGCGGGAUGAGGACAUCCAGAAGACAGCGGUCAGAACUCGUUACGGACAUUACGAGUUCGUGGUGAUGCCAUUCGGGCUCACCAGUGCACCAGCAGCGUUCAUAGAUCUCAUGAACCGGUUGUGCAGGUCGAUGUUGGAUCGAUCGGUGAUUGUAUUCAUCGAUGAUAUCUUGGUAUAUUCGAAAUCCAGAGAGCAGCAUGAGGAGCAUUUGAGGGAAAUCCUCGGAGUUCUGAGAUCGAAGAGGCUUUACGCCAAAUUCUCCAAGUGUGAUUUUUGGUUACGGGAGGUCUAGUUCCUAGGGCAUCUCGUUAACCAGCAGGGGAUAUUGGUCGAUCCGGCCAAGAUUGAGGCUGUGAUGAGCUGGGAGGUGCCGAGGUCACCUACUGAGAUCAGGAGUUUCUUAGGGCUAGCAGGUUAUUAUCGGAGAUUUAUCAGGGAUUUCUCCAAGAUCACCGUGCCACUCACCAAGUUGACCCGGAAGGGUGUUACUUUUUCUUGGGGUCUGGAGCAGCAGACCUCAUUCGAGACACUUCGCCAGUGAUUAUGCGAAGCCCUGGUGUUGGCCCUUCCGGAGGGAAUGGAGGAUUUCGUGGUGUAUUGUGAUGCAUCAAUAUCAGGGUUGCGAGCAGUGCUUAUGCAGAGGUGGCAUGUGAUAGUAUAUGCAUCGAGACAGCUAAAGCCUCAUGAGUCGAGGUAUCCCACUCACGAUCUGGAAUUAGGGGCAGUAGUGUUCGCCCUCAAAAUAUGGCGGCACUAAUUUUAUGGGAUUCAGUGUACGAUAUUCAUGGACCACAAAAGCUUGAAGUAUUUAAUGGAUCAGCCCAAUCUGAACAUGCGCCAGAGGAGAUGGAUGGAUGUGGUGAAGGAUUACGACUGUGAGAUCCUGUACCACCCAGGCAAGGCUAAUGUUGUAGCUGAUGCCCUGAGCCGAAGGGCGGAGGGCGCCUCGAUAAGAGAUGUUUGCAUGAGAUUGAAAGUGAUGACUCUGGUAUGGGACACCAUUCGAGGGGCCCAGGCAGAGGCGGUGAGACCGGAGAACCGCAAGAGAGAGCGAGUGACUAGGUAGGUAUCAUAGUUUGUUACCGAUAGUCGAGGACUUAUGACCUUCCAGGGUCGGGUUUGGGUAUCGUUUGUGGGCGGAACGCAUACCGUCUUGAUGGAGGAGGUGCAUAGAUCGAAGUUCUCGAUCCACCCCGGGCCACUAAGAUGUAUUUGGACAUGAAGAAGGAGUAUUGGUGGUCCUGUAUGAAAAAGGGAUGUUGCAUGGUUCGUAUAGAGGUGCUUGACCUGUCGCAAGGUUAAGACCGAACACCAGCGCCCGCAUAGUAAGUUACAGCCGUUAGAGAUUCCCGAGUGGAAGUGGGAACAGAUUACCAUGGAUUUUAUCACCAAAUUGCCGAGGACUGCUAGGGGUGUUGAUGCAAUUUGGGUGAUUGUGGACAGGUUGACGAAGAGCGCUCAUUUCCUUGCCAUCAGUGAGAGCUCUUCUGCGGAGAGGCUGGCAGAAAUGUACAUGAAGGAGGUGGUAUCGCGGCAUGGAGUACCGAUCUCGAUUGUCUCAGAUCAAGAUGUGCGUUUCACUUCCAGAUUUUGGAAGAAAUUUCAUGAGGAAUUGGGUACGAGACUACAUUUUAGUACCGCGAACCACCCACAGACCGACGGGCAGAGCGAGCGGACGAUUCAGACGCUCGAGGACAUGCUUCGGGCAUGUGUAUUGGAUUUUGACGGGAGUUGGGAUACAUAUUUUCCCUUGGCUGAGUUUUCCUAUAACAACAUCCAUCACUCGAGCAUUGGUAUGCCACCUUUUGAGCUGUUGUAUGGAAGGAGGUGUCGUACCCCCAUUUGCUGGGGCGAGGUAGGGCAGCGUGUGAUGGGUAGUACAAAGAUAGUGCUUCAGACGACAGAUCAGAUACAACAGGUUAGACAGAGGUUGUUGACCACUCAGAGUCGCCAGAAAAGUUAUGCAGAUAGACGACAAUCUGAACUCGAGUUCCAGGUCGGUGAUUUCGUGCUCCUGAAGGUAUCUCCUUGGAAAGGAGUGAUCCGAUUCAGGAAGAGGGGCAAGCUGGUACCCGGUAUAUUGGGUCAUUUAGAGUGAUCGCGAGGGUGGUCAAGGUAGCGUAUCACUUGGAGCUACCUGCAGAGUUGGACCGGAUUCAUGAUACCUUCCACGUGUCGCAGCUGAGGAAGUGUAUUGCCGAUGAGUCGGCAGUGGUACCCUUAGAGGAUAUCCAGGUGGACGCAAGUCUAAAUUAUGCUGAGAAGCCGAUCGCAAUCUUGGAUCGGAGGAUCAAGGUUCUGAGGAACAAGGAAGUGCCCCUGGUUCAGGUCCAGUGGCAACAUCGGAGAGGAUCCGAGCUGACCUGGGAGCCAUUGUUGGGGAUGCGGGAGCAGCAUCCGGAGUUGUUCGCAACAUGAGACUUCGAGGGCGAAGUCUGGUUCUAGUGAGGGAGAAUUGUAACAGCCCGAAAUCCAGGUAAGCUUAAGACCCCUUUUAUUUUGGAGAGUUGGCAUAUUAGUCCCUCAAAGUUGUAUGGUGGAUUAGUGAUUACGCUGGGCGUACUGCAGUGUACGUCGCACGUACUCACGCGCUUAAAGUGGACACAGACUCGCCCGGGUACGCUGCGCGUACCCAGGGGUUACGCUGGGCGUAGCGAGCCCAGAUGCAAACCUUAAUUCCUGGCUUUUGCACUAUAAAAGGAACAUGUAGUCCCUUGCCCUAGCCACCAUAUCUCCUUGAGUAAGUCCUUUGAGAGCUGAGAUUCGUGCUUUAGCUUGUGUGUGUGUUUUUGAGCUUGAAUUUAUCUUUUCAAGGUGAAAAAGGAGAAGAAGGAGCCAUUGUUGGAGCUAGAAGUUGAAGAACAAGUGUAGAUCUGAGUUCUACAGUGGUUGGAGAUCUUUUCUGAUGUAAAAAGCUCAAAGCUUUCCUUGUUCUUCAUAAGUUUUGCUUUUUGGACCACUUUUUGGGUUUUUGGUUCAAAGUUGGAGACUUUAUGUGCAAAGAGUCUCCAUAAGCUUAGAUCUGACCUUUUCUAGUGUAUAAUGUGUUGAGGAGUCAUAAACAUCUAGUCUUGGAUGUGGAUCUUGUGUCAUGCAUGAGUUAUAGUCUCAUUAUGGAAAGAGGAAAGGUGUUUUGAGCACAAAGUGACCUUUACAACCAUGCAAAGGCUUAAAGGUUUCAACUUUAUGGAUUAAGUCACAUUAGAGGAGUUAGAUCUGAAGUUUGGAUGCAAGUCUUAACUAAUUAAGACCUGAAUGAGAUGGAUAAGGAAACUGGGCAUUACGCUUGGCGUAAUCCCAGUACGCGCGGCGUAAGCAGCUGCGCACCCCAUUUCUGUGAAGGCUCCGGGUACGCCCAGCGUAACCCGGGGGGUUGACUUUUAGGGUUUGGUCAAUUUUAGUGUAAUUGAGCCUCGAGUGGCGUAUGUGUUGUAUGUGGUAUUUUGGGGAACUCACUAAGCAAUUAUGCUUACAGUUGUUGUGUUAUGUGUUUCAGGUACUAGCGAGGACCGUGGGAAGGCGUCGGCGUGACUCGUACACACUAGAGGAGGGAUUUGUUUUUGUGAUCUUGGGAUAUGUUAUAUUUUGAUAACUAUGGUUGAAUACUUUUGAGAAUAUAUUUAUAUAAAUUUGGUUGUUGAAAAAUGAAAAUUUGUUUUGAAAAUCACGUUGUUACACCCAUGUAAGAAAGCAAUUUUUACAUCCAUCUAAUAGACCUUGAAGUUCUUGAUUGAAGCAAAAGCACGAAACACUCUAAUUUCCUUAAGUUGAGCAAUGGGAGCAAAGGUUUCAUCAUAGUCCAAACCUUCUAGCUGACAAAAUCUCCGUGCCACCAGUCUAGCCUUGUUUCUUACAACAAUCUCAUAUUUAUCCAUCUUGCUUCUGAAAACUGAACAAGUACUAAUGAUAGUUUUUUGUUAAGGCUCAGGGACAAAUGUCCGUACGUGAUGACGUUCAAACUCAUUCACUUCGUCUUAUAUGGACUUUCAUCAGAAUUUUGUUCACCCUUUAAUCCAUUAGGUUUUCCAGCCCAAAAACCAACUAUCACCCAUUUGACAGUUUAAGCCCCUAUAUUUAAUUAAUCUCUUUUGGCCACCAAAUUAAUUCCUAAUUAAUUUAUGACUAAUAUUAAUUUAAUAAUAUGAUUUUCCUUUUAAUAUAUUAAUCACACAAUAUAUUAAUAAAUCAUAAUUUCCUCUCUCUCUCUCUCUCUAUAAAUUACCUUGUAAAGUUGGUUUGGUGAAGGCAACCCAAAAGGACCAUACACAACCGGGUCAAGUUUAUACCAAAUAUAGUUUCGGGAUUAGACACUAAUCCAACAGUCUCCCACUUGGAUAAGUCUGAUAACUAUAUCUCACAUAUGACUUCAGGAUCCGAUUAGCAAUCGUAGCUCUUAUACGCUGUUGUCACCUCUGAUCAAAAUCCUAUCCUUUAGAUAACGGAUCGUAUAAUCCUCUGUUCUAGAUAUCAUGCUGACAAUCACAUGGAACUUAGUCAUACUUAUUAUUCAGCACAUUGUUCCUCGAUCUCCGAUUUGUUUGACAUGGAACUUAGUUGAACACAUCAACUUUUUCCUGACCGGGCCCAGCACAUAAGUCAAACCAAAUCAUCAAGUGGCCAGAUAUCGCUUUCAUCCUCUUGGAAUAAAAGGAAAAGAUAAACUUCGACUCAUAUGCUUUUAUUAUUCACUGGCUAACUCAUACACAACAAUACGUUCUAUAACAUCAAGUUACUGAUGCGUUUACCCAUUAUCAAUGCACAACCAACCAACAAAUAAUAACCAUAUCUCUAGGUUUAAACGUUAUAUGAUAUUAUCGUCUUGCGAUCAUUCGUGAUAAAUUCCAUGAAGUGAUACCAGCAAGCGCGGGUUUAUUCGAAUUCUCAAAUCAUAAUUCAUAAGCACUCAUGAGCUUUGCAGCAAACCUUUGCCAUGCCUAAAACCUUUUAGACAAUCUUCAAACAAAUUCAUGACAGUCUUCUUUCAUAUCUACUUCCAACAUAUGAGCGAUUGUGGACUGUUUGAAUAAUCUUAUUAUUCAGGAAGUCAAAACAUGCAAAAUUGAAACAAUAGAUAAAUAAUCAACACAAGAUAGUAGCUUUACUCAUAAACAAUACACCUUUAUUUAUUCAUCAAAUGUCAAGUACAAAUUAUCUAUUACACAUUUCCUAUUUAUCUAAUUUAAACUUAUAUCGUCCUUCAGCCCUAUGCUCCUCGCAUGCCGCAAGUGCUUAACCCUACUUAGUCCCUUUGUAAGGGGAUCUGCUGGGUUAUCUUCUGACGAUACCCUCUUCACCACGAGGGGUCCAGCUUCUACCCGAUGUCUAAUGAAGUGAUAUUUUCUGUCAAUAUGUCUGGAUCUGCCGUGAUCCCUUGGUUCCUUGGUCAAGGAAACCGCACCUUCAUUAUCACAGAAAAUCUCCAUAGGCUCCUUUAUGGAUGAAAAAACUCCAAGGUCUCCAAUGAAGUUAUUCAACCAUAUUGCCUCCUUUGAUGCUUCACUUGCCGCAAUGUAUUCUGAUUCACACAUUGAAUAAGCUAUCGUCUCUUUCUUGGAACUUUUCCAACUCACUGCCCCUCCGUUAAGGGUAAAGACCCAGCCAGACUGCGAGCGGUAAUUAUCCCGAUCCGUCUGAAAACUAGCGUCACUGUACCCUCGUACCCUUAAGUCAUCACUCCCACCGAGGACUAGAAACCAUUCCUUGGUCCUCCGAAGGUACUUAUGAAUAUUCUUAACUGCAGUCCAAAGAGCUCUACCGGGGUUUCCCUGAUAUCUGCUUACCAUGGUUAAAGCGAAGGCCACAUCAGGGCGAGUACAAGUCACAGCGUACAUGAUUGAGCCAACUGCGGAAGCGUAAGGUACUUGGCUUAUCUCUACUAUCUCUGCCUCUGUACUUGGUCUCUGAGUCUUAGCUUGGUAUUGCUUUGGAUUGGCAAUUCCCCUUUCUUGGAAUUUUCCUUCCUAAAACGUUUUAGUACCUUAUCCAAGUAUGUAUCCUGACUGAGUCCUAUCAGUCUCUUAUUCCUGUUUCUUACUAUCCUUAUUCCCACAAUAUACACAGCUUCUCCGAGGUCCUUCAUAGCGAAGCACUUCCCAUGCUAGGACUUGACUUCCUGCAAGGGUGGGAUGUUGUUUCCUAUGAGUAGUAUGUCAUCGACAUACAAUACGAGGAAGCUCACUAUACUCCCACUGGCUUUGACAUAUACACAUGACUCAUCUUCGCUUCACAGAAAACCAAAAUCUUUGACCUUCUCGUCGAAACAAAGAUUCCAUCUGCGAGACGCUUGCUUCAAUCCAUAGAUGGAUUUCUCAAGCUUGCACACUCUAUUGGGGUGCUUCGCAUCGACAAAAUCCUCUGGCUGUUUCAUGUAAACAUCCUCAGCUAACUUCCCAUUAAGGAAAUUAGUUUUAACGUCCAUCUGCGAUAUUUCAUAGUCAUGAAAUGCAGCUAUUGCGAGCAUCACCCUAAUUGUCACAACUAGCAUUUUUAGCUAGGAAAUUCUAUUCUCAUAUUAACAUCAUCCAUUGUAAGAGCAUGUACUCUAAGUGAAUACCAUACUCUAUCCUCAUUCAAAAUACACCUCAUAUGUUCAACUAAGGAUUGGAAACCUUAGUAAUCCCGGUCCAAGUUCCUUAUGAACUAAAAUUCUCCUAUUGGGCCUAGAAGCCCUAAGUGGGCUCUAUAUAGACCACAUUCAUAAAAAUUUAGCAAUUUGGGCCAUGUGGGCCUAAAAUAAUCCAUCUUACCUCUAAUGAGCCUUGUUGGGCCAUAAAAGAUUUCGUUUGUCCCAAUGGGGCCGAAAAUUUACCUUUGGGCUUCAUAAAUUCGAGUAUGGGCCCCAAGAUGAUUCCUUUCCUUUCUCCUUAGCCCAAAUCAGCCCAUGUUUUUUAAAAAAAAAAAAGAGAAAAGAAUGGAUAAAUGAAGACUAGACAUGCAUGUGACAACUCAUGUUUAACCACCAUGUAUCUAUGGUAGCAUCUCAUGUUUCAAGGCAAACUAUUACCUCACAAAUAACAAGGUUAUGAUCUCUCUCUCCUCUCUCUCCAUAUUCUCGGCCAACCCUCUCACCACCUUCAUUUUUCAUUCAAAAACUCUCUUAAACACUCUCAAAUACCUCUUCCAUCCUCCAUCAAAAAUCUCGAGUUGGUGUGUGCUUUCAAGAGGAUUCUCCACCAAAAAUCACCAUCCUAGGUAAGUUUUUACUUAUAUCCAUGGUUUAGCUUCUUGAUUUCUUCAAAAAUCUCCUCUUAACCCUCUCCAUUUCGUGAAUCAUACAUCCUAGAGCCAUCUAAGUUGUAAAGCUCCUCAAGAAGCUUGCUAGGGCCGAAAUCUUCUCUCAAAUCUUCAUCAAAAUCAAAUCCAAAUCUCAAGGUGAGCUUCAUACCCCCUAUUUUCUGUUUUUAUGAGUUUUGUGGUGGGGGGGGGGGAAUACGAGUGAAAGUGUAGAUCUAUAUGUGUUUUGUAUGCCUUGUAUGAUUUCCAUGCUUAUAUGUAUGCUUUUGUGUGUUAUAAUGUUGGAUCUAGCCAUAAAACCCCUCAAAACCGAGAUAUAUCUUAUGUUAAAUGAUUUUAGCAUCAAAUAUAUUUCUACAUACAAAGUGUUUCAAGAAAAAUAGCUAAGUGGUUUAGUAACAAUUUUCUUUGGGCUAAAAACACAAAUUUUGGGCCUAAAAUGUGAAAAAUACAAAAUUAAGGGCCCAAAUUGACAUAUCACGAAUUCUGAUGGAUGAAGUGUGUCAAAACAGUUUCAAUAAAACAAUUUCUGGAAAUAUACUCAUUUAGAGGAUUAAAAACAUAAAUUUCAAGCUUAAUGGGCUAAAAAUGACAAUUUCGGCCCAAUGAGGCCCAUUAUGCGAAUUUUUCUGUUUUGGAGGGCCAAAACUGUGAUUUUCUGUAAAACAGUGGACCAUAAGUGAUCCAAGUCCUUUUCAAAGGUUUAAAAUGCUUUUUAAAUUUAAAAAGGACCAAAGUUGCAAAAAUUUUACAAUUUGGGCCAAAAUUGUCAAAAUUGCGAAAAGAAGGGUUAUAACCGAGAAAACUGAAAUUUCAGGGACUUAAGCUGUUUUCUAUGAAAAAUAUGCUGGAAAAUAUUUAUUUCAAUAAUUUUUGGUGUUAAAAUGUCAAGAAAAUUGAUUUAAGGACCAAACCGGAAAGUAUUUAAAUAAAGGGUUGAAAAAGUAAAUUUUACAAACAAGGAGGGGCUGAAAACAGAAAAUUUUCAAGACUAAUUCAAUACAUGCAAUUUGACCAAAUAAUGGUACCACGACUAUCGACAAAAUACAAUACAUUACAACACCAAAAGUCGUUGUUAAACGAAUUGGUUCGGUCUCGAACCAAUAAAAAUCCGAAACUACUAACACGACGACACUAUGAUACUACAACACUACGAUUCAUACAAAUAACGAUUUGGAAUUCAUUAUACAUGCGAAUGUGCACAGACGUCUACGCACUAUCUUUGGGCCCCACAAGUGUAAAAUCUUGUUCGUUGAGCCUAGCUAGCCCAACGACCUGAUCUUAAGGCCCGAAGACUUCAAUCUUACGAAGUGUUGGGUUUUACCGAUCCGACACGACGUAACCGGACUUUCAAUGGCUUGUAGACUACUGGUCCCCAAGGGUCCUUUAGUGUCGCUAGUAGAGUCUGCCUUUUAUGCGAGGCGGGUCUGGGACCCCUCGUACCUUUUUAUCCCCAACCGGCUAAUGGAGUCAUCGAGGCCUUCGUGUCCUCUUUCUCUUCGGAUGUGGGACUACACGUAGUCAGGGCGGUUGGAUAACGUGAUUAGUACGGACGACGCCUACGGGAUCGUUAGUAUUGCUAUAGACUAGUCGUUUGUGUAACGCGUGUUUGUAGCAGAUAAUCAUGCUCAAAAAUAAUCCAAUGUCGCCUGGUAAUGAUAACUUCAUGCGUUGCAAUGGUUUCAAUGUAAAUUCAUGGAAUUCAAAGAAUUAGGAAAACAUCGGGUUUUCCUAGGGUUUUCAAUACAUACAGAUUCGAAAUACCUACAAUUUCAAUAAACAAUUUUUACAAGUAUAGAAAACAAACAAGCAUACCUAUGGAUCUUCACACCUUUUUGACUAUACUAUUUUCAGAAAAUAUCGGAUUUUCUGGUGGUUUUCAAACGAUACGAAACAUUGUUUUCAAAUACAACUUAUGAACUCACCAACAUUUCAUAUGUUGACGUUUUUCAAAAUGCUUGUAUUCUCAGGGAACCAGUGAAUCAAAGGAAAUCAUAUUCAGUGAUGGCUUGCAGUUUAUUUUUUUACCAAUCGAACAAUUUAUUUUGGGGAAUGUAAUGUUUAAACAAUGUACUUCAUGUAAACUUUACUGGUUGUACUAUAUUAAUGCAUGGUGACGAAUGUUGUUACGUUUCAUAUAUAUACAAUGUUAUGGUAUUCAAUUGAGUCACGACAGCCCCCGAACGUUUCCGCCGCCUGGUUUGGGGGUGUGACANNNNNNNNNNNNNNNNNNNNNNNNNNNNNNNNNNNNNNNNNNNNNNNNNNNNNNNNNNNNNNNNNNNNNNNNNNNNNNNNNNNNNNNNNNNNNNNNNNNNNNNNNNNNNNNNNNNNNNNNNNNNNNNNNNNNNNNNNNNNNNNNNNNNNNNNNNNNNNNNNNNNNNNNNNNNNNNNNNNNNNNNNNNNNNNNNNNNNNNNNNNNNNNNNNNNNNNNNNNNNNNNNNNNNNNNNNNNNNNNNNNCUAGGAACCUAAAAUCAUACCCCUUAAUCUCCAAGAAGGGAACCUCAACUGAAUCUAUGCAAUAGUCGUAGAGCUCUAGGAGUAAUUGGUAAGCUAUUUGUUUCUAGUAUUCAUAGCCCAUCGUGCAAUACGCUAUAGACGAGUAUCAUUAGCCAGGAAACCCUAUCUCCUUAGCCAAGGAAUAGUCGGGUGGCUCGACCCAGAGGAAGAACCCCAGGAGGGACAUGAAGUAGAACUCGCAGGUGAACCCGCUGAGUCAAUAGUGGACCUCGAAGAGGAAGAGCCGGAGGGCAAUGACGAUGACGACACGGAUGUAGAAUCCAAUGACAUCAAUCCUCCAUGUAAAUCCAGGGCACCGACUUAUAGUGUGGGCCCCGGUGACCCCAUGCCCCCUCGGGCACCCGAUAUUUGGGGAUAAAGUCACCAGUAGGGAAUACGACCACACCACGGUAAGAGCUGAGGUCUCUUUAAUUUUAGCCACAGAGGACCAGCUGACCAGGCCCUCCCAGUCGUGGUGCAACGCACUCGAGGUAUUGAUAACCAAGCUCAGGACAUCCCAAAUCGAACGAAACAAAUAUGGUUUGUUACUAAGAGGGACGAAAGGAAAACACGGGAGGUGAAUGGAGACUCUCGAGCGGGACAGUUAGUUGGGAGGCACACCUACGAGAUACCGAGCAACAAGUAGCUCGUCUCCGAGGUGCAUCCACUUCAUCAGCAUCACCACCAGACACUUCUCGCCACGACUAGGAUCAGCCUUUUCUAAUUUCCCCUACUAUCCGACAUGACUCUCUUUCGUGUACUAAGAUGGUACAUACCCCUGAAACGAUUAUGUGUUAUAUUUAUUUCAUAUUGCUGCAAAGACUCAAUUAUAUGCACAAGCGAACCCUCGGAACCACUAGAUACUUAAGGAUCUCGAAACUAAAACAACCCAUAUAACCUAAGGAUAGACGUAACAAUCGUGCCAAAUCAAUGAUUACCUAUUACCGCAAAUACAUCAUAGGGAUGUAGAUGGAGGCAGUAAGAAUUAUACAACAAGAUGCAAAAGAAAAAUUUAUAGAGUACAACCAGUAAUGACGAUCAUUACUUACGAUCUGGGUUAUCAAUGUGCAUCAGGAAAAUGCCAUCCCGCAAGAAUAACAAGCGCACCCGCGAGACACCACUCCUGCAGAUGGACUCUGCUACAUUUCAAGCUGCUGUAAUGGCAGCAGUAACCGCUGCUAUGGCACAGAUCAAUGCAAACAACCCUAAUGGAGGCAGGAAUAGCAUUGACAACUCCAGCCAAAGGAACAAACAUGGAAACCAACAAGUGACAACCUGUCAAGGAACUCCAAACCCCAAGCUUAAGAGCAGGAAGCUGAGGUCUGGAGGUAAGAGAAAGGGACAACACACUCAAGGGUUCUCAAGGGAGCAACGUGUUGUUGCUGUUCAUGCGACCACGACCACUAUUACACCAGCAACCAGGAGACCAUAUGCUGGAAACCUUCCAAAAUGCAACCAGUGCAAAUUCCAUCAUAAUGGAGCCUGCAGGGAGAUGCAUUGUAACAAAUGCAACCGAAAGAAUCACAUCGCCAAAUUCUGUAGAACUUAUCCAUGCCAGAAUCGUCAGCCAAAUGAAAACGACAACAAUCGCAACAACCCUAACAACAACACCAAUGAUGAGACCAGUCGCACCUGCUAUAGGUGUGGAGGAACUGGCCACAUCAGGCGCAAUUGCCCUAGGAAUAACGAUCGAGGAGCAGAAGGAUCAGAAAUGGUCCUGACCUUGGGUCAAGGCGAAGCAAUCCAAAACCCAACAAUUGUUACUGGUACGUUCCCACUUGACAACUCUUUUGCUUACCUCUUAUUCAAUGGUAAAUCCGAGUGAAGUUUUGGUUAGUAACAACUUCAAACACUUACUAAAACAACAUCCCCAAAGCUAAGCUAAGCCUUUUCAAUGGACAUGGCCAAAGGGGAAAAAUGAUUUAAUCUAGGGUACUCAUGUGGAGUACGCCUUAACACUAAACGACCAUUCAUUACAAAUAGAUUUCAUGCCAGUAAAUAUUAGGAGUUUUAAUGUGAUAAUCGUCAUGGUUGGGUAAGCCCCCACCGUGCUGAUACUAUGUGCCGCGAGAAGGCCGUUUGCCUUCACCUUCCUAAUCACGAAAACUCUAAUAAUCCAUGGUGAUAAACCUGGCGCUAAUCCUCUUCCUAUCUCGUGCAUCAAGGCACAGAAGUGCCUGCACCAGAAGAACUACGUUUUCCUCACUCAUGUUGUGGACAAGACCAAAGAAGAGGUAGGCAUACAGGGUAUUCCAGUAGCUUGUGAUUUUCCCAAAUGUGUUUCCUAAGGAACUUUCGGGAAUACCCCAGAGAGACGGGUUGAAUUUCGAAUCAACCUCAUAUCGGUAACCACAUCAAUUGCCAAUUCACCCUAUAGGUUGACUCCCGCCAAAAAUUCNUUCACCCUGGAGAGCUCUGGUCUCGUUCUUCAAGAAGACGGAUCCUUCAAAAGGCACAUCGAUUUUAGGAAAUUGAAUAAGCUCCCUAUAGAAAAUCGAUACCCACUUCCUCGGACUGACGAUCUAUUUGGCAAGCUCCAAGGAGCUAGUUGCUUCUCUAAAAAUAGAUCUAAGAACCGGUUAUCAUCAACUUCGAGUCCGAGAAGAGGACAUUCCAAAAACUGCCUUCCGAACUUGUCACGACCAUUUCAAAUUCAUUGUGAAACCCUUCGGUCUAACGAAUGCUCCCAUGGUUUUCAUGAGCCUUACGAACCAAGUUUCCCAACCAUUCUUAGUUAGCCCUUUCACUAUUUUCAUCAAUAACAUACUUAUCUGCUCACAAAGCGAGAACGAAACACUAUCAUCAUCUACGACCAGCCUAGAAAGCAUCAAGGCUGGGAAUGUCGCGAUGAAAGCACUACAUGGAUGGAUAAGACUCUCGAAGUCGAAAGACGAAGCUUUUUGUUAUAAGAGUUGAGUUGGGCGUUAUCUGGGUGAUCGUCGAUAGGUUAACCCAAUCUGCUCAUUUCCUGCCAAGACAGAAAUCAAACAAAAUGGAGGGAUUAGCUUGGAUCUAUAUCCAGGAAAUCGUGAGACUCCAUGAAAUAUCGGUAUCUACUAUCUCGGAUCGAGAUAACAGAUUUUCUUCAAGACUAUGGCAGUCAUUUCAGAGGGCUAUGGGAACAUAACUAGACAUAAGCGUUGCUUACCACCUUCAAACCAAUAGCCAAAGUGAACGAAAUAUUUGACCACUCAAAUUCAUGCUACAAGUCUAGGUGUGGGAAUUCAACAAGUCAGGGGAUACCCGGUUUCCCUUGACUAAAUUCUCAUACAAUAACAACUAUCGCACGAGCAUCAAGGAUGCUCCUUUCGAAAACUCAUUAUAGUCAUAAAUGUAUAUCACUCGGUGGUACUUUCAUGAGACCGGAAACCACUAACGAAACAACAGAAGAAGAUAAUCCAAAUCAAAGCUGGAUUUCAAUGCAUCGCGAGACCGACAGAAGAGCUAUUCUAAAAAGCAGCGUAAGCCAUUAGGAUGUCAAGUCGGGGAUCGCGUGUUAUCAAAAGAAUCUCCUUGGAAAGGGAUGAUUCGCUUUAGGAAACGAGAAAACUAAACCCACGAUACAUCGGACUGUUCGAGCUUCUUGCUAGGAUUGAAGACAUAUAGACUGUAGCUGCUUGUAGAGCUUAGCAACGUGAACCCUGUGUUCUGUGUCUUGAAUCUGAAAAGAUACAUAUCAUAUGAGUCUCUUAUCAUUCCUUUACGAGAAAUCAGAGUAAGCGAGGAUCACAUGUUCAUCAAAGAACCAGUCAAGGUAUUGAAUAGGGAAGUAGAACAUACAAAACAAAGCCCCAUUAUGAAUGCGAAGAUUCCAUGGAAUCCUAAGCUUGGACCGAAAUGCACAUGGGAAACGUGAAGAUCAGAUGAAGUGCCUAUUCUCUCAUUCACGAACCUAUCCUUAGAAAGAAUUUCGGGACGAAAUUCCCUCUAACGGGGGGAUGAUGUCACAACUAGCAUUUUUAGCUAGGAAAUUCUAUUCUCAUAUUAACAUCAUCCAUUGUAAGAGCAUGUACUCUAAGUGAAUACCAUACUCUAUCCUCAUUCAAAAUACACCUCAUAUGUUCAACUAAGGAUUGGAAACCUUAGUAAUCCCGGUCCAAGUUCCUUAUGAACUAAAAUUCUCCUAUUGGGCCUAGAAGCCCUAAGUGGGCUCUAUAUAGACCACAUUCAUAAAAAUUUAGCAAUUUGGGCCAUGUGGGCCUAAAAUAAUCCAUCUUACCUCUAAUGAGCCUUGUUGGGCCAUAAAAGAUUUCGUUUGUCCCAAUGGGGCCGAAAAUUUACCUUUGGGCUUCAUAAAUUCGAGUAUGGGCCCCAAGAUGAUUCCUUUCCUUUCUCCUUAGCCCAAAUCAGCCCAUGUUUAAUAAAAAAAAAAAGAGAAAAUAAUGGAUAAAUGAAGACUAGACAUGCAUGUGACAACUCAUGUUUAACCACCAUGUAUCUAUGGUAGCAUCUCAUGUUUCAAGGCAAACUAUUACCUCACAAAUAACAAGGUUAUGAUCUCUCUCUCCUCUCUCUCCAUAUUCUCGGCCAACCCUCUCACCACCUUCAUUUUUCAUUCAAAAACUCUCUUAAACACUCUCAAAUACCUCUUCCAUCCUCCAUCAAAAAUCUCGAGUUGGUGUGUGCUUUCAAGAGGAUUCUCCACCAAAAAUCACCAUCCUAGGUAAGUUUUUACUUAUAUCCAUGGUUUAGCUUCUUGAUUUCUUCAAAAUCUCCUCUUAACCCUUUCCAUUUCGUGAAUCAUACAUCCUAGAGCCAUCUAAGUUGUAAAGCUCCUCAAGAAGCUUGCUAGGGCCGAAAUCUUCUCUCAAAUCUUCAUCAAAAACCAAAUCCAAAUCUCAAGGUGAGCUUCAUACCCCCUAUUUUCUGUUUUUAUGAGUUUUGUGGGGGGGGGGAAUACAAGUGAAAGUGUAGAUCUAUAUGUGUUUUGUAUGCCUUGUAUGAUUUCCAUGCUUAUAUGUAUGCUUUUGUGUGUUAUAAUGUUGGAUCUAGCCAUAAUACCCCUCAAAACCGAGAUAUAUCUUGUGAAAAAUGAUUUUAGCUUCAAAUAUAUUUCUACAUACAAAGUGUUUCAAGAAAAAUGGCUAAGUGGUUUAGUAACAAUUUUCUUUGGGUUAAAAACACAAAUUUUGGGCCUAAAAUGUGAAAAAUACAAAAUUAAGGGUCCAAAUUGGCAUAUCACGAAUUCUGAUGGAUGAGGUGUGUCAAAACAGUUUCAAUAAAACAAUUUCUGGAAAUAUACUCAUUUAGAGGAUUAAAAACAUAAAUUUCAAGCUUAAUGGGCUAAAAAUGACAUUUUCGGCCCAAUGAGGCCCAUUAUGCGAGAUUUUCUGUUUUGGAGGGCCAAAACUGUAUUUUUCUGUAAAACAGUGGACUAUAAGUGUUCCAAGUCCUUUUCAAAGGUUUAAAAUGCUUUUUAAAUUUAAAAAGGACCAAAGUUGCAAAAAUUUUACAAUUUGGGCCAAAAUUGUCAAAGUUGCGAAAAAGAAGGGUUAUAACCGAGAAAACUGAAAUUUCAGGGACUUAAACUGUUUUCAUUGAAAAAUAUGCUGAAAAAUAUCAAUUUCAAUAAUUUUUGGUGUUAAAAUGUCAAGAAAAUUGAUUUAAGGACCAAACCGGAAAGUAUUUAAUUAAAGGGUUGAAAAAGUAAAUUUUACAAACAAUGAGGGGCUGAAAACAGAAAACUUUCAAGGCUAAUUCAAUACACGCAAUUUGAUCAAAUAAUGGCACCGCGACUAUCGACGAAAUACAAUACACUACAAUACCAAAAUCGUUGUGAAACGAAUUGGUUCGGUCUCGAACCAAUAAAAAUCCGAAACUACUAACACGACGACACUACGAUUCAUACAAAUAACGUUUGGGAAUUCAAUAUACAUGCGAGUGUGCACAGACGUCUACGCACCAUCUUUGGGCCCCAAAAGUGUAAAAUCUUGUUUGUUGGGCCUAGCUAGCCCAAUGACCUGAUCUUAAGGCCCGAAGACCUCUAUCUUACGAAGUGUUGGGUUUUACCGAUCUAACACAACGUAAAAGGACUUUCAAUGGCUUGUAUACUACUGGUCCCCAAGGGUCCUUUGGUAUUGCUAGUAAAGUCUACAUUUCAUGCGAGGCGGGUCUGGGACCCCUCGUACAUUUUUUUCUCCAACCGGUUAAUGGAGUCAUCGAGGUCUUCGUGUCCUCUUUCUCUUCGGAUGUGGGACUACACAUAGUCAGGGCGGUUGGAUAACGUGAUUAGUACGGACGAUGCCUACGGGAUCGUUAGUAUUGCUAUAGACGAGUCGUUUGUGUAACACGUGUUUGUAGCAGAUAAUCAUGCUCAAAAAUAAUCCACUGUAGUCUGGUAAUGAUAACUUCAUGCGUUGCAAUGGUUUCAAUGUAAAUUCAUGGAAUUCAAAGAAUUAGGAAAACAUCGGGUUUUCCUAGGGUUUUCAAUACAUACAGAUUCGAAAUACAUACAAUUUCAAUAAACAAUUUUUACAACUAUAGAAAACAAACAAACAUACCUAUGGAUCUUCACACCUUUUUGACUAUACUAUUUUCAGAAAAUAUCGGAUUUUCUGGUGGUUUUCAAACAAUACAAAACAUUGGAUUUCAAACACUACUUAUGAACUCACCAACAUUUCAUAUGUUGACGUUUUUCAAAAUGCUUGUAUUCUCAGGGAACCAGUGAAUCAAAGGAAAUCAUAUUCAGUGAUGGCUUGCAGUUUAUUUAUGUACGAAUAGAACAAUUUAUUUUGGGAAUGUAAUGUUUAAACAAUGUAUUUCAUGUAAACUCUACUGGUUGUACUAUAUUAAUGCAUGGUGACGAAUGUUGUUACGUUUCAUAUAUAUACAAUGUUAUGGUAUUCAAUUGAGUCACGACAGCCCCCGAACGUUUCCGCCGCCUGGUUUGGGGGUGUGACACUAAUAGACUUUAUUUUCGCGACUGGUGAAAAGGUCUCAUCAUAGUCAACCCCUGGAGUUUGUGUAAAUCCCUUCGCAACCAAUCGUGCUUUAUAAGUGUGUACUUUCCCAUCCAUGUCCGUCUUCUUCUUAAAGAUCCAUUUGCACCCGACCGUCUUACGACAUGGUACAUUAUCAAACAAAUUCCAAACUUGGUUGUCGUACAUAGACUGAAUCUCACUGUCCAUUGCUUCUUUCCAUUUAGCAGACUUCGGGCCUGCCAUGGCUUCCUUGUAGUUGCUAGGUUCAUCCAAAUUUACUAGUGUACUAUCACUAAUAAAUGUAUCCCCUUCAGUAGUAAUAUGGAAUCCAUAAAACUGGGGUGGAACACUAGCCCUACUUGAAUGUCUAAGAGGUAAUUACUCGUCAACAGGUUCAAUAGGAGAUUCCUACUCAGGUUGAUCGCCAGUGUUAGAGGUUCCUUCAUCACUCGACUCAUGAAGCUCUUCAAGAUCGAUUUUCCUCCCACUGUACCCUUGGCCUAUGAGUUCUCUCUCUAGGAGAACCCCUCUCCUUGCAACGAAGACAACAUUGUCACUCGGUCUAUAGAAGAGAUAUCCGAAGGAUGUUUGCGGGUAGCCGAUGAAAAUACAUCACUCAUUACGAGGUUUGAGCUUGUCGUGAGUCUCUCGUCUUACGAAAGCCUCGCAACCCCAAACCUUGAUAUGUGCCAACGAGGGAGCUUUCCCUGUCCACAUCUCGUGAGGUGUUUUGGCAACCUUCUUCAUGGGAACUAGGUUAAGGAUAUGGGUAGCAGUCUCUAAGGCAUACCCCCAUAAAGCUAUUAGUAACGAAGUCCGACUCAUCAUAGAAUGAACCAUGUCCAACAAGGUCCGAUUACAUCUCUCAGCCACACCGUUCAAUUGUGGCGUCCUAGGAGGCGUCAAUUGCGAAACAAUUCUACAUUCCUUUAGAUAGUCGUGAAACUCAAGACUUAGGUACUCUCCUCCUCGGUCUGACCGAAGCAUCUUGAUUUUCCUGCCCAGCUGAUUCUCCACUUCAUUCUUAAACUCUUUGAACUUUUCAAAGGUUUCUGACUUUUGCUUUAUUAAGUAUAUAUAUUCAUAUUUGCUAUAAUCAUCUGUAUAAGUCAUGUAGAAGCGGCAAGCAUCCCUUGUGGUGGAUCUAAAGGGCCCACAAACAUUUGUGUGUAUGAGAUCCAAUAGACCCUCACCCUUUGAACAAGUGCCAGUAAAGGGUGACUUGGUCAUCUUCCCAAGUAAACAAGACUCACAUGUGUCAUCGUCCCUAAGGUCGAAUGACUCCAACACUCCAUCCUUUUGGAGUUGGGCUAUUCAUUUCUUGUUGACAUGGCCAAGGCGACAAUGCCACAAGUAUGAUUUGUCCAAACUAUUGGACGAAUCAAUAUUCAACACAUCAUUUCCUAAGUUGUCCACAACAAACACAAAUUCAUAUAUUCCAUUACAAGGUAGUGCAUUAAAAUAGAAAACACCAUCAAGAUAAACAUUAAUAGAACCAAUUAUAUUGUCAAAUGAAUAUCAAAACCCUUGUCUAUAUAAUCCAUGAAAAGAAAUGAUGUUCCUUGCCAUGUCUGGCGAAUAGCAACAAUUAUUUAAAUCUAAACCUAACCCAUUACUCAACACUAAGGAAUAAACUCCGAUCUUAGUAACUGGUGACGAUCUUCUGUUUCCCAUGACCAAGUUUAUCGUUCCAUGCUCCACUUCCCUACCUUUUCUUAGGCCCUACAAAUCAGAACAAAUGUGGAAACCACAUCCAGUAUCAAGAACCCAUGAAGUAGCAAGUGAUGAGUUAUUAGAUUUAAUUGAAUACAUACCUGCGAAAGUGGGCUUUAUCUUCCCAUCCUUAAUAUCUUGCAAAUAUUUUGGGCAACUUCGUUUCCAGUGGCCCUUCUCAUGGCAGUAAAAGCACUCUACAUCCUUAGGGACAGAAGAUGGUUUAGCAGAACCAACUUUGGUCCCACUAGAAGAGGAACCAUCUUGGGACUUCCUAUUUUGGUGGCUCUUAGAAGGAGCCUUCCUCUUCUUACACUUUCCUUGCCCAAUUGCUAAUAUAGGGACCGAUUCAGUAGGAAUAGAUGCAAUAGAUUUAUCCUUUAGGUUGCUCUCAGCAGUUCUCAACAACCCUUGAAGCUUGCUCAAAGUGACCUCCUCUUUGUUCAUGUGGUAUGUCAUUCUGAAGUAUUUGUAGCACGAAGUCAAGGAGUGGAGGAUGAUGUUGAUAGCCAAAUCCUCAUCAAAGUUAACAAUUAACUUUAGAAGAUGAUCAACAUACCUCUGCAUCUUCUGCAAAUGCGAGGUUAGGGAUUCUCCACUCCCCAUCCUAGCGGUCAUCAUGUUAGUGAUGAUCUCAUAGCGCUCUUGCCUCAUGCUUUGGUGGUACCUAUCCAUUAAAUCUUGAUGUAUCUCGAAUGGAUACAUGUCCUCGUAGGACUUUUAGAGUUUUGCAUUCAUAGUCGCGAGCAUGAUGCAAUGAACCUUCGUAGUAUCACGCUCAUGUGCCUCAAAGGCAACAAUUUCUUCAGGAGUGGCAAUGUCUGGAUUGAUCUUUUCAAGCUUCUCGUCGAGGACAUACUCCUUGUCCUCGUAGCGAGUGAUCAUCCGAAUGUUUCGGAUCCACUCGUUGAAGUUGUUGCCAUUAAAGAUCACUUUCCCACACAAAUUCAUGAGUAAGAAUCACCAUUAGCCGCAGGAGCGUUGUUCUUGUUUGCGUUAGACAUCUGAAAAUAGAAAAGGACAAGUUUGAUUAGAAUGAAUCCCCAAUUAAUCACUAAAAUGAGAAAUUAGGGCUAGGAUCCAACAACAUUAUUUACAACUUAGAAAAGAGAUGUCGUAAUCUAAAAGCAAAUAAUCUGAAGGUAAGUGAAUGACGAUUCACUAAUUUUCCACCAUGAAAAACAAAAGAAGAUUAUGUUUUAAAUGUUUUAUGAAAAACUCCUAGAUCUUUGAGNUGGAUUUGAAAUUCCUAGAUUCUUUUGAGAUUCAUUGAACUUUUCAAUGGCAUGUUUCAAUCUCGAUGUGCCCUUCAAUUUUGUGACUAGGAUACCGAGGAUCACAAACAAGGUGUGAAUAACCAUGCGAAUCAACAUGGUGCACUCAAUGUCACUAUCACCUAAUCAAUAUGUCGGUUAGCCACACACAUUCCAUUGAUCUAUGAUAAACAUUGAGCCACCCUUCGCAACUAAUGUCAACCCCAAAUUAGUGUGUCGGUUAACCACACAUGCUGAACUAACGUUUGAUAAGGGUACGAAGCGUAAUUCCAUGGAAUAACGUCAUUUUCACAUUUUACCCUAAAGUAACUAAGAUUGGGAAUUUGAAAAACGUUUAGUUACUUGUAAUAUUCAUUAUACUUAUAAUGAGGAAUUAAAUGCCCUAUCAUAUCCGUUCGGCUAACGACCCUCCACCAAUCAAGGAAGCGGUGGCUGAGAGUGGACACCCAUUAAGCACCAUUUUAUAGGUAGCAACCUUAUACCCCCCUUAUAGACCGGCUUCAUGAAUGAGGCCUACUAGCGAUAAAAGUAGCUUAUUCUUAUACAUAUAUAUAUAUAUAUAUAUAUAUAUAUAUAUAUAUAUAUAUAUGUGUGUGUGUGUGUGUGUGUAUUAAUCUUAUAAUAAAUAAAGUAUAAGGUUUGAAUUUUAAACUUGUAAAAUUCUAAGGGUUUGAAAUUUAAAUAAUUCAAAAUUAAACUUUUAAUCAAAAAUUUAAAUUCCAAAACUUGAGGACAAGUUUUGAACUUUUCAAAACACAAAGGAUCAAAUAACAAAUAAUAUAAAUUAAACAAUUAAUUUUGUGAUUAUCUAUAUAUGACCUCAUCCAAUGUUAUUCAUAAGAUAAUUACCAAAUAAUUUAAACAAUCAACAUUUAUCAUAUAAAGAAACUAUUAUUCAAAUGAUUUAAAAUUAUCUUUUGUUUUGGUAAGGAUAAUCAUUUAAACACAAUAAAAUUCGGAUUUUAUCAUUAAAAAACAACUUUGGCAUUUAUCCAUCAGCAAAACAGCAAUAAAUCCCGAAAAUCUUUCUGUCUGACAGCUAAACUCCUCGAGUCCACCUUGGAACUCGUCGAGUUCAACCUGCUCGUCGAGUUUAUCAGGCAGUUUGCAAUAAAAAAACGAUUUUAAAGCUUGAACAAAUAAACUAGGCAUCAAUACAAUAGAAACCAAACCAGUCUCUGAUAACACUAAUGGGUUUUACACACAAGAACUUUCCUAUGUGCUCAUGCAAACCCUAAUGCUUGGAUCUAGGUUUCUCUAUUGUACAUGCAUUGUAUCCAAGACUUACAAACCCUAAUGUAGAAUACAUAUUUCGAAAAUAUCAAUAUAUACCAGAUCUAGAUGUUUACCUCUUCAAAAAUCUUGGAUCUUCUUCUUCUUGGAGCUUAGAGUCACAAGUGUAACUCCUCUAAUGGCUUACAAACACCACACAAGCAAGAAGUCAAUAUGAGAGAGGGAAGAGACGCUAAAAAUCGGCCCUAGGGUUUCCUUGGAAUCAAGUGGCCGAAAACUGCAUGUAGGGGUCUCUAUUUCAACUGUAGGUUUCUAGGGUUUUAGUCAAAAACCCUAAUGGACAGCUUAAUCACCAAGCAGCCCAUGGAAUCUUCUGGAAUAAGGCCUAUGGAUGAAAUUAUGAUUUUCAUCAUAAUUUCGUUCACCCUUUAAUCCAUUAGGUUUCCCAACCCAAAAACCAACUAUCACGCAUUUGACAGUUUAAGCCCCUAUAUUUAAUUAAUCUCUUUUGGCCACCAAAUUAAUUUAUGACUAAUAUUAAUUAAAUAAUAUGAUUUCCCUUUUAAUAUAUUAAUCACAUAAUAUAUUAAUAAAUCAUAAUUUCCUCUCUCUCCAUAAAUUACCUUGUCAAGUUGUUUUGGUGAAGGCAACCCAAAAGGACCAUGCACAACCGGUUCAAGUUCAUACCAAAUAUAGUUUCGGGCUUAGACACUAAUCCAACAAGUUAUCGAUUCAGUUGAUGAUGCAGAGGUAUGUUAGAAAUAGCAACAUACUUUGAUUUCUUCCUAUUACAUCAUUGUCCUUUAAAGUACAUUGCAUGUAUAAGAAACAUUGAAACUAUUUCUUACAUUCAGCCCAAUACAAUUUUUGUUUUUGUGUCAGGUGAAAGUGGGAGGAGAGGUGCAAAAUAAAGGGUAGGCAAUAGAAAGAAAUGAAAGUGGUGUUGUGUGAUGUUGUAAUAGAAAGAAAUGAAAAUGAGAUGCCAUAAUAAUCAAAUAAAUGAAAUUAUAUUGCUAUUUCUUACAUUUAGCCCAAUAACAUUAUACAUUUGGCUCAACCCUUCCUAACUAUACAAUUGAAACAACAAGAUUCUAAUAGAAAGAAAUCGAAGUAUAACGCUAUAAUAACAUAUAAAUGAAAGUACAUUGAUAUUGAUCGCAUUAAUCUUAACAACAUUAUAUAUGGUGGACAUUUGAAAGUGUUGACAAAGACAAUAACACAUUGUUUGAAGAAGUGAGGAUCAUGGUUUUAAAAUAAACAAGGUGGAGCAGUUGGAAAAAAAAAUCCUACACUCAAUGUGAAAAGCACUCCUUAAUGCCAUGAGAGGUUAAACUUUCUGCACAUAUAAUAUCUAUAUUACUUUGUAUCUGUCUGCAUUAGCCCAUUAUAAAUGUCAUAUAAUUUUUGUAUUAUUUUUUUGUUUGCAUUUUUUAGAAAUUUUGUAGCCUUUAUUAUAUUUUGAUUGGACAAUCGGGAACACCUAAGAGAUGUAUAUUUUUAGUGGCUUUUUUCUUAUACUAAAUGACAAAUGAAGGAAAGAUAGUAAUAAGAUAAUUCAAUUUGAAGGAGGGUUGGUAGUAAAGGAGUAAACAUUUGGUUCUGAUUGCAUAUUUUAGGGUAUAUUGCAAAAAUUAGCUAUAAUCAGGGAAUAAAAUGUUAAAAUAACCUCAAAUAAGGACCAAAAUUGUAAGAUGGAAAAAUAAGCUCUAAUCAUUGGUCUCUAUUCAAACUAAAGGAGUAACACAGGCCCUAUUCAAAGUAAAAUAUGUAUAGUUUUAAGACAAAAAUUGGAAAAAUCAGCUAUGAUCGGGGAUUAAAAUAGUCAUUUCACUUGGAAUAAUGACACAACAUGUUACAAUAACGGCCGAUACGUAUAGUUUUAGGGUACGCACUUUUGCGUAUCAUAAAUCACUGCGUGUCAUAGUUUGCGCGUCAUUAAAGGCCUAUAUUCUAAAAGUGAACCUCAAAUAAGGACCAAGAAUGCAAUGAUAAAAGCUUUCUGGGACCAAAAUUGAAAAAAUAUAUACUCAUGGAUCAAAAUAUAAUUAAAUCAUAAUCUUAUGUUUCUUUUCUUUAGCAGGGUGUUAAGAUAGAUGAUCCACAAGUGUUUAAUGGCCAAGAGGUGGAGGUUUGGUCGCGUGUUGUGUGGAAGCCAAAAUGGGUAGUUACAUUUCUGAUGUUAAAAGGAAAUCGAUGGAAACAACAACUAUGUUUUUCAAAAAUCUACUUUGGUCAUUAGAGGUCGUAUUGUUCUUAUUGAAGAUGUGUCACUUGAUGGAACUUAGUUAUCAGUUCACUUGAUGAUUUUGAGUUAUGUUAGAAAUAGCAAUGUACUUUCAUUUACCCCAACCUAACCUAUUUAAUGAGCAGGUUGAACCUGAGUUGAUUUAUUUAAAUUUCCAAAAAUAUACCCUUGAAAAUCAACUAAGCCUUCAAACACAAUUACAUAAAACUUAAAAACUCCGAUAAUUGUUCACGUUUGAAAAUAAUACAACGAUAAGUCUCUAGUAGAAACACAAAUCAAGUGUUUACAACCAUAAAAACAUUAUACACGUUUAAUCUUUAAAUGCUAGACAGCUCAACUUUCAAUAACGAUCACCAAUCCACAUUUUUUGAGUAAUAAAAAUAACAAAACUAUAAUAAUCAAUUAAAUAAUAAUACUAUAUAUAUAUAUAUAUAUAUAUAUAUAUAUAUAUAUAUAUAUAUAAGAUAAUAUAAAAAAAAUAUAAGNNNNNNNNNNNNNNNNNNNNNNNNAUAUAUAAGAUAAUAUUAAAAAAAUUUAAGCAGGUUCACUGGUUGUAAGCAGAUUGAGAAUUUUAACCCUAACAUAACCCAUUUAAUUAAAUAUAUUAGACGGGUUAAGCCGUUUAGUUAAACGUGUUAAAGAUCUCAACCAAACCAACUAAUUACCAACCCUAAAUAAAGGGUGGAUGAUUGAAAGUGUUGAUAAAAACAAAAGUGUGUUACCUAAAGAAAUGAAGAUUGGGGAUUUCAAAAUUAAUAUAAAUGGAGCAAUUGGAAACAUCUUAUAGUGAACCUAGGAAGCAUUCCUUGAAGGCAUGAGGUUAAACUUUUUGUAUAUUUGAUUCUAACCGACAAAAAUGCAAAAAUGGUCCCUAUGGUUUGUCAUUUUUUGUGGAUAUGGUCCAAACCUUUUAAAAAUUGGAUUUCUGGUCCUUAUUGAAAGGUUUGUUUGUGGAACAAGUCCCUGGGGUUAACAGCCGUUUGUUUGUGGCUGUUAAACCCCUCACGUGCAUUGCACACGAGGGCAUAAAUGUCAUUUUACUUGAGGGACCAUUUUUACAAUUCCUGAAAUAAUAUAUAAAGACUUCCCCAACGUUCUUCCCCAACGUUCAAGUUAUUCCCCAAACGUUGUUCUGCAACUUUCAAGUUGUUCUUCCUUCUCUCAUCUCAUGGACACCGAAGAACCCAGGCAGAUGUUUCUAUGCUUGCCCUCAAAAGGUAAAGAAAUUCGUUUGCACCCAUUUUGAUAUGUAAUCAAAUAACAUUUGUUAUUUUCCCCUUUUUGAAGGAUUCUGCUUGUCGCUUCAUCGGAUGGGUUGAUCCCCCUAUGUGUGAAAGGUCUAAAGUCAUUAUUCCUGGACUAUUGAGAAAUAUUAACCGAAUGCAAGCUUGGUGCACAGCUCUAAAGAUCAUGUUGCUGGCUAGAUGGGUGUUUUUUGUGAUUUUGUUCAUAAGGUCUGUUUAGGUUUAGGUAAUAGGUCAAUGGGGUGGGUUUUUAUUUGUUGAAGAUCGAUAAAAGUGUGGUUUUUUGGUGAAUUAAUGGUUUUUGGUACUUUGACCUAGGUUCUUUGUAGUUGUUUGUAAGGUCAAAGUAAGUUGUGUAUGUAGUAAAUGACUUCCUGGUAUAAAUAUGAAUUUUAUGGAAUUGCUUAUGUUGUUUGUAAGGUUCUUUGUAGUUUUUGUAAGGUGAAAGAAAGGUUAAUGUGAAUAAUUGACUAUAAUGGUUAUAAUAAACAACAAUAACAAAAAACCAUAAUAACCAAGGCUGCAAUUACAUAAUAGACUACAAGCAUAUAGUGCAAUUACAUUAUCCCAAAAUAUGCAACCAUAUAUAUAUGUUCUAAUACUUAUCAUACUAAUGAAAACCAAAAUAACCAUAAGUCAUAAGUUUUUUAACAUCAAAACACUUCCAAAAGUAGCAAAUAACAUCUGCCAAAACAAACACAACCUUGAUCUUCAACUUCCACGUAACUUCCACCUCCUUGACCUUUGCAUGUCCUUGAUUUGUGACCUUUGUUUUUGCAUUUUGCACAUGUUACACUGACAUAUUUCCUUGUUAAUUUCUGAACUCCAUCAGGACCCACUUUACAGCCUUCUUCCUGACAUACACCAUGAGUACCAGUCUGACUUUGACUCCCUCUUUGACUCUGACUCAAUUUUUCAUCCUCACUUUUCUUCCUCUUCUUUGUAGGCCUACCUGGUUGCUUAUGAUGUAUUGGAGGGAUAAGUGUGGUGGGACACAAACUUUUAGGCCACAUUAUUCUUCCUUUUAUGGGCUCUACCUUAUAGGAAUAUGCAUUCUUCCAUGUAUCCAACCAGUAUACCUUAUUGACCCACCUGUAAAUGUCACCAACAUCCUCUGAGUUCUUGGUCAUUUCAUAAAGGGUUGCAAUGGCAUGUUUACAUGGGAUGCCUAUUAGCUCCCACUUUCUGCAAGUACAUGUGUUGUUCCUAACAUCUACAACAUGUUGGUCUUGCCAUGCCCCAGUGACUUGGUAUUUCUCACCCCCAUUCCACCUAGCAAUGUAAUGUGAUGCAUGAGACUUGUUUACAUCCAAUAUGGUUGUUGCAGUGGGUGUUAAAGGCCCUUUUGCCUUAUCCAUCACGUUCAUAACAUUACAGAUUCUCUUCAUCAGGUAUUGUCUAGUAUACUCCAAACAACCUAUGAUUGGCUUAUCUCUUCCCUCUAUUAUCUUGCUGUUAAAUACCUCACAAAGGUUGUUUAACAGUAUAUCAGAGAUUGCUCUGCCUGUUAAAAAAAUUAACAUAUUGUUUUAAGUACAAGUACACAUUUAACAUAUAGUAAUUUAUGGUAAUUUAUGUACCUGUAAAAUGGCUUCUUGCCCAGUGUUUUGGAGGAAUCUUUCUAAGCCAUUCACAUGCCUCCUUGUCAUAGUUGCUAAAUUCUUUCAUGCAAUGUUCAAAUUCAGGUACAGUGGUUGCAGUUGCACAUCUCCAUAAAUGAUCCUUGUACUCUUUCAAUUUCCAUUUCACUCUCAUGUUCUGAUGUAUGUGCCUGAGACAAUACCUGUGCUCAGCACAUGGGAAUAGUUGGGCUAUUGCUGGUAUUAAACCCUAUAACAAUAACAAUAAUUAAGUAUUUAGUUUAUAUAAUAAUAAGUAAUUAAUAAUACAAGUUAGAAAGAGAUACCUUUUGUCGAUCUGUGAUAAAAGUAAAGUUAGAGUUUGAACCAAGAUCCAAGUCUUCUCCUAAACACUGCAAGAACCAUACCCAACUACUUUUGUUCUCUGUCUCAACAAUGGCAUAAGCAAGGGGGUAAAUACCAUUGUUAGAGUCCAACCCAACUGCUGUUAGAACCUGUCCAGGAAAUGGUCCUUUCAUAUGUGCACCAUCGAAACCCAAAAGAUCCCUGAGGCCAGCCUUAAAACCUUUUUUCAGGGGACCUAAGCAAAUGUAGAUUCUUUUAAACCUCCUCGUUGGGUUUGAUGGGUUUUGUUCACUGUAAACAUCAAUCUUGACAGUUGUGUCAACAUUGGUUGCUUGCAAUUCAAGGACAUAGUCCCUCAAGAUCUCAUAUUGUUUUGUAUAGUCACCCUCCACGAUCUUAGUUGCAAUAUCCUUGGCCCUGAAUACUUUGUCAAUAGAAACACCAACCUCGAAGUCCUUUUGAAGUUGUUCCUGCAAUGCUCGAAGAGGAAUCCUUGGAUUCGUGUCGAUUUGGUCCAUGAUUCUCUUGGAUAUAAAAGUAGCAGUGUAAGCUCUAAUCUUCCUACUUUGAAGGCAAGUAUGGUUGUCAUUUAAUGUCCUUACAAACCAGGGAGAUUCUGUGUUUGACCUAGAAGCAUGAAGGAACCAACUACAGUUUACUUUUUCUGAAUUUACCUCUUUGCCCUUGCUUUUAUUUUUGGUAUUAAGGCCCACCACCCCACUUGCAUUGAUGACAGGGACUACACCUCUACACAAUGCCCGAAGUCUAAGCUUGUCAUUCUUUUUAUAAUAUAAAUUCCUCCUAGUUUCUAGUGCGUGCAUGUCAAUUUUUUCUUUCAAUUCUUUCUUUGAUUUAAACUUUUGCCCAACAUAAAAACUGGCCUUAUGGAUAUUGCCAAGACUGCAUCUUUUCUCCUUAGCCAGAUUUUUAAGAACACAUCUUCUUUUCCUUUCAUCUUCUGACCCUUCAUCUAAAGAAUCCCAUCUAUCAUUGUCAAUGACUUCUAUGUCCUCAUGUUCAUCAUUUGUCCCAACCCCGUUAUGAAACCCAUCCAUUUGAACACAACCAUAAUCCUUAUCAAGAUUGAGGUUAAAGUCAGUCAUAUCCACCUCCACUUCUGAUACAUUGUUUUCAUCAUCAACAAGUUCAUCAUAUUGUUCUUCUGAUUGUUGCCCAAGAUCAUCACUGUCAGCAGACUUUUCAUGUUCAGACUGAUGGUCUUCAACAUUCUCAUCUUCUGGUGGUUGAUAAUGUUCUCCAUCAAAAGGAUCAAAGUGAUCAUGAGAAAAGUUCUCAUAAUGAAAGUCAUCAUAAUCAAAGUUAUCAUGGUCACCACCUUGAUCUUGUACCACAUCAUCCAUGUUAGCAUGCUCAACCUCUUGAUCUUGAACCACAUCAUCCAUGUUAGCAUGCUCACCAGCUUGAUCUUGUACCAUAUCAUCUAAUUUAGGAUUCUCACUACCUUGAUCUUGUACAACAUCAUCCAAUUUAGCAUGAUCACCACCUUGAUCUUCUACUACAUCAUCCAAUUCAACUAAACAAAGUUUUUUGGCACAAGAACUUUGACCAACUAUUGAGUUCACCCUUACAUUUCUUCUAUACUGUGGUGAAACUUCUGUAGGGACUUUGUCAUAGAGUAUCAAGGACAUAUACCCUGCCAACUGUGUUUGAUCAUCAGCUUCAUCUAUCAUUGGGGUUUUAUGCUUUGCUGGUAUUUGAGGUACAUUUGCUUCUUUUGGAAGAUCACCAUCACAGAGCUCCUUAAUAAUAACUUUUUGCUUUCCUUUUGGAGACAUAAAAUAGGUCAGCAAAUUAGUUUGUCCAUGUUCUGUAUACACUUCAAUGACCUUGUUAUCUCCAAUAUACUGAGCCAAAUUCAAGACAUCAUCAUCAUUCCCUAAAGCUCUGAGGCCAAAAUCCAAGUCUUCAUGAGGAAUCCUAAAAUGGUAAUAUAUUACUGGGGGUACAGAGUAACCUAGCUCAACCAUCAUUGCGUCUAGUUCAUGAACUGAGAACUCAUCAAUGUCUACUAAAUCAAUAUAUCUCACUUCACCUUUAACAUAUUUCGUGUUUGGAAGCUUCGUAAAAUUUCCACCAUGGUGUAGCUUUAUGCUGAACAUUGUUGGUACACGCUCUACAAGAUACAAAAAACAUUAAGUAACAAAUUAUCAGAUGUUUGCAUUUUUGGCUUAAUUCUUCAGAUCAUCAAGAAACCUAACAAAAUUUCGUAAACAGAGGAUAACUGAAACUAACCAUAUUCAUUUGUGAUGUCAUACGUCUCGCCUUUUGGCCUAAUCGCCCACAUUACGAACACCAUUUACAGUUGAAAAGCAANUUCAGUUGCUCAUUUAUUUCAGAAUCAUUGAUGCAGAAAACCGAUACUAAUUACGUUUUCCAUUGCGAAAUAUAAUGGAAGUGCCAAAGUAUGAUAUCUAAUGGAUUUACCAUUACACCAUUACUAAACAGGUUGUUCGUUUCAAACAAAAUUGAUUUGUAUCAAACUAACUUUUUUUCCAUAAUGGUCCGGUUCGGUUUCCAAUUUUUUUAGUGUACCUUUAAUUUUCAUUGUGUUUUUUAAUGCUACGAAUGUAUGAUUUUUUUAGGAUAUAUUAUUUCAUACAAAACAGGGGAAAUGGCCACCCAUGGUGCUGGUGGCAAAUAUAUUGAUAUGGGGGAUUUAAAAACUCCAACCAAAUUACAUUACAUUACAUACUGGAAAAUAAGAAAUCAAAAAUAAAAACUAGAUGACAAACUAUGUGUGUCUAGCCUUUUGCAAACUUGAAAUGAACACAACCACUUUCACAUAAACCCAAUCUUUGAAGCUGUCAUAAAAUUGAAAAAAUGCACGUCUCCCUCNUUUACAGUUGAAAAGCAAAAACAAGUAAACACCUUGGACCAAAUCUUGAUUAGGGUUUUUGCGUUAAAAACGAAUGACGAAGAAGAUGGAAGUGGAAGAGAUAACUAAAUAUUUUGUGAUUUUGUGUGUAAUAUGGUGCUAAGACGGUAACAAGCGGGUUUAUUUCAGGAAUUGUAAAAAUGGUCCCUCAAGUAAAAUGACAUUUAUGCCCUCGUAUGCAAUGCACGUGAGGGGUUUAACAGCCACAAACAAACGGCUGUUAACCCCAGGGACUUGUUCCACAAACAAACCUUUCAAUAAGGACCAGAAAUCCAAUUUUUAAAAGGUUUGGACCAUAUCCACGAAAAAUGACAAACCACAGGGACCAUUUUUGCAUUUUUGUCAUUCUAACCAUAUGGUGCUAAUAUGACGUUCAUGUGGACUUGCUCUUUUAUUUAAUUCUUAUUUUAUUAAAUGUUAAAUUUAUUUUAAUCUAAAAGAAUAAUUAAUAUGUAUAUUUUUAUUUAUUGAAAACCUUAGAGUGAUAUUAUGGGCAAAAAGUGCAAGCUCAAACGGUACCUAUUACAUUUUAUUCUCAACCUUUUCUUUCUAAAACAACUUGUUCAUCUAUAGUCAUCUUGGGGUCAUGUGUUGCAGAUACAAUAGAGGCCAUUUGUUGCAGAUACAAUAGAGAACUCAAUAAUAGAAAUGAUAAACUAGAGUAAAUUAAGCUUUCAAUUUCCAUUUAUAACUUUUCUUAUUGGGGUGNCUAAACAGGUUGUUCGUUUCAAACAAAAUUGAUUUGUAUCAAACUAUUUUUUUUCCACAAUGGUCCGGUUCGGUUUCCAAUUUUUUUAGUGUGCCUCUAAUUUUCAUUGUGUUUUUUUAUGCUAGAAUGUAUGAUUUUUUUAGGAUAUAUUAUUUCAUACAAAACAGGGAAAAUGGCCACCCAUGGUGUUGGUGGCAAAUAUAUUGAUAUGGGGGAUUUAAAAACUCCAACCAAAUUACAUUACAUUACAUACUGGAAAAUAAGAAAUCAAAAAUAAAAACUAGAUGACAAACUACGUGUGUCUAGCCUUUUGCAAACUUGAAACGAACACAACCACUUUCACAUAAACCCAAUCUUUGAAGCUGUCAUAAAAUUGAAAAAAUGCACGUCUCCCUCGACGGUUGAGAAGUAAAGCGCCACAUGCUAUCCAAAAUCCAGUAGCAAAACCAAUGCCCACACCAGUAUAAAACCAUCCCCAGAGUUCAUCAUUUGUGUCUUCCCCAUCACCCUCACCUUUACCAAUAAGAGGUGGUACUUUUGAUUCUUCAUCUAGAGGACAACUUUUGGUAAGAGGAGGUCCACAUAGACAUGCAUUUCCAUUGUAUCUUGAUGGUUGAAAGGAUUGGAGUUGAGUGCUGGUUGGGAUUCUUCCAGACAAGUUAUUAAAUGACAAAUCUAGGUCAUUCAAUAAACUCAUCUGAGACAUGCUUGAUGGUAUCCUCCCUGAUAAAUUGUUUCUGGAUAAAUCCACCGUUAGAAGCUUUUUCAUCUCACCAAUAUGCUGUGGAAUCUCUCCAGAUAGAGCAUUCAUUGAAAAAUUCAGGGCAAUCAAAUCUGAAAGAUUGGUAAUUUGAUAUGGGAUUUGUCCUGUUAAGUUGUUGCUUGACAGGUCAAUGCUCUUCACCAAUUUCAGAGUACUUAAGAAUUCAUGUUCACCUCCUUGCCACUGAAUCAUUGCAUGGUCAACAUAUAUCCCUGAUGCAUAUACAAUAUUGUUUAUACUUGUUUGAAAGUAUACAUCUUGUAAGACUCCUCCUUGGUGAACCAUGCUCGUAAGAUUACUCAAACAUGAGGGGAUGGUUCCAUGAAGAUUUCUCAUCGACAGGUCUACAAUUUGAAGAUUACCUAACUGACAUAACUGUAAAGGGAUGGUUCCAAUGAAGUUGUUUGAUUUUGAUAACAACANNNNNNNNNNNNNNNNNNNNNNNNNNNNNNNNNNNNNNNNNNAAACUUGUUGGCCCCCAAAUUCAACGAGAUUAAACCCGUGCAAUUUUUUAAGGACAAAGGCAAUUCUCCAGAGAAGUUGUUCUUGUAUAAAUACAACACCUGGAGUUGUAUCAAAGAUCCAACAGAGGGAGGAAUCCGUCCAAAGAGAUUGUUGUGUCCAAGAUUAAGAACUUGUAGUCCUUUGAAACGCCACAAACAGUCCGGGAGUUGUCCGAUUAAUGAGUUAUGAGAGAGGUCAAGAAAUGAUAAGAACCCAUCAACAAUUUGGCAUACAAAUGAGAUUCCCCCAGAAAAUUUGUUUCUGGAAAUAUUUAAUGAGAACAAGGUGGAAGGAACAUUCGGUAUUGGACCAUAAAAGUUGUUGGAACUCAAAUCUAUCUCUGAAUAUUUGGCAAAAUUUGAUGAUAAAUCUGGUACUUUCCCGCUAAUGUUGUUGGAAGAGAGAUUCAGAUAUUCUAAUUGAGAAGGCCACAUGUCCCAAAACUCCAGAGGAAUUGUGUCUGAAAUUCCAGUAUUGGAAAGAUCAAGACGGGUAAGAUUUUUGAGGUCUGAAUCCAUUUGGGGAAGCGAGGCCCUACCUUGCAAGAGCUCAGAUCAAGAUACUGAAAAUAAGAGAUGUUUGACAAGUGAUCUGGGGAAGGAACUGUAAGAUUAUUAGAAGAAAGGUAAAGAGUUCGGAGCCUGGGUAGUUCCCACAGUUUCUCACUUAUACUUCCAUUUAAGUGAUUAUGAGACAGGUCCAAAAGCUUUAGGGAUGAAAACUUUUGGAUCUCAUCGGACAAUGAUCCUAUAAAUUGGCUAUGAGAAGCAUCCAACCAUUGUAAUGAAAGGGAUGUGCAUCCAGACAAGUUGUUGAGAAAAUCAGGAAAUUUGACAGCAGCAGAGUUGUUGUAGAAGGAUAAAAUUUCCAGACUACAGAGGUUACCAAGAUAUUUGGGUAUCCCAUCUAACAUAUUGUCAUAGAGAUAAAGUCCAUUAAGCUUAUCGCUGGUUAAUGGGAGCAACCAACGAUACAUGGAUGAUGUGAGAUUGUUGUCACUGAGAUAAAGGGUAUGAAUAGAUGAAGAAGAAGAAGAGUUGAGAAAAGAAGAAUAUGGAUACAUGACCUGUGACAGCUCACAUCUCCCUAAACUUAAACUCAACAGUUCUGGGAGACUCGAAAUUACACCUACCCAAUUAUUUGCAUUCGCAAGGGAAAUCCCAUCCAUUCUCAGAUCCUCCAAAUGAGAGAGAUGAGACAACCACUCUACCUUUUCAACUCUACACCUUCCAGCAGAAUCAAGAUGAAGGUAUUGCAAGUUGGUGAGGUUUCCAAACUGUGAAGGAAUGGUUCCAUAAAGAGAGUUACUGGAAAGGGAAAGGUACCUUAACUGGGUCAAGUAACCAAUGGACCUGGGAAUAGCUCCAUGAAAAGAAUUGUAAGAAAGGGAAAGGUACCUUAAUCGAGUCAAAGAACCAAUGAAAGUGGGAAUGGUUCCAUUGAAAAAAUUGAAGGAAAGAUCAAGAUGAUUCAAGUAGGUUAAGUUAAGCAAGGAAUGGCUAAUCUCACCUCCAAGACCAUCCUGUGAAAAGAAGUUGUUGAGUUCAAGCUUUGUGACAUGACCAGUUUGGUUGCUGCACUCAACUCCACUCCAUUUACAGCAGUCAUGUUGGUCAGAUCUCCAUGUAGAGAGAGUAUCAUAAGUGUCGUGAAGGGGAGCUUUGAAGAGAAGGAGCGCAAGUCUCUCAUUAUCCAAACACUUUUUCAUAUUAACACCAUUUCUAUCAUCUCCUCCUUCUCCCACUGCUACCAAUUGGCUGGUAGUUGCAGUCACAAGGAGUACCAAGAAAAGUGAGAAAACUAUAGAAGCACAAAGAUUCAUAAUUUAAUUAAAAAUGAAAAUCUUGGUGAUUUUUGGUUUGUAAUGAUGCCUGCCUAUAUGAACUGCACCCGUGAGUGUUUAUAUAGUCUCAACUGUGAGCAUAACUGAUUCUAAACGGGUGGCCUUGAAUUAAUUGUGUCGGGGAUACAAUAUUUAAUUCCCAUGAAAUUAGAACCAAACUAUAAGAAAAAAUCAAAGAUGAAGAUUUGAAAUAAAUGUCUCAAAUUAGUCGUUCAAAGACUUGCAAGUCUUGACUAUUUGCAUAUAUUAUCUAUAUCUUAUCCGAUCUUUGUGAUAUUUUCAAAGACUUUUAAGUGAUGUUGACCAUAACCUGUAUUAAAUACAAACAUAUAAGAAUGUAAACGCAAACAUUGAACUGACCCCCAAUUUAAUAACAACUAUUUCAUAAAUCUAGUAUUCUCAUUCCAUUGUUAAACAAUUUCUGUUUAUGCUAUCCUAAGAGUAUUUUUAUGAAAUCAAUUAGAAAAGUUUUAGCAGAAACAUAUAUCUAAUUUAUCAUAUCAAUUAAUUCAAAAUUUUCGAACAGAAACAUAAACCCACUAUUCAACAGAAACGANAAAAAAAAAAAAAAAAAAAAAAAAACGUUAUAAAAAAAAAAAAAAAAAAAAAAAAAAAAAAAUAGAGAACAGGGAUGAAGAGAGAAAUGCGUUGAGUUUAGUGAUGGCCAAUUAUUUACCAGACGGAAAACCAAGAAGAUGACAACGGUAGCAAAAAAAACAUAUUUAAAAGAAUAAUAAAGAUUGUAUACAAGUUACAUUUUGUUGGAAGUCAUUUAUACAUAAACAUAUUUUUAUAAAGAAAAGAAUAAUUUAGCAAAAAAAAUACAAUAUUUUAGUUCGAUUUAUUAAACCGUUUAUUAAUAAAUUUUGUUUCUAUAAUAAAAAUAAUGUGUAGUUCGGUUAGUCAAAAAAAGUUAAAUACCUUGCUCAUUAACAACAAUAUUAUACUUAACUUGGCUCAAAUUUAAAAGUGAGUUUUGGAUGUAUUCAAGGGCACUUUAUUUUGUUUUUCUCUCGGGCCCCAAAUAUGUAUGUACCGACUUUGGUCAAAACAUAAAUCAUAAAGCUUAUAAAAUACUUUUUUCUUACAAUACAUUUUGGUAUGUGCAUAUUUAAUCAUGUAUUUUGUGCAUAUUUAUAAUACUUUUAGUUACAAUUAUGCUUAUUUUGGGACACAAGGUACUUAUUAUGUUUAAAAUAUGUUUUGUAGUAGCAAAUACAUGUUCGGUAUGAAAAGAUAGAAACCGAGAAGUUGGAAGUAAGAAAAAUUGGGCAAAGUUAAAAAGAAGACAAAUAAUUCAUGAAGUCUGAAGCCCACGACAUGGUCACUCUAUUCCACGUCGUGGUAAAUGGAAGAUUCACGAUCAAUGAUCUAACUUGGAAAAUACGGGAUUUAACAGAAGACCACAACCUGGUGCCUAUUCACCAUGCUAUAGAGAUCAAGUUUAUGGAAACUAUAUAUAUUCGAACAUUAGAUCGAAUGUAGAGACUUUUGCCCAAUUUUCUGAGAGGGAUUACGACUAAAACCCUCUGGAAAACCUUGGGAAAACUAGGAAUCAAUUGGAGCUCAAGAGUUGAAGAGAUCUAGACGAAAUCAACAUAGAUCUAUUAAGUUUGCUAGCAUUACUCAUGUCUAGUCUUAAUUACAUUGAUUUAGUCUGCUUUUCUAUUGUGAUGAGAGGAUAAAAACCUUAUACUUCUAUUUGGUAAAGAUGAACCCAAAUCUUAUGUGUUGAUUUCAAUUUACGGAUGUUUUACAUUGAUUUUACUUAUGUUUGAUAAUCAAAACCCUAGCAUGUUUUAGUUCUAGUAUUUGAAUGCCUUGCUUUGACUUUAGUGUAGUAGAUGAUCAUUCUAGUGAUUUAUGAUCACUAAAUUGCUAGAGCUAGGAUUAAUCACAUCUUAGAUUAGGUAAUUAAAGCUAGUAACUUUAAAUUUGUUAGAGGGCAUAAUAAAUCUUAAAUUGUGCUUGCUUGCUUAACUUGAUCAUAGCAAAGUAACUAUUAGAUUUAUCAUUCAUAGUCCAAUUUGUGCUUAUAUCAAUUUUUUGUUUAACCUAUGCUUGAUCAUUGCAUAGUAAUUCAUAAAUUGGCACAUCUUUGCAUUUGAUCAUAAUAACUAGUAAAUUAAUGAAUUGGUAUGUCCUGGUAGCAUGUGUUUGCACCAUAAUUCAUUGACAAAGCAUUGCGAAGUCUCAUCAGCUUAUGGUUUUAUAUGCUGAAUCAAUAACUACUUUUAUUAGACGAAUUGGGAGAAGAAUGGUAUGAUACAUGUAAUACACUCUAGUGUUUUGUUGUACCCAUUGACAUAGAGUUUCCAAGCUCUCAUCAACAUUUGUUAUUAAAUGUUGAAUCAUAAAACUUUAAACAAGAAAAUUGGGUAAGAAUGGAUUGAUGUGUGUGAUAGUAUAUGGUAUAUAGACUAACCAUCGGCAUAAAUGUGUCAAGAUCUCAUCAGUGUAUGGUCUUUUAUACUGAAUCAUAAACUUUAAAGAAGAAAAUAGGGCGAGAAUGGAUUGGUGCGUGUGAUAGCCUAACGUACAUAAACUAACCAUCGACAUAAUUUUUUUCAAGCUCUCAAUAGUGUAUGGUAUUUUACGCUGAACUACGAAACUUCAAAGAAGAAAAUCAGGGCAAGAGUGGGUUGAUGUGUAUGAUAAACAACAGUACAUAGUUUAACCUGUUGGAUUAGGUGUCUAAACUCAUAACUAUAAUUGGGAUGUACUUGACCCGAUAGUAGCAUAGUCCUUUUGGGUUGCCUUCACCAUAGCAAUUUGAUAGGAUGAAUUAUGAAGAAAAAGGUUAACUAUGAUUUAUUAUUAUAUUAUAAGAAUAAUAUAUGAAUUGAGAAAUCAUAUUAUUUAAUUAGUAUUUAUCAUAAAUUAAUUUGGAAUUAAUUUAUUGAUCGAAAGAGACUGAUUAAAUUGAUGGGGACUAAUUAUGUAAAUCAAUGAUAGUUGUAAUUUGGGCUAAUGUAUCCUAUUCCCAUCGGAUGGACGAAAAUAUAUGGGAAGCCCAUAGAAUUUCAUCUAAGGCAUGCCAUAUAGGGAUCCAUAUGUUGCUUAGGGCAUAAACAAGGGAAUUAGGGUUUCUAAGUCGUAAACCCUAGGAGCCACAGCUAUAAAAGGAACUCUAUGGCUCACAAAAUUGGACCCUGUGAUUUCAUAAGAAACCUUAACCGAUUUUGAGGCUUCCUUCUCUCUCUCUUGUUCUUCCUUGUUGCUAGUGGUGUUUGUGAUUCCGUUCGAGGUGCAACAUUUGAGGCACUAAGCUCUUAAAGGUCAAGAUCAAAUCAACAACAAGAAAGGUAUUCUUCUAACCCUAAUUUGAAUAUAAUUUCAUUCUUAUAAAUGCUAGAUUAGGGUUCUUGCUUUGGAAUUUUAAUUUGCAUGUAUAACUUGAGAAAAGCCUAGAUUCAAAGCAUUAGGGUUGCAUGUACACCAUAGGAAUGUUGUAGUGCUCAAAACCCAUCAGUGGUAUCAAAGCUUAGGCUGUUUUUCUGUUGUAUGAUGCAAUUGUAAUGUUUUCAAGGCUGAAAAAGUUUCGUUUUUGGCCACUGGCUGCUGGACUUGACGGGUCCCAUGAAGGAACUCGAUGAGUUCAUGCCCUGACUCGACGAGUUGGUUCGUCUGGUGGCAGGAUUUUUGGAGUUUUGGCCUAAAUUAGAUUUGGAUAAUUACCAUAAAUUGUUUUUAUUGGUUAAAUUCAAAUUAUAUAAUUUGGUAAUGGAUAUCCUCAUCUAAUUAAAAGGUAAUUGUCAAAUUUUAAGAUAAUUACAAGAUUAUGUGAUAAAUUAAUUAUUUGUAAAUUUUGAUUUGAGUUUUCUUGCCAAAUAAAUUGGAUUAGAUCAUAUUUGUGAUAAUGAUAAAAUUAUAUGAUUAAUUUAAUUGUUUUAAAUUUGAUCUAGAAGUUUUGAAAAGUUUCAAAAUUUGUCCUCAAGUUUUGGAAUUUAAAAUUUGAUUAAAAGUUUUAGUUGUGAAACAUAAAAUUCUAAAACGCUAGCAUUUUAAAUGGUUAAAAUACUCAUAAUUUAAAUUUACAAUUGAAGGUUUUAAUUUUGGAAAUUUAAAAUGGACACAAGUAGAAUGAAUAAUUAUGGAUUUAUUGAUAAACAAUUAAAAGAUUAAUUAAGAAAGUAAUAAUAAAUCCAUAAUAACAUGGUUUAAACUUUUAAUUGACUUGAAAUUCUAAUUUAUUUAAAAGAUUAAACCACCAAGUAUUUUAAAAGUUUAAAAUACACCCUUGUACUAUUGUAAGAUUAAAAGUUUAAUUUAUAUAUANUAUAUAUAUAUAUAAGUAAAGUCAGUCUUACUGUUAGUAGGCGUCAUUCACGAAAUUGGUCUAUAAGGGGUGUUUAAGGAAGCAGCCUGUAAAAUGACCGCCAUUGGGUAUCCACUCUUACCCACCGCACUCUUGACUAAUGGAGCGUCGUUAGCCGAAUGGUUAGGAUAGGACAUUCUCAUUAAUAAGUAUAAUGAAAUAGAAAGUAACUAAACAUUUUAUAAAUUCUCAAUCUCAGUUACUUUAGGAAAAAUGUGAAUUUAAUGCUAACCCAUGAAAUUACACAUUGCACUUUAUUGGUCGUUAGUGGAGUGUGCGUGGUUAACUGGCACACUAAUAUGAGACUAAUGAAGGAUUGGAAUGGGCAACUCGUAGAUUAUCAUAUAUCAAUGGAGUGUGUGCGGUUAACCUGCACAUUGAUUCGGUGAUAAAUGACUUUGAGAUUACAAUUUAUACCAAAAUGCCAACAAUGUGGCUAAAUAUUGACAUCAUCUUAUGUAUAGAUGAUAGAUAACAAAAGUUAAAUACUAGACAAAUUAACAAUCUUGAAAACCCCAUUUUUAUUUUGAGAGAAGUGUUCUUAUAAGAUUGGACUGUGAUGUUCUAUCACCAAAUGACAUUUUUUUGUAACUCUUGACUUUCAUGGUUUCAACUUUAGAACCGCACCACCCAUCUCCAUCUUUUCAUUUUCUUAUGAUAAUAUGAUCGGACUCCGAGUGUUUGCCUUUUCACACAAGGCUUGAGAACCUAAAAGAUAGUUUGCAACCUUUUAUUCACCACAUUAAUAGCAAGUAGGAUAUCAUACAUGGUAAAAUCUUAAGACUAUCUACAAUAGCACUAACCAAACAUCCCGCUUCACUCUCUAAUUUUGAAUGAUCACAAAAUGUUCGUAAUUCACAGCCUUGGAUAAAGAUUUCACAGUAAAAUCUGGAACGUUAGUAAGUAUGUUUUAGGAGAACUUAGAAAAAUAUGCAAGUUCAAAUGGUAUUUAUAACCUUUUAUUCUCAACCGUUUCUUUCUUGAAAAACUUAUUCAUCUGGAUGACUGUAGUCAUCCAAGUGCCAUGUGCUGCAAAUACAAGAAACAACUUGGUAAUAGAAACUAUAAACUCAGGAGUAAAUUACACUUUCAAUUUCCAUUUUUUUGGGGGGUUAAUGGUAAUUCUCGGUUGCUCAUUCAGUUUUGAAUCACUGAUGCAAAAAGCUGAUUCUAACCAUGUUUUCCAUUACACUUUCAAUUUCCAUUUUUUUGGGGGGUUAAUGGAUUCUCAGUUACCAAACAUUACCAAACAGGCGGUUCGUUUUCAAACCAAAUCGAUUUGUAUCAACAACUGUUUUUUUUUCUAGACUGGUCUGGUUUGGUUUAUGAUUUUCUAGUGCACCUCUAAUUUUCAUCUUGUUUUUACAUGCUACGAAUGUAUGAUUUUUUUAGGAUAUCUUAUUUCAUACAAAACAGGGGAAAUGGCCACCCAUGGUGUUGGUGGCAAAUAUAUUGAUAUGGGGGAUUUAAAAACCCCAACCAAAUUACAUUACAUUACAUAUUAGGAAAUAAGAAAUCAAAAAUAAAAAAUUAAACGACAAACUACGCCUAUCUACUCUUUUGGAAACUUGAAACGAACACAACCACCUUGACAUAAACCCAAUCUUUGAAGCUGUCAUAAAACUGAAAAAAUGCACGUCUCCCUCGACGGUUGAGAAUUAAAGCGCCACAUGCCAUCCAAAAGCCAGUAGCAAAACCCAUGCCCCCACCAAUAUAAAACCAUCUCUCAACUUCAUCAUCUAUGUCUUCCACAUCACCCUCACCUUUACCAAUAAGAGGUGGUACUUCUGGUUCUUCAUCUCCAGGACAAUAUUUAGUAAGGGGAGGUCCGCAUAGUCCUUUGUUUCCAUUGUAUCUUGAAGGUUCAAAGGAUUGGAGUUGAGUGCUGGUUGGGAUUCUCCCUGAAAAGUUAUUGUAAGACACGUCUAUGUAAUUCAGGAAGCUCAUAGUAGACAUGCUUGGUGGUAUCCCUCCCGAAAAACUAUUUCUGGAUAAAUCCAAAAUCUCAAGAUUUUUCAUCUCACCAAUUUUCGGUGGAAUCUCUCCAGAUAACUCGUUCUUUGACA
This 155900-nucleotide long non-coding RNA is filed under the name Lactuca sativa (garden lettuce). RNAcentral's name for it is "long non-coding RNA (LSAT_LNC006422)". The record is from RNAcentral. Lineage: Eukaryota; Viridiplantae; Streptophyta; Magnoliopsida; Asterales; Asteraceae.